UUUUUUAUUGUUCCAUGCUAUUAUAUUAUUUGUUUUGGAUGUUUACUGGGCUUUAAUAUGCUCUUUUAUAUCAUUUUUGGGACUAACCUAUUAACCGAAGGCCCAGUGCCAAUUCCUGUUUUUUGCCUAUUUCAGUGUUUUGCAGAAAAGGAAUACCAAACGGAAUCCAAACGGAACGAAACCUUCGUGAAGAUCUUUCUUGGAACAAACGCAAUCCAAAAGAGUUGGAGUUGAAGUCUGGAACUCCGCGAGGUGGCCACAAGGCAGGAGGGGUGCGCCCAGGGGGUAGGCGCGCCCCCCACCCUCGUGGGCCCCACGGAGCUCCACCGACCUAUUUCUUUCGCCUAUAUAUACUCUUAUACCCUAGAAACAUCAAGGGGAGCCACGAAACCACUUUUCCACCACCGCAACUUUCUGUACCCAUGAGAUCCCAUCUUGGGGACUUUUCCGGCGCUCCAUCGGAGGGGGAAUCGAUCACGGAGGGCUUCUACAUCAACUCCAUAGCCUCUCCGAUGAUGUGUGAGUAGUUUACCACAGACCUUCGAGUCCAUAGUUAUUAGCUAGAUGGCUUCUUCUCUCUCUUUGAUUCUCAAUACAAAGUUCUCCUGGACGUUCUUGGAGAUCUAUUCGAUGUAAUAUUCUUUUGCGGUGUGUUUGCCGAGAUCCGAUGAAUUGUGGAUUUAUGACCAAGUUUAUCUAUGAAUAAUAUUUGGUUCUUCUCUGAAUUCUUAUAUGCAUGAUUUGAUAUCUUUGCAAGUCUCUUCGAAUUAUCGGUUUAGUUUGGCCUACUAGAUUGAUCUUUCUUGCAAUGGGAGAAGUGCUUAGCUUUGGGUUCAAUCUUGCGGUGUCCUUUCCCAGUGACAGUAGGGGCAGCAAGGCACGUAUUGUAUUGUUGCCAUCAAGGAUAAAAAGAUGGGGUUUAUAUCAUAUUGCUUGAGUUUAUCCCUCUACAUCAUGUCAUCUUGCUUAAUGCGUUACUCUAUUAUUAUGAACAUAAUACUCUAGAUGCAUGCUGGAUAGCGGUCAAUGUGUGGAGUAAUAGUAGUAGAUGCAGAAUCGUUUCGGUCUACUUGACACGGACGUGAUGCCUAUAUUCAUGAUCAUUGCCUAGAUAUUCUCAUAAUUAUGCGCUUUUCUAUCAAUUGCUCGGCAGUAAUUUGUUCACCCACCGUAAUAUAUGCUAUCUUGAGAGAAGCCACUAGUGAAACCUAUGGCCCCCGGGUCUCUUUCCUAUUAUAUUACAUCUCUUUUAUUUACAUUGCAUCUCGUUUGUUAUUUUGCAAUCUUUAUUUUCCAAUCUAUACAACAAAAAUACCAAAAAAAUAUCUUAUUAUCUUUAUCAGAUCUCACUUUUGCGAGUGGCCGUGAAGGGACUGACAACCCCUUUAUUGCGUUGGUUGCAAGGUUCUUGAUUGUUUGUGCAGGUACUAGGUGACUUGCGUGUUAUCUCCUACUGGAUUCAUACCUUGGUUCUCAAAAAAUAAGGUAAAUACUUAUGCUACUUUGCUGCAUCACCCUUUCCUCUUCAAGGGAAAACCAACGCAUGCUCAAGAGGUAGCAAGAAGGAUUUCUGGCGCCAUUGCCGAGGAGAUCUACACUCAAGUCAAGACAUACCAAGUACCCAUCACAAACUCUUCUCCCUCGCAUUACAUUAUUUGCCAUUCCCCUCUCGUUUUCCUCUCCUCCACUUCUAAAACGAUUUUCGAAAACCUUUGCCUUUUCUUCGCCUCUCUUCUGUUCAUCUCUUUUCGCUUGCUUCUUGUGUGCUUGUGUGUUGGAUUGAUUUUUUGUCACGAUGGCUCAAGAUAAUACUAAAUUAUGUGACUUUUCCAAUACCAACAACAAUGAUUUUAUUAGCACUCCGAUUGCUCCUACUACUAAUGCUGAAUCUUGUGAAAUUAAUACUGCUUUGUUGAAUCUUGUUAUGAAAGAUCAAUUUUCUGGCCUUCCUAGUGAAGAUGAUGCAACCCAUCUAAACAACUUCGUUGAUUUAUGUGAUAUGCAAAAGAAGAAAGAUGUUGAUAAUGAUAUUGUUAAAUUGAAGCUAUUUCCGUUUUCGCUUAGAGAUCGUGCUAAAACUUGGUUCUCUUCUUUGCCUAAAAAUAGUAUUGAUUCAUGGAAUAAGUGCAAAGAUGCUUUUAUCUCUAAGUAUUUUCCUCCCGCUAAGAUCAUCUCUCUUAGAAACGACAUUAUGAAUUUUAAGCAACUUGAUCAUGAACAUGUUGCACAAGCUUGGGAGAGAAUGAAAUUAAUGAUACGUAAUUGCCCUACACAUGGUUUGAAUUUAUGGAUGAUCAUACAAAAAAUUUAUGUCGGAUUGAAUUUUGCUUCUAGAAAUCUUUUAGAUUCAGCCGCGGGAGGCACUUUUAUGGAAAUCACUUUAGGAGAAGCUACUAAACUCCUAGAUAAUAUUAUGGUUAAUUAUUCUCAAUGGCACCCGAAAGAUCCACUAGUAAAAAAGUUCAUGCGAUUGAGGAGAUUAAUGUUUUGAGUGGAAAGAUGGAUGGACUUAUGAAAUUGUUUGCUAAUAAGAGUGUUUAUUCUUAUCCUAAUGAUAUGCCUUUGUCCACUUUGAUUGAGAAUAAUAAUGAAUCUAUGGAUGUGAAUUUUGUUCGUAGGAACAAUUUUGGUAACAGCGCAUACAGAGGAAACUUUAAUUCUAGGCCGUUUCUAAUAAUUCCUCUAAUAAUUAUGGUAAUUUCUACAACAACUCUUAUGGCAAUUUUAAUAAGAUGCUCUCUGAUUUUGAGAUUAGUGUUAAAGAAUUUAUGAGUUUGCAAAAGAAUUUCAAUGCUUUGGUUGAAGAAAAAUUGCUUAAGAUUGAUGAGUUGGCUAGGAACGUGGAUAGAAUUUCUCUUGAUGUUGAUUCUUUGAAACUUAGAUCUAUCCCACCUAAGCAUGAUAUAAAUGAGUCUCUCAAAGCCAUGAGAAUUUCCAUUGAUGAGUGCAAAGAAAGAACCGCUAGAAUGCAUGCUAAAAAAGAUUGCUUUGUGAAAGCGUGUUCUUCUAGUUUUCAUGAUAAUAAUGAUGAAGAUCUAAAAGUGAUUGAUGUGACUCCUAUUAAAUCUUUGUUUUCCAAUAUGAAUCUUGAUAAAUAUGUGAAUGGAGAUGAGUCAACUUUAGUUGAAAGGCGUCCCAAUGAUUCGGAGUUUUUAGAUUGAUGCUAAAAUUAAUAAAAGUCGGAUUGAAGAGGUCAAAACUUUACAUAGCAAUGAACCCACUAUUUUGGAUUUCAAGGAAUUUAAUUAUGAUAAUUGCGCUUUGAUAGAUUGUAUUUCCUUGUUGCAAUCCGUGCUAAAUUCUCCUCAUGCCUAUGAUCAAAAUAAAGCUUUCACUAAACAUAUCGUUGAUGCCUUAAUGCAAUCUUAUGAAGAAAAGAUUGAACUAGAAGUUUCUAUUCCUAGAAAAAUUUAUGAUGAGUGGGAACCUACUAUCAAAAUUAAGAUUAACGAUUAUGAAUGCUAUGCUUUGUGUGAUUUGGGUGCUAGUGUUUCCACGAUUCCAAAAACUUUGUGUGAUAUGUUAGGUUUCUGUGAAUUUGAUGAUUGUUCUUUAAAUUUGCACCUUGCAGAUUCCACCAUUAAGAAACCUAUGGGAAGGAUUAAUGAUGUUCUUAUUAUUGCAAAUAGAAAUUAUGUGCCCAUAGAUUUCAUCGUUCUUUGUCGGUGUACAAAAAGAGGGGUGCAUUUUUGUACCCCUAUACCUGUGCACGGGCAGUCAGAGCCGCGCCUACGGUCACACCAAGCAGAGCAAGGGAGGUGAGCCAAGGUAAGACCGGAGCCCAAGAUAGUGAGAGCAACACCAACGCCAAAACCACAAGGAGCAGAGGGACGAAGAAGGCUCCCCCGGCAAGACCCUUGCCGGGGCAGCCUCAGCGGCCCUGGCAAGACCCUUGCCGGGACAGCUCGCCCCACACCAACAAAGCGAGCCACCCUUGAGUCCACGGUCCCCAACGCCAUCACACACGUGGGGCCAGGGCUCGGGGAGGCACCUCUGUGGUGGCAUGCAGAUCUUUGUGAAGACAUAUUCAAGAUCAGAUGAGGAUUAGAAGACGACGAUCCUCGGCAAGAUCCUUGCCGAGGAAGGCCACCAGACCCCCGGCAAGGUCCUUGCCGGGGACGACAGUGCGCCACGGCAAGACCCUUGCCGGGCCACACGGCAAGACCCUUGCUGGGCCACACGGCAAGACCCUUGCCGGACCACCCGACAAGGCCCACACCAACCAAGCUUCCACUGCCGUUCACAUCCAGCUGCCAGCCCAACCAGCUGGGCGGGCACCUGCGUGGCAACAUGCAGCUCCCAAGCCAACUCAUCGAGCGCCUGCGUGGCGGCAUGCAGAUCUUCGUGAAGGCUCCACCACCGCACCACCUCAGCUGCCUGCCUGCCUACAUGGCACCGCACGCAUCGCUGGCCAAGACGCGUGUCGAGGCGAGGAGGAGCGGCGACGGACGGGACGGGCCUCAUCCCCGUCCCCGAUAAAGCAAGGGGACACCUAAGCUACGCAUUAAAUGUGUCUUGUCCUGUAAUACGAGCGAUAAGCUCAAGCGACUGUACGCCUUUCCACCUCCUGUGUGCCACUGUGGCAGCCCCUUCUGACUAUAAAAGGAGGCCCCUGGCAUACUGGAGAAGGAUUCGGCUCUUUGGAACCACGCACUGAUCACAGCUAGUUCGAGAGCUCAAGAACUCUCCGAAAUACACCCACCAAAGCAGGACUAGGGUUUUACGCAUCCUCGCGGCCCGAACCUGGAUGAACGAACUGUGUGCUCUCUAUUAGAUCCGCUCUUCUCUCAACCCUGCGCCCCACCAACCGUAGUAGGAAUUCUUUUGAUCCCAUAGGUGUCGUUUCCCCGACAUCUUUGGCGCGCUAGGUAGGGGGCGCAGUUGUGAGAAUCAACUUUAGCAGCUAGUUCAACGUUUCUUCAUCGCCAUGGCUCCCAAGAAGAGGACGACCACGGCGAUCGGCUCAUCAGGAGCCGAAUGGCCUAUUCCGACGCGGGCGAGCAGCGGGCCAGUCGCGGACAGGACCCGGGGCGCGGCCCGCGAGCACCAACGCCGCCCUAGCAGCCGGAGCUUGGAAGGCGACGACGCUCAUGUGCCUGGCAACGAGCCGCACGUCGCCAAAUCCAAAGAUGGAGACAGGCCCUCCGCAGGCGGCGCGGGGCCCUCCAAGGGCGUCAUCGCACCGCCUGAAGGCGAUGCGGCGGCCUCGAAGGCACCCACUCCGGCAAGCGCACCUCUUCGGAGUGUAGUGCUCCCGUCGAGGACGUGCCAGAGAGCUCCACCGGCAAGAGCAAGAAAUCCAGGGCCACGCCGCCGAAGACCAAGAAGGUAUCCGUCAAGGAGGAUGGCACGGGAGGGGCUUUCACUAUAAGCUCCACCCUCGACAGCAAAUAGGAAGACGCCCUCGUCGCCUUCCUGCGGGCGAAGGUCGACGUGUUUGCAUGGCAAGCAUCCGACAUCCCCGGCAUUCCCAAGGAGGUGAUUGAGCACCACCUUGUUGUUUGCCCCCAUGCGCGACCCGUCAAGCAGAAGGUCAGGAAGCAGGCAUUGGAACGACAAGAGUUCAUCAUGGAGGAGAUCUGGAAACUGGGAGCGGCGGGUUUGGUGAGAGGAGUGCUCCAUCCAACGUGGCUGGCCAAUCCAGUGGUAGUACGCAAGGCAAAUGGGAAGUGGAGACUGUGUAUUGAUUACACAGAUAUCAAUAAGGCUUGUCCCAAGGACCCCUUCCCAUUGCCACGCAUCGACCAAAUUGUUGACUCCAUGGCUGGGUGUGAUUUGCUAUCAUUCCUCGACGCCUACUCCGGCUACCACCAGAUUUUCAUGACAAGAGAAGACGAAGAGAAGACAGCAUUCAUCACCCCAUGUGGCACGUAUUGCUUUAUACGGAUGCCUUUCAGGUUGAAGAGUGCUGGCUCGAUGUUUGCAAGGGCAGUCCAAAUUGGUUUUGAACCCCAGCUCCAUAGAAAUAUGGAGGCUUAUAUGGAUGACAUAGUGGUCAAAACCAAGGUCAGGACGACCCUCAUACCAGAUUUGGAAGAGACAUUUGCAAACCUGCGCAAGAUCAACCUCAAGUUGAACCCUGAGAAGUGCGUCUUUGGCAUCCCGUCCGGCAAGCUUCUCGGGUUCUUUGUGUCACAGCGUGGGAUCGAGGCAAACCCGGACAAGAUCAAGGCGAUCGAGCAGAUUGAGGCGCCCAGGCGGGUCCAGGAUGUGCGUCGGCUUGCUGGUUGCAUUGCCGCCAUGAGCAGAUUCAUCUCCAAGUCCGCCGAGCGCGCCCUCCCCUUUUUCAAGAUUUUGAGAAAGGCGGGCCCAAUGGAGUGGACUCCAAAGGCUGAAGCAGCGCUGCAAGAUUUGAAGAAAUACCUCUCCUCCACGCCAAUACUAGUCGCACCUAAACCACAAGAACCGUUGCUGCUAUACUUAGCGGCAACAAACCAAGUGGUCAGUGUCGCACUAGUAGCGCGGAGAGAGGUUGACGCCGAAGUGAUAGCGGCAACGGAGCCUGAUGCCAUUGGUGCAGAAACGACACAGCCAGUCGAAGUGUUGCCGAAGAAGAAGAUGAUGCAGCACCCAGUCUACUUUGUUAGCUCCCUCUUGCAGGGAGCUAGAUCAAGGUACUCCGGUGUGCAGAAACUGCUCUUCGGCCUCCUCAUGGCCUCGAGGAAGCUGCGUCAUUACUUCCAAGCACACGAGAUCACUGUCGUCACCCGCCUCCCUUUGCAACGGAUACUGCAUAAUCCAGACGCAACUGGAAGGAUUGUGGAGUGGGCACUGGAGCUGUCUAGCUUUGGCCUCAAGUUUGAGAGUACUUCGACGAUUCAAAGUAGAGUCUUGGCGGAGUUCAUCGCAGAAUGGACCGCGACGCCUGAUGAAGAAGUUCAGGAGACUGCUCUUCCCGGCAAGGAGGCAAGUUGCGAUUGGAUCAUGUACUUUGAUGGGGCCUUCUCGCUACAAGGCGCCGGGGCUGGCGUACUGCUUGUCGCGCCCACCGGAGAGCACCUCAAGUACGUGGUCCAAAUGCACUUCCCUAGGGAGACGUCGAUGAACAAUACUGCCGAAUACGAGGGAUUGCUCGUCGGUCUCAGGAUCGCGGCAGACCUCGGGAUCAAGAAACUCAUCGUCGGGGGCGACUCGCAGCUUGUCGUCAAACAAGUCAACAAGGAUUACCAGAGUCCGUUGAUGAAGGCCUACAUAGAUGAAGUGAGAAAGCUGGAAGAGCGUCUUGACGGUAUACAGGCGGAGCACGUUCCCCGAGCGGAUAACGACAUCACCGACUACUUGUCAAAAUGCGCUGCCCUCAAGCUGCCUGUGGAACCAGGUACCUUUGUGCUUCGGCUGACUCAGCCAUCCGUUGAACCAUCAACAGAGCAGAACAAGAGAAGGAAAUCAGGGCCCGGCAAGUACUUUCCCGCCGAGCUCCCCGGAGCCGCCGGCAAAGAUGUUGCCGGGGACGCUGAGCCGUCCAUAGGACGACCGGCUCUGGCAGGGCGUCAAGCUCUUGCCGUAGAGACGACCGCUCCUAUGGCGGAAGAAAUGCCUUUAGUCCUCGCUGUCGAGCCUCAGGCUCUGACAUGGGCGUAGCAUACUGUCCGAUUCCUCCAAACAAGGGAACUUCCUGAGGAGCAGCAAGAAGCGGAGAAAGUAGCCCGUUGGUCAUCUAUGUAUCAGUUCGUCGAUGACGUCCUAUACAGAAAAAGACCGAACGGUGUGAAAUUGAAGUGUAUCCCCCGGGAGGAAGGACUGUGGCUGUUGGCAGAGAUACAUAGAGGCAUAUGUGGAUCCCACAUAGGGUCAAGAGCCCUUGCCGGCAAAGCGUUCCGGCAAGGUUUCUUCUGGCCCACUGCCCUCCAGGUUGCGACGACACUAGUAACCAAGUGUAAAGCGUGUCAGUUUCAUUCAAAGAAGCUUCAUCAACCAGCUCAAGCCCUUCAAACCAUUCCUCUCUCCUGGCCAUUUUUGGUCUGGGGGCUCGACAUACUGGGCCCCUUUCCCCGCGCUGUCGGGGGCUUUGAGUACUUGUACGUUGCAAUCGACAAGUUCACAAAGUGGUCAGAAGUGGAGGCGGUGAGGAAGGUGACAGCCAAGUCAGCCGUCAAGUUCUUCAAGGGACUAGUAUGCCGUUUUGGUGUACCCAACAGAGUCAUCACCGACAACGGCACGCAGUUCACAAGCCGCACCUUCAUGCAAUACAUCCAAGACCUCGGCAGCAGAGUCAGUUUCGCUUCCGUUGCUCACCCACGAAGCAAUGGCCAAGCUGAGAGGGCAAAUGCUGAAGUGCUGCGAGGCCUAAGAACGAAGACCUUUGACAGGCUGCACAAGAGUGGAAGGCGUUGGAUUGAUGAGUUGCCAACAGUCCUUUGGUCGAUCAGGACGACGCCAAAUCGAGCCACCGACCAGACACCCUUUGCCCUGGUAUACGGGGCAGAAGCAGUUCUCCCCACGGAACUCAUAUACGGGUCACCUCCAGUGCUCGCUUACGACGAGCUUGAGCAAGAGCAAUUGCGGCAAGAUGACGCGACGCUCCUUGAGGAAGAUCGUCUUCGGGCAGCUGUGAGAGCAGCGCGCUACCAGCAAGCCUUGCGCCGCUACCAUAGCCGCAAGGUUCAUGCCCGAAGCUUUGAGGAAGGCGACCUUGUUCUUUGGCGCGUUCAAUCGGCCAAGAAUACCAACAAGUUGACGCCAAAGUGGGAAGGCCCUUAUCGGGUAAUACGAGUCACCAGGCCCGGCGCAGUCCGCCUGGAGACCGAAGAUGCUGUUCCGGUGAGCAAUUCCUGGAACAUCGAGCAUCUUCGCAAGUUUUACCCAUAACGUGCGGCUUGUCGGGCCCCCCGGCAAGCCACCUUUUGUACAAGCCUUGCCGGCAAGGCAUGUAACCCUUUGUACAAAGCCAGGCGCAGACCCUGAGCAUAAAUAAAUGAAGUGCUGGCGCCCUAAGUUAUAGCAUGCAUGCUAGGUUGAGUCUCCUCCUCGGUUAGGGUUGAUAGUGCUUAGCGGCAACUAACCCCUGGUCUAGAGGUCGAGUAUGCGUCUUUCAGUCCUCUUUGAUUUGCAGGGCAUGUGGACACUUCUACUAAGCCACUCGGAAGAAAAGAAACGGAUCGGCGCUCCGACCCCGGCAAGCCAAAGUUGCCUGGGGCUGAAGACACAAAGAUCCGGCCCCGGCAAGCCAAGGUUUCCGGGGGCUGCCAACCUAGAUAAGUCAUUCAUCUCCUGCCGUGUAUUUCUGUAUGGAUUGGGACGUAUGAAACCUCGUUUAUUUCCAGAAUACCGUGCUCCCCUCUUUCCUGUGCCCGGGGAUAAACCCCUAGGCCAGAAUUUGGUCGUAGCCGCGGUAGGAGGGUAACGAACGAGGGGCCUAACUCUACUUCGCCCCUGUCUCCGCCGAAAGCAUGAGAAUGGUCGACCGAAGUGAGAGGGACGGCAAGGCCUAUUGCCGGGCGACAAUGUUUAUCUUAAAAAUAACAAGCACUCGUUCCUUGGCAUGGGCCUCGCUCACGCACAAAGGACCCGGCAAACACCCCUUUUCAUUAAAACAUCCCAUACAGGUACAGUUCAUACAGAACGAAAAACAUGAGCAAGGGGAUUACAAGCUUUAAGUUCUUCUAAAGCCCAAAGGCUUAUAAACUAAAAAGAGAUAAGGUGCCCGUAAUCCCUUUCUUGUCCCUCUCCUCAAGAGGCAGAGCAAGAUGGCGAAAGGGAAAAAAGAGCGCCUAGGCGAGGUAUGAGCAACAGCAGGCACCAGGAGAACAUCCCGAUGGCCACCCCGACGAGAGGCUGGUGAUGAUGAUGACGCGGGAAGAGCUGGAAGACGAGGCGGCAGGACCGGCAAUACGCGACGAAGACGUCGGUGCCCGCGUACUCCGAGUUGACGGCCCGCCAUCCGCCUUCUUCGCCUUCCCCGAGCCUCCUACGCCAGCCGCCCAAGGAGGCGACCUGAGAAGUUCAAGGGGCUGGGUGCAGAUGCUACUGCUGCCGACGCCACCUCGGGACGGCGGGACCGACACCUAGUCAGACCCGUCAUCCUGCCGCCUACUACCCUCAUCGUGGCUGUCGCUGUCCUCCUCGUCACUCUCGCUCGAGGAGGAAUCUUCAUCGUCAGAAUCUCCAUCGGAGGAGCUCUCCACAUAGCACUUCAGGCGAGUCCCGAAGUCUCCGAAGACCUUGACGGAGAGCAGGCCGUCCUCCAUUAAUUUGAAGUAGAGGACGAGCCCCGCCGUCAGGCUGUGGAUGCGAGCGAACGUCUUCCAACCGCGGUGGAGGUACAUGACCCGAGGGGCUUGGAAGUCGACGUCGACCCGCGUGCCCCCAUUCCCACAGCCCCUCAUAUGCAAUCUGAGGGAUUGGGGCGGGUCACUCUCCAUCUCUCGAGCAAACGGAGCGGGAAGACGAAGACGGCGACGCGGAAGCCGGCGCUGCCUGAUGAAGAACUCGCGGGGCUGGUCUCCGACAUGGCCUUCCAUCGGGAAAAGCAUCAUUGGCGGGGGCAAAGCUGGCGCGCCGCCCCGACCUCCUCUUCCCCGAGCACUGCGACCUCUACCACGGCCUCGCCCACCAACUCGUCCCCUCCCCUUCCCCUCGCAGCCGGCUCCGCCACCGCGGGCUCAGGAGGAGGAGGGACGCGCUGUCGAGCGGUGACCCUCGCCGCCACAGUCGAGGGACCCGGGUUCCCUUUCUCCAUGGCGAGUGAAAGGAAGAAGCAGAAGCAAGAGGAGAAGGAUGACAGAAGAAUGCGGGACGCCAUCGCCCCUUCCCCCUCUUUAUAACGGGACGGGGUCGAGGCUCGACCGCCCCGCUCGGCCAAUCCAGCCACCGGAGGCGCAGGGAAUCAGGACCGACCCGCUGCCCCAACCAGCGACGGCCCGGUUUCCCGCCUCCACCCCUUGCCACCCCAGGCGCAUGAAGGACGCGUGGCGGACGUGCAGAACUGAGGGGACGGGUGAAGCAACAUCUCCCCACCCCGUGAUUGUGGGGAGUGGACGUCUUGAAGACCGCGACCCAGCCCCGUUCAGUAAAUGAGCCGCGCCUCCACGCCUCCCUCUUUUUAUGGGGAAGGCGCGAGCCGCCUCUUUACUAUGAUAUGACGCAUGCAUGUGCAAACCGCCCCACGCAUGCCGCCCACGUCACGCACACCCCUCCACGCCGCGCCGCGCGCGCGGGUCGUGGGAAGCGCAGCGCGCGAAAAGUAUUACCGCGGUAAAAACCGCCCCGCCUGCCCGCGCACCGUUCUGGGCCUAGCCCAACAACGCGUCACGCUUAUGUGUGGCCCAGGCCCAGGGGCUCCUGUCGGUGUACAAAAAGAGGGGUGCAUUUUUGUACCCCUAUACCUGUGCACGGGCAGUCAGAGCCGCGCCUACGGUCACACCAAGCAGAGCAAGGGAGGUGAGCCAAGGUAAGAUCGGAGCCCAAGAUAGUCAGAGCAACACCAAGGCCAAAACCACAAGGAGCAGAGGGACGAAGCAGGCUCCCCCGGCAAGACCCUUGCCGGGCAGCCUCAGCGGCCCUGGCAAGACCCUUGCCGAGGCAGCUCGCCCCACACCAACAGAGCGAGCCACCCUUGAGUCCACGGUCCCCAACGCCAUCACACACGUGGGGCCAGGGCUCGGGGAGCCACCUCUAUGGUGGCAUGCAGAUCUUUGUGAAGACAUAUUCAAGAUCAGAUGAGGAUUAAAAGACGACGAUCCUCGGCAAGAUCCUUGCCGAGGAAGGCCACCAGACCCCCGACAAGGUCCUUGCCGGGGACGAUAGCGCGCCACGGCAAGACCCUUGCCGGGCCACACGGCAAGACCCUUGCCGGGCCACCCGACAAGGCCCACACCAACCAAGAUUCCACCGCCAUUCACAUGCAGCUGCCAGCCCAACCAGCUGGGCGGGCACCUGCGUGGCAACAUGCAGCUCCCAAGCCAACUCAUCGAGCGCCUGCGUGGCGGCAUGCAGAUCUUCGUGAAGGCUCCACCACCGCACCACCUCAGCUGCCUGCCUGCCUACAUGGCACCACACGCAUCGCUGGCCCAGACGCGUGUCGAAACGAGGAGGAGCGGUAACGGACGGGACGGGCCUCAUCCCCGUCCCCGAUAAAGCAAGGGGACACCUAAGCUACGCAUUAAAUGUGUCUUGUCCUGUAAUACGAGCGAUAAGCUCAAGCGACUGUAUGCCUUUCCACCUCCUGUGUGCCACUGUGGCAGCCCCUUCUGACUAUAAAAGGAGGCCCCUGACAUACUGGAUAAGGAUUCGGCUCUUUGGAACCACGCACUGAUCACAGCUAGUUCGAGAGCUCAAGAACUCUCCGAAAUACACCCACCAAAGCAGGACUAGAGUUUUACGCAUCCUCGCGGCCCGAACCUGGAUAAACGAACAGUGUGCUCUCUGUUAGAUCCACUCUUCUCUCAACCCCACGCCCCGCCAACCGUAGUAGGGAUUCUUGUGAUCCCAUAGGUGUCGUUUCCCCGACAUUCUUGAUAUAGAUUGCAAUCUUACAUGUCCUAUUAUUCUUGGUAGACCUUUCCUUAGAACGAUUGGUGCAAUUAUUGACAUGAAAGAAGGAAAUAUUAGAUUCCAAUUUCCAUUAAGGAAAGGCAUGGAACACUUUCCUAGAAAGAAAAUUAAAUUACCCUAUGAAUCUAUUUGGAGAGCCACUUAUGAAUUGCAUAACAAAGAUGGCAAUACCUAGAUAUAUUCUUGCUUUUUAUGCCUAGCUAGGGGCGUUCAACGAUAGCGCUUGUUGGGAGGCAAACCAAUUUUAUUUUUGUUCUUUGCUUUUUGUUCUUGUUUAGUAAUGAAUAAUUCAUCUAGCCUCUGGUUAGAUGUGGUUUUGUGUUUUAAUUAGUGUUUGUUCCAACUAAUACCUUUAGGAUAACCUACGGUGAUAGUUAAUUUGAUCUUGCUGAAAAACACAAACUUUUGCGCGCAUGAAAAUAAUUUUCAUAAAUCAUAGGAAUGUUCUUUUCAGUUGAUUCUUUUUGCAGAAGAUUAAUAAACAAAUUUCUUAGGACUUCCUAAUUUCACAGAAUUUUUGGAGUUACAGAAGUAUAUGUAUGAAUCAGAUUGCUACAGACUAUUCUGUUUUUGAUAGAUUCUGUUUUUGUGUGUUUUUUGCUUAUUUUGGUGAAUCUAUAAGUAGUAUCGGGGGUGAGGGAGUCCUGGACUAAGGGGUUCUCGGGCGUCUGGCCUGUUAGCCAUGGGUCGAACUGGUGCGCUGUGAAGAUAUGAAGACCGAAGACUGCACCCGUGUCCGGAUGGAACUCUCCUUGGCGUGGAAAUCAAGCUGGGCGAUCAAAUAUGUAGAUUCCUUUCUUUGUAACCGACCUUGUAUAACCCUAGAUCCUCCCGAUGUCUAUAUAAAUCGAGGAGUUAGUCCGAGGGAGGAGAGAGACUCAUAACCAUAGUCAUACAGGCUAGACUCUUGGGGUUUAGCCAUUACGAUCUCGUGGUAGAUCAACUCUUGUAACACCCAUAUUCAUCAAGAUCGAUCAAGUACGAAGUAUGGUAUUACCUCCAUAGAGAGGGCCCGAACCUGGGUAAACAUUGUGUCCCCCGUCUCCUGUUACCAUCGAUCCUAGACGCACAGUUCGGGAUCCCCUACCCGAGAUCCGCCGGUUUUGACACCGACAUUGGUGCUUUCAUUGAGAGUUCCACUGUGUCGUCGUUAAAGGGGUUGAUGGCUCGCCUUGUCGUCAAGGAAAAUAUCACCUCUGGAGGAACCCUGGCCCCAGGCCAAACCCUCCAGCUGGGUGGCUUCAUCAUGACCGCCUGUCCGGCCCUUAAGCCAAUGAUGACCUCUCGAGUCAUCGAAAAUCGCCUCCGCGUUGAUCCCGAACACUCCAAAUGGAUGGAUCCGACGGAGCUAUCGUCUUUAAACGAACUCCUAGAUCGCAUCGCCGCCUUGGGAGUCGCUACAGACUACGAUCGGAUUGGGCUUAAACCCAACCAGAGAGAAAUUAAAACUCCACCGAGCACCCACCAGAUAGCGGUAGUCGAGGAGCAAGACAACUCUUCCCCUAUAUUGAGGACAAACUAUGUUCGGAUCUCCGAUCUCUAAAAGCCGGACACCCACCGGCAUAAAGACACACCUUGUCCCCCGAACAUAGAAUCGGACGGCAAGCCUAAAAAGCCAGUUGAUAUCCCGAAGCCCGAACUGUUAUGUCCGGAAGAUCUUCAGACUCCGGAUCCAAAGUUGAGCGCCGUGCUCGUCGUCGAACGAGAACAGGACAGACACAAAUUCCCUCUUCAGGAGCCAGUAUACUACGUAUCCACUGUCCUCACACCAUGCAAAUCCCGAUACCCCCAUUAUCAAAAAAUAGCAUACGCGGUCUUCAUGGCAUCCCGAAAGCUACGACACUACUUCCAGGAGUGUUCGAUCACGGUGGCUUGUGAAGUACCACCCAAUGACAUAAUAAACAACCGCGAUGCUACGGGCCGGAUUGCCAAAUGGGCCAUUGAGCUCCUUCCAUUUGAUAUAACAUACAAACCGCGUCGAGCCAUUAAAUCCCAAAUACUGGCUGACUUCAUCGCUGAAUGGACAGAGGCCGAACUCCCUAAAGAAUACGACACAUAUUCCAACUGGGUUAUGUAUUUUGAUGGUUCCAAAAUGCUGGCAGGACUAGGAGCGGGUGUCGUUCUGACGUCCCCCACCGGACACGUCGUCCAGUACGUACUCCAAAUAUUAUACACGGACUCCAAUAACGCAGCCAAAUACGAGGCCUUAUUACAUGGUCUUCAGAUGGCUGUCUCCAUGGGCAUACAACGCCUGGAAGUGCGUGGGGACUCAAACCUCGCAAUAUCUCAAAUAAAUGGAGACUUCGAUGCCAAAGAUCCAAAGAUGACGGCUUAUCGCAACGCCAUCCUAAAAAUGUCGGCUCGGUUCGAGGGGCUCGAGUUUCAUCACGUGGCCCGAGAAAGUAAUCAAGCGGCGGACGUCCCUGCUCGCAUCGGCGCCAAGCGCGACCCCGUCCCAUCUAACAUCUUUCUGGAAAGGCUUUUUAAGCCAUCCGUGAUGUGUCAAGGGGAGAGCGGCAACACUAGUCCGGAUCCGAACUCAACCAUAGAUCCCGAACACACCGGCAUCAUCGGGGGCUCAGCCACCGAAAUAACACCAUCGGCCCAUCUCAUUAUGGCAGUCAUUGCCCCAUGGACCAAACCCUUCUUGGCCUACCUUGAUAGGAAGGAACUCCCUGAGGAUCAGAAUGAGGCCUGCCGCAUUGUCCGGCGUUCGAAGCCCUACAAAGUUCACGACGGAGAGCUCUACAAGAAAAGCCCUACCGGAGUCCUUCAAAGAUGUAUCUCCGAGGAGGAGGGGCGGCAGCUCCUGGCUGAAACUCAUGCCGGUCUCGGCGGGCACCACGCCGCAGCUCGGGCCCUUGUUAGCAAGGCCUUCCGUACAGGUUUUUAUUGGCCGACGGCCCGAGCAGACGCACAGGACCUUGUCCAACGUUGCAUCGGAUGCCAGCUUUUCGCCAACCAGAGCCAUAUGCCACCCACCGCUCUGCAAACAAUCCCCAUUACUUGGCCUUUUGCGGUCUGGCGGCUUGAUAUGGUCGGACCCCUUAAAGGAGGAAGCCAUAAGAAAAAAUAUCUGCUGGUCAUGGUGGAUAAAUUCACCAAAUGGAUAGAGGCCAAACCGGUUAAAACGGCCGUAGUCGGACCAGUGAUAGACUUUAUAUCUGGCGUUGUACACCGUUAUGGUGUUCCACACAGCAUCAUCACCGACAACGGCUCCAACUUUACAGCCGACGAGGUGAAAAAUUGGUGCGCCAAUCUGGGCAUUAAGCUCGAUUACGCCUCCGUCUAUCACCCACAAACAAACGGUCAAGUCGAACGGGCUAAUGGUCUUAUUAUGAGCGGCAUCAAAACCAGAUUAGUACGGUCUUUGAAAGAAUCAGACAAGCACUAGGUUGAGGAGCUUGACUCCGUACUCUGGGGGCUGCGGAGCACGCCCAACCGCACUACUGGAUAUACACCUUUCUUCAUGGUGUACGGCGCUGAAGCAGUAUUACCCUGCGACAUUAUUCAUGACUCACCUCGAAUGCGCAUGUACGAAGAGAGAGAGGCCGAGCUUGAUCGGCAGGACAGCUUAGAUGCCCUGGAGGAGGAGCGCGACGUCGCAAAAGCCCGUUCCGCAUUUUAUCAACAGCAGGCUCGCAGGUAUCAAAGUAGAGAAGUGCGGACCAAGACUUAUAAUGUUGGCAAACUCGUUCUAUGCCUACCGGAGAAGAAAAAGGACAAACUCAAGCCCAAGUGGGAGGGUCCCUUCAUCAUUGACGAAGUUCUCAGUGGAGGAGCAUACCGCCAGCGUGACGCGUCAGAUAACCGCCUAGAGCUGAACCCCUGGAACGCGGCCAGACUCCAAAGACUCUAUGCCUAGCGCCGGACUAUUGGUCCGUCUCCUUCUCCCUGUUGUUUACAUCAUCUUUCCUUUUUUUUCUCUCUCUCUCUCUCUCUUUUCGUUUUUUCACUCCAGCCUUAAAGCUUUCGUGCGGUUAGACCAUGCACCCCUGACGUAUACAUCUUUAAAUAUGUACAUCCACUAUACCUGGGGGCUUCUUGGACAGAAGCUUGCUAUUAUUAUCUUUCGAGCAUCAAGCUCAUCACAUAUGCGUUCUUUUCCAUAUGUACCUUUUCUUCGCCAUUAUAUGCAUCGAUAUGACUUAAGUUGUGGCCAAGCUGGGUUGCCUGGCUCCUGUGCUUAUGCCCUACGUUCCCGUUAGUUCGGCUAGGGCAUAAAGGGAGCACCUCUGCGAUUGUUGCUGCCGGGUCAUCGGAUGUGUACCUCAGACUGGGUGAAGCCGAAAGCUAGCAUUCUUAAGGGAAUAUUCGGUCGGUGAAUUAAAGACGUUUUCGCAUUUACUCCAUUGUAAACCCACAGAAGUUACACAUACUGCGAUUUUUCAAUCACAGUUCGGACAUGUACAUUAACGCAUGCACACCCAGGGAAAGGAACCCUUAAUGGAACUAUUCUCUCUGGAAGAUGUUUCUUACAAUCACAAUGUAAUAUAACAUAGCUAGUCGGAUACAACUUGUCUAUUCAAGCAACUAUGACCCCUACGCCUGGUUUCCACGCGUGCCCCGGUAUAUUUUGCUGCUCGGGUAUUCAGAAACACUCUGCACCUUCGGGCCUAGAGGUCGAAGCGAAAAGGUCUGCCAUGACAAUCGUUUUUACAAUCCAGCUAGGGAAAAAUAUGUCAAGGAAAAUACAUAGUCAUUUGGACUCAUAAAUUUCCUCCUCUAUACCAUCCAACAGGUUGUCUAACUUACAAUCCUGUUGGGAAUACUUGGCAGCUACUGCUACUUGGUCAUACACCAAAUUAACGGGAACUUCUUUUCCGUCUGACCCUAGAGGUCCGACCCGGGCCAUGCGAUUUGGAUCAAGCUUGGUAUACCAUGUUUUCACCAUGGCCCAGGCUUCUCGCGCACCCUCCCGGCAGGCUGAUAAUUUCCACAAUCGGAUACACCGCCACACUCCCUUGAAUAGCUCUACAAGCUCCUCCAUACUUCCUGGAGGGGAGGCGGAUGGCCAUAAGGCCUUGGCAACACUCCGCAUUGCCUGCCGAGCUUGCUCGUGCAUUUGGGACAGCCCUUGCAGCAGAUCGCUUGACGAUCCGGAUACCUCCUGUUUGGGAUGGCCCAUCAGCAUACCUACAAAACAUAACUAUGUCAGAGACUUUCAUCUCCAAAUUACUAUAAGGUAAGUUCGGUCACAUACUGAAUAUGCCGCCAUGCAGCCUUUUAUUUUCUUUUACGGAGUCAGCCAGCUGGGCCCGCACAUCUUUCAGCUCUUCGCCCAGCUGGGUGUUCAAAUCUUGGAGCUUGUUCUUUUCCUCCUUGGCUUGGUUCAGCACUCGCUCGCCUGCGGCGUGUAGUCUUUUGGCCUCUUUUUCUCCCGCCAGUGCGGUUUUCAGCUUCUCCUCCAGUUGAUCUGACGAUCCUGUCAUGAGAUAAGCAACAGUGUUAGCAUAACUGGUAUAUAAUUACUAUUUCUCGAUGGAGGGACAUAUUACCAGAGGGCGCCUUCUUGAACCCUUCUAGUUCGGCGGUGACAGCAUUUAGCUGUGUCUGACACUUUUCUAGCUCUUGGGCUAGCAGGCCGUUCUUCUUUGUAAGAACCUGGUCAUACAACGAUCCUUAAAUCAUUUGUACCAACUGCUUCAAGUCUCGGGGGCUACUGGUAUAUAAUUAUCACAUUUGGACAAAAUAAACUUACCUGCAUAUCUUUCAGAUAUUGUCCUGUGGCUCUGGCAAGCCCAUCUCGAGCAGUCCGGAUGUAUGCAUCAGCCGAGUUGAAGGCGUUGAAUGCUUCUGUUGAAAAGCCGGGUUCACGAAGAACGGCUCUCUGGCGCCGAUGAUUCAUGGCGCUCUCCACCUCCGAGUUGGUGAUGGAUACAUCAUCCGAAUCCUCGGCUGGAGGACAAUCCGGCGUCACCCCCGUAUCAGCCCCCACCUUUACGGUGGGAUCUGGAUCCUGGCUGUGGGAAGUGUGACCGGCCGGACCCCUAGAUAUAGUCCGGCACGCCCUUUUCCUGAUACACGACAAACAUAAAAUUCACAAUUGAUGUGACUGCUGAAGAACAUAUUUGCAAAUCCAUACCUCUUCGAUGAAGGUUUGGCCGUAUCUUCAUUUGCCAUCCUCUUCGAAGGCCUGCCCGGCGUGGGGGCCGCUAUCUUUGGAGACGCCCCGGGGGCGGAAUGGUGCGCCGAACGCCUCCCCUUUUGUGCAUAGGAUGGUGCGGUGGGUGAGGCAGAAUGAGAGAACUCUUUCGGACAAGGUGUCUCCUGAUUACUUACCUGUGAAGCAGGGAGAAGACCGGGAUAGUCGGCAAUGAUGGCCACUUCUGUGCCAUCGUAGCUUGUUUGGUAAAACACCCCAUUCUCGAGCACUACAAAUAUAUCCGGAUCUUCUUCGAAUCCAGGGUCAAGGUCCCGAUUGUGGCCCUCGGGCUGCGGGGCGGGGCUGUGAAGCCCCUCGGAAAUCUUCCGCCAGUGCUAUCAUAAAUGGACGGGUUAAUAUUCAUUGAACAUAGCUCAGGGAGUGGAAUGAGUAGAGCAGAGGAGUUGGGGGCUUACCCAGCUAGGAGGACUAUACAUAGAAUAUCCUUCUCUAUGCUUGAUGCGCAGGAAUUCCUCUUCCUCCCCUUUGAACAGUUCGGCCAAUAUUUUGGCCAGGGCGGCAGGGGUAUCUGGACCUUUCUUGCCGCAGCGGGAGGCGUCAUCUUCCCCAUUGUAGUGCCACAUGGGAAGUCCUCUGUAUUGGAGUGGCUAGACCCUCUGCACUUUAGAGGUCGCCAUUACUUCGACUAUCGUAUAUUCGGACUGGGUGAGCAUCCUUAUCUUGCUCAAGAGUUGGCGAACUUCCGCACUAUCUUCCUCCUCGAAGCUCCGAGGGCACCAGCUGUGGCGUUUCUUCAAAGGAACACUUGUGAACUCAGGAAGACCUCUCCGGACUGGGUCCGGAAGUACGACGUCCUCAAUGUAGAACCACUCGGAAGGCCACUCUUCGGACGCUUUCUUUGGUGUUCUGGAUAGGUAUCCGGUAUCGGCAAUACGCCAUAUUUUGGCUCCGCCCACUUCGAAUAUUGAUCCCUCGUGGUUGCGCGGGACGAGGCAAAAUAACUUUCUCCACAGUUCAAAAUGGGACUCACAACCUAGAAAUAGCUCGCAUAAAGCGACAUAACCCGCAAUGUGCGGGAUGGAGGCGGGAGUAAAGUUGUGCAGCUGGAGGCCAUAGUAUUCCAGAAGCCCUCGAAGGAACGGAUGGAUUGGAAAUCCGAAGCCCCUCAGCAGAUAGGGGACGAAACAUACUCAUCCCCCCCCCCCCGGAUGGGUUGGGGAAACCCUCCGCUUGGGUUUCGCCAUUGAAGGAGGCCAGCCCUGGUCGAACAGAGACCAGAUCCGCAGGGGGGAGAAAUCCCUAUUUUUGCAGCUCCACAAGCUGACUGUGGGGGACGGGGCACUUCUCCCACUCGCCUUUUUCUGAGCCAUAGAGACGGGAGGAGGAGCUGGGAAAGCUAGACAUGUUGGAGUGUUCUUUCCUAGCAAUUUUUGAGGAUUCUUCCGCAGGGAUGUCGAAUGGAUCUGAGAUCCAAUCUCUUUAAAUAGACCCUAUCCCUUGUGUGGCCAGGGUGCUACGUGCAAAAACACCUUGACCUCUCGCAUUUACUGGACGCGUGGAGGCCGAAGUUGUUGAUACACAGAAGCCGAGGGGUGCGAUAUUAUAUGGAAGGCCGGAUACGUCACUUCAAAAUCAUCGGAAGAAGGAACCCGCCUUGCAAUGCCGAAGACAAUCUACGUGCCGAACACCUCGUCAUUGAAGCCUGGUUCGGGGGCUACUGAGGGAGUCCUGAACUAAGGGGUUCUCGGGCGUCUGGCCUAUUAGCCAUGGCCCGGACUGGUGGGCUGUGAAGAUAUGAAGACCGAAGACUGCACCCGUGUCCGGAUGGAACUCUCCUUGGCGUGGAAGGCAAGCUAGGCGAUCAAAUAUGUAGAUUCCUUUCUUUGUAACCGACCUUGUGUAACCCUAGAUCCUCCCGGUGUCUAUAUAAACCGAGGAGUUAGUCCGGGGGAGGAGAGAGACUCAUAACCAUAGUCAUACAGGCUAGACUCUUAGGGUUUAGCCAUUACGAUCUCGUGGUAGAUCAACUCUUGUAACACCCAUAUUCAUCAAUAUCAAUUAAGCAGGAAGUAGGGUAUUACCUCCAUAGAGAGGGCCCGAACCUGGGUAAACAUUGUGUCACCCAUCUCUUGUUACCAUCGAUCCUAGACGGACCGUUCGGGACCCCCUACCCGAGAUCCGCCGGUUUUGACACCGACAGGGGGUAUGAACCAUAGAGAAGUUGGAAUACAGUAGGUUUAACACCAAUACAAAUAAAGAAUGAGUUCAUUACAGUACCUUAAAGUGGUGGUUUGUUUUCUUAAACUAACGGAGCUCAUGAGAUUUUCUCUUAAGUUUUGUGUUGUGAAGUUUUCAAGUUUUUGGGUAAAGAUUUGAUGGAUUUUGGAAUAAGGAGUGGCAAGAGCCUAAGCUUGGGGAUGCCCAAGGCACCCCAAGGUAAAACUCAAGGACAACCAAAAGCCUAAGCUUGUGGAUGCCCCGGAAGGCAUCCCUCUUUCGUCUUCGUCUAUCGGUAACUUUACUUGAGGCUAUAUUUUUAUUCACCACAUGAUAUGUGUUUUGCUUGGAGCGUCUUGUAUGAUUUGAGUCUUUACUUUUUAGUUUACCACAAUCAUCCUUGCUGAAUACACCUUUUGAGAGAGACACACAUGAAUCAGAAUUUAUUAGAAUACUCUAUGUGCUUCACUUAUAUCUUUUGAGCUAGAUAAUUUUGCUCUAGUGCUUCACUUAUAUCUUUUUAGAGCAUGUGGUGGUUUUAUUUUAUAGAAAUUAUUGAUCUCUCAUGCUUCACUUAUAUUAUUUUGAGAGUCUCUUAGCACAACAUGGUAAUUUGCUUUGGCUAUAAAAUUAGUCCGAAUAUGAGGAGCAUCCAAGAUGGGUAUAAUAAAAACUAUCAUAUAAAGUGCAUUGAAUACUAUGAGAAGAUUGAUUCCUUAUGAUGGUUUUGAGAUAUGAAGAUGGUGAUAUUAGAGUCAUGCUAGUUGAGUAGUUGUGAAUUUGAGAGAUACUUGUGUUAAAGUUUGUGAUUCCCGUAGCAUGCACGUAUGGUGAACCGUUAUGUGAUGAAGUUGGAGCAUGAUUUAUUUAUUGAUUGUCUUCCUUAUGUGUGGAGGUCGGGAUCGCGCGAUGGUUAACUCCUACCAACCCUUACCCUAGGAGCAUGUGUGUAGUACUUUGUUUCGAUGACUUGUAGAUUUUUGCAAUAAGUAUGUGAGUUCUUUAUGACUAAUGUUGAGUCCAUGGAUUAUACACACUCUCACCCUUCCACCAUUGCUAGCCUCUCUUGUGCCGCGCAACUUUCGCCGGUACCAUAAACCCAUCACUUACCUUCCUCAAAACAGCCACCAUACCUACCUAUUAUGGCAUUUCCAUAGCCAUUCCGAGAUAUAUUGCCAUGCAACUUUCCACCGUUCAGUUUAUUAUGACACGCUUCAUCAUAGUCAUAUUGCUUUGCAUGAUCAUGUAGUUGAGAUCGUAUUUGUGGCAUGGCCACCAUUCAUAAUUUUUCAUACAUGUCACUCUUGAUUCAUUGCACAUCCCGGUACACCGCUGGAGGCAUUCACAUAGAGUCAUAUUUUGUUCUAAGUAUCGAGUUGUAAUUCUUGAGUUGUAAGUAAAUAAAAGUGUGAGGAUCUUCAUUAUUAGAGCAUUGUCACAUGUGAGGAAAGGAUGAUGGAGACUAUGAUUCCCCCACAAGUCAGGAUGAGACUCCGGACAAAAAAAUAAAAGAGGCCAAAGAAUCCCAAAUAAAAUAAGAGGCCAAAGAAGCCCACCAAAAAAAUGAGAGAAAAAGAGAGAAGGGACAAUGUUACUAUCCUUUUUCCACACUUGUGCUUCAAAGUAGCAGCAUGAUCUUCAUGAUAGAGAGUCUCUUAUGUUGUCACUUUCAUAUACUAGUGGGAAUUUUUCAUUAUAGAACUUGGCUUGUAUAUUCCAAUGAUGGGCUUCCUCAAAUUGCCCUAGGUCUUCGUGAGCGAGCAAGUUGGAUGCACAUCCACUUAGCUUCUUUUGUUGAGCUUUCAUACACUUAUAGCUCUAGUGCAUCCGUUGCAUGGCAAUCCCUACUCACUCGCAUUGAUAUCUAUUGAUGGACAUCUCCAUAGCUCGUUGAUACGCCUAGUUGAUGUGAGACUAUCUUCCUCUUUUUUGUCUUCACCACGACCACCAUUCUAUUCCACCUAUAGUGCUAUGUCCAUGGCUCACGCUCAUGUAUUGCGUGAAAGCUGAAAAAGUUUGAGAAUACUAAAGUAUGAAACAAUUGCUUGGCUGAAACCGGGGUUGUGCAUGAUUUAAAUAUUUUGUGUGAUGAAGAUAGAGCAUAGCCAGACUAUAUGAUUUUAUAGGGAUGACUUUCUUUGGCUAUGUUAUUUUGAGAAGACAUAAUUGCUUGGUUAGUAUGCUUGAAGUAUUAUUAUUUUUAUGUCAAUAUUAAACUUUUGUCUUGAAUCUAUCGGAUCUGAACAUUCAUGCCACGAUAAAGGAAAUUACAUUCAAAAAUAUGUUAGGUAGCAUUCCACAUCAAAAAUUUUGUUUUUAUCAUUUACCUACUCAUGGACGAGCAGGAAUUAAGCUUGGGGAUGCUUGAUACAUCUCCAAUGUAUCUAUAAUUUUUUAUUGUUCCAUGCUAUUAUACUAUCUGUUUGGAUGUUUAAUGGGCUUUAAUAUGCUCUUUUAUAUUAUUUUUUGGACUAACCUAUUAACCGAAGGCCCAGUGCCAAUUCCUGUUUUUUUGCCUAUUUCAGUGUUUUGCAGAAAAGGAAUACCAAACGGAAUCCAAACAGAACAAAACCUUCACGAGGAUCUUUCCUAGAACAAACGCAAUCCAGAAGACUUGGAGUUGAAGUCUGGAACUCCGCGAGGCGGCCACGAGGUAGGAGGGCGCGCCCAGGGGGUAGGCGCGCCCCCACCCUCAUGGGCCCCACGGAGCUCCACGACCUAUUUCUUUCACCUAUAUAUACUCUUAUACCCUAGAAACAUCAGGGGGAGCCACGAAACCACUUUUCCACCGCUGCAACCUUCUGUACCCAUGAAAUACCAUCUUGGCGCCUUUUCCGGCGCUCCGCCGGAGGGGGAAUCAAUCACGGAGGGCUUCUACAUCAACACCAUUGCCUCUUCGAUGAUGUGUGAGUAGUUUACCACAGACCUUCGGGUCCAUAGUUAUUAGCUGAUGGCUUCUUCUCUCUCUUUGAUUCGCAAUACAAAGUUCUCCUCGAUGUUCUUGGAGAUCUAUUCGAUGUAAUAUUCUUUUGCGGUGUGUUUGCCGAGAUCCGAUGAAUUGUGGAUUUAUGAUCAAGUUUAUCUAUGAAUAAUAUUGGUUCUUCUCUGAAUUCUUAUAUGCAUGAUUUGAUAUCUUUGCAAGUCUCUUCGAAUUAUCGGUUUAGUUUGGCCUACUAGAUUGAUCUUUCUUGCAAUGGGAGAAGUGCUUAGCUUUGGGUUCAAUCUUGCGGUGUCCUUUCCCAGUGAUAGUAGGGGCAGCAAUGCACGUAUUGUAUUGUUGCCAUCGAGGAUAAAAAGAUGGGGUUUAUAUCAUAUUGCUUGAGUUUAUCCCUCUACAUCGUCUCAUCUUGCUUAAUGCGUUACUCAGUUCUUAUGAACUUAAUACUCUAGAUGCAUGCUGGAUAGCGGUCUAUGUGUGGAGUAAUAGUAGUAGAUGCGGAAUCGUUUCGGUCUACUUGACACAGACAAGAUGCCUAUAUUCAUGAUCAUUGCCUAGAUAUUCUCAUAAUUAUGCGCUUUUCUAUCAAUUGCUCGGCAGUAAUUUGUUCACCCACCGUAAUAUAUGCUAUCUUGAGAGAAGCCACUAGUGAAACCUAUGGCCCCCGGGUCUCUUUCCUAUUAUAUUACAUCUCUUUUAUUUACAUCGCAUCUCGUUUGUUAUUUUGCAAUCUUUACUUUCCAAUCUAUACAACAAAAAUACCAAAAAUAUUUAUCUUAUUAUCUUUAUCAGAUCUCACUUUUGCGAGUGACCGUGAAGGGAUUGACAACCCCUUUAUCGCGUUGGUUGCAAGGUUCUUGAUUGUUUGUGCAGGUACUAGGUGACUUGCGUGUUAUCUUCUACUGGAUUGAUACCUUGGUUCUCAAAAACUGAGGGAAAUACUUACGCUACUUUGCUGCAUCACUCUUUCCUCUUCAAUGGAAAACCAACGCAUGCUCAAGAGGUAGCAUCCGUACUUUCGCUAGCUAGUGCAAUCUCCCAACAAUGCUAAUAUAAUUGGAUCAUAUAACCAUCCCUCAACGUGCGAUGAAGAAUCACUCGAAAGUUCCUAUCUAGCGGAGAACAUAAGAAGAAAUUGUUUGUAGGGUACGAAACCACCUCGAAGCUAUUCUUUCCGAUCAAUCUAUCCAAGAGUUCAUACUAAAAUAACACCAAAUAAUUUCAAAUACAUAAUACUCAAUCCAACACAAAGAACCUCAAAGAGUUCCCCAAGAUUUCUACCAGAGAAACAAAGACAAGAACGUGCAUCAACCCCUAUGCAUUGAUUACCCCAGUGUCACCUCGGGAAUCCGCGAGUUGAGUGCCAAAACAUACAUCAAGUGAAUCAAUAUGAUACCCCAUUGUCACCACGAGUAUUCACUUGCAAGACAUAUAUCAAGUGCUCUCAAAUCCAGAAAAGUAUUCAAUCCGAUAAAACGAAAUCUCAAAGGUAAAACACAAUUCAUCACAAGAUAGAGAGGGGAAAACACCAUAUGAUCUGACUAUAUUAACAAAGCCCGCGAUACAUCAAGAUCGUGACAUCUCAAGAACACGAGAGAGAGAGAGAGAGAUUAAACACAUAGCUACUGGUACAAACCCUCAGCCCCGAGGGUGGACUACUCCCUCCUCGUCAUAGUGGUCGCCGGGAUGAUGAAGAUGGCCACCGGUGAUGAUUUCCCCUCCGGCGGAGUGCCGGAACGGGGUAUAGAUUGGUUUUCGGUGGCUACAGAGGCUUGCGGCGGUGUAACUUCUCAUCUAGGGUUACCCCGAGGGUUUUUGGAAUAUUUGGUGAUUUAUAGGGCAAAGAGGGGGUGCGGGAGGCCACCGAGGUGAGCAUAACCCACCUGGGCGCGCCUGGGCCCCCAGGCGCACCCUGGUGGGUUUGNNNNNNNNNNNNNNNNNNNNNNNNNNNNNNNNNNNNNNNNNNNNNNNNNNNNNNNNNNNNNNNNNNNNNNNNNNNNNNNNNNNNNNNNNNNNNNNNNNNNNNNNNNNNNNNNNNNNNNNNNNNNNNNNNNNNNNNNNNNNNNNNNNNNNNNNNNNNNNNNNNNNNNNNNNNNNNNNNNNNNNNNNNNNNNNNNNNNNNNNNNNNNNNNNNNNNNNNNNNNNNNNNNNNNNNNNNNNNNNNNNNNNNNNNNNNNNNNNNNNNNNNNNNNNNNNNNNNNNNNNNNNNNNNNNNNNNNNNNNNNNNNNNNNNNNNNGGUGCUUCUCUGGCCCACUGGAUGUCUUCUGGUCCAUAAAAAAUCCACAAAAAGUUUCACGGUAUUUGGACUCCGUUUGGUAUUGAUUUCCUAUGAUGUAAAAAAGAAGCAAAAAACAGCAACUGGCACUGGGCACUGGGUCAAUAGGUUAGUCCCAAAAAAUGAUAUAAAGUUGUUAUAAAAUGAUUGUAAAACAUCCAAGAAUGAUAUAUAACAGCAUGAAUAGUUCAUAAAUUAUAGAUACGUUGGAGACGUAUCAGCAUCCCCAAGCUUAAUUCCUACUCGUCCUCGAGUAGGUAAAUGAUAAAAGAAAUAAUUUAUGAAGUGUGAAUGCUAGCAAAGUGCACAAGUUUGAUCAAUGACAAUUUCAAUCACUUUUCCUAGCAUCAUAAUAGCAAUUCUUUCUUAUAGAACUUCUCGUGUUAAAGUAGCAACCAAUUCACAUGUUGAGAUUCAAACAAUGAAUUCUCUUGAAACUCAACAACCUAUGUUCUCAGUCAUCAAGCAAUUGCAAUUUAACUUAUUCAACAGAGUCUAAGUAAGAGCUCCACAUACUCAACCAUCAUAUAGUCUUCUAUGAUUGCUAACACUCACCGCAUACACAUGAGCAAAACGUUUCAACCGGACACAUAGAAAUAUAGGGGCUUAUAAUUUCGCCUCCCAACGUAUUCACCUCAAGGGUGAUGUCAACAAUAAUAACUCAUGCUACCCAUAUCCAACUAGAUAUAUGUGCCUAGAUCUUUCCUCACCACAUGAUGCUUUCCAAAAGAGAAAAAUAAAAAGGAAUAGAGAGAAAAACUUGACUCUUGCAUGAAAGUAAAUACAUAAAAGUAAAAGGUAGGCCCUUCGCAGAGGGAAGCAGAGGUUGUCAUGCGCUUUUUGUUUGUAUGUUCAACCCCUUGGUGCAAAAGAAUGUCAUUUUAUAUUGCCCCUUAUGAUAGCAACCUUUAUUAUGCAGUAUGUCGCUUUUAUUCUUUGCCAUCACAAGUUCGUACAACGCUCAAUUUUCUCUUACACUAAAUGAUCUAACACUUUUUGAAGCAAUUUUUAUUUCCUUAUUGCACCGAUGACAACUUACUUGAAGGAUCUUACUCAAUCCUUAGGUAGGUAUGGUGGACUCUUGAAAAUAAGAUUUGGGUUUAAGGGUUAUUGGAAGCACAAGUAGUAUCUCUACUUGGUGCAGAAUUUUUGGCUAGCAAAGAUGGGGGGCAAGCACCACAUGUUGAAGGAUCUAUGACAAUAUAACUUCUAUGUGAAUAUGAACAAACAUAAAUCAUUACGUUGUCUUCCUUGUCCAACAUCAACAAUUUUGGCAAAUAAUAUUUUGAUGGUGGCUCACAAUCACAAAAGAUUUCCAAGAUAGUGUAUUUUCAUGUGAAAGUUCUCUUCCUUCUACUAAUCAUUCAUGAAUUGCUUGUAUGACCAAUAUUGUGAUUGUCAAGCCUCAAAAGAUCUCACUUUCUAAACCCAAUGUGAAGCAACCACUAGGCAUGAUAUGAAAAUAUAAUUUUAACUUCAUUACAUUCAAUUUAUUCAACAAUUUACUCAUAGGAUAUAAGUGAAGCACAAGACUAAAUGACAAGCUACUCCAAAAAGAUAUUAGUGAAGGUCAAGCGAGUAGUUAAGUAAAUAGAUAGCUAUGUGAGGAGACUCUCUUGUUUGAAACUUUCAUAUCUAAAUAUUUUAUUAAAACGGCAAGAAAAACAAAAUAAAAUGACAUUCCAAGGAUAGCACUGAAGGAAAUAUGCCCUAGAGGCAAUAAUAAAGUUGUUAUUUAUAUUUCCUUAUAUCAUGAUAAAUGUUUAUAAUUCAUGCUAGAAUUGUAUUAACCGGAAACUUAGUACAUGUGUGAAUACAUAGACAAAACAGAGUGCCCCUAGUAUGCCUCUACUAGACUAGCUCGUUGAUCAAAGAUGGUUAUGUUUCCUGACCAUAGACAUGUGUUGUCAUUUGAUGAACGGGAUCACAUCAUUAGAGAAUUAUGUGAUGGACAAGACUCAUCCGUUAGCUUAGCAUAAUAAUCGUUUAGUUUUAUUGCUAUUGCUUUCUUCAUGACUUAUGCAUGUUCCUGUGACUAUGAGAUUAUGCAACUCCCGAAUACCGGAGGAACACUUUGUGUGCUAUCAAACGCCACAAUGUAACUGGGUGAUUAUAAAUAUGCUCUACAGGUGUCUCCGAAGGUGUUUGUUUGGUUGGCAUAGAUCAAGAUUAGGAUUUGUCACUCCGUGUAUCGGAGAGGUAUCUCUGAGCCCUCUCGGUAAUGCACAUCACUAUAAGCCUUGCAAGCAAUGUGACUAAUGAGUUAGUUGCGGGAUGAUGCAUUACGGAAUGAGUAAAGAGACUUGCCAGUAACGAUAUUGAACUAGGUAUGAUGAUACCAACGAUCGAAUCUCGGGCAAGUAACAUACCGAUGACAAAGGGAAUGACGUAUGUUGUUAUGCCGAUUGACCGAUAAAGAUCUUCGUAGAAUAUGUAGGAGCCAAUAUGAGCAUCCAGGUUCCGCUAUUGGUUAUUGACCGGAGAUGUGUCUCGGUCAUGUCUACAUAGUUCUCGAACCCGUAGGGUCCGCACGCUUAACGUUUGAUGACAAUUUGUAUUAUGAGUUAUGUGUUUUGGUGACCGAUGUUUGUUCGGAGUCUCGAAUGAGAUCACGGACAUGACGAGGAGUCUCGAAAUGGUCGAGAGGUAAACAUUGAUAUAUUGGAAGGUUAUAUACGGACACCGGAAUGGUUCUGAAGAAGAUCAGGGAUUUUUCGGAGUACCGGGAGGUUACAGGAACCCCCCGGGAAAGUUAUUGGGCCUAUUGGGCCAUAGUGGAGGAGAGGAGGCAGGCCACGGGAGGUGGCACGCGCCCCCCUUGCCCCAUCCGAAUUGGACAAGGGGAGGGGGUGCGGCCCCCCUCUUUCCUUCUCCCUCUCUCUCCCUUCCCCUUUCCCCUCUCCGUUAGAUGGAAGGAGGGGGGCCGAAUCCUACUAGGGACGAAGUCCUAGUAGGACUCCCCCCUCAUGGUGCGCCCCCCUUGGGCCGGCCUCCUCCUCCCCCCUCCUUUAUAAACAUGGGCAGGGGGCACCCCAAAGACACACAAUUGUUUUCUUAGCCGUGUGCGGUGCCCCCUCCACAGUUUACCACCUCGGUCAUAUUAUCAUAGUGCUUAGGCGAAGCCCUGCGCGGAUCACAUCACCAACACCGUCGCCACGCCAUCGUGCUAAAGGAACUCUCCCUCGACCCUCUACUGGAUCAAGAGCUCGAGGGACGUCAUUGUGCUGAAGUGUGCUGAACACGAAGGUGCCGUACAUUCGGUACUUGGAUCGGUUAGAUCGUGAAGACGUUCAACUACAUCAACCGCGUUACUAAACGCUUCCGCUUUCGGUCUACGCGGGUACGUGGACACACUCUUCCCUCUCGUUGCUAUGCAUCUCCUAGAUAGAUCUUGCAUGAUCGUAGGGACUUUUUUGAAUUACUACAUUCCCCAACAGUGGCAUCAGAGCCAGGUCUAUGCGUAGAUGAUAUAUGCACGAGUAGAACACAAUGAGUUGUGGGCGAUAAUAGUCAUAUUGCUUACCACCAACGUCUUACUUUGAUUCGGUGGUAUUGUUGGAUGAAGCGGCCUAGACCGACAUUACAUGACCGUGUUCAUGAGACUGGUUCUACCGACGUGCUUCGCACACAGGUGGCUAGUGGGUGUUUGUUUCUCCAACUUCAGUUGAAUCGAGUUUGACUACGGCCGGUCCUUGUUGAAGGUUAAAACAGCACACUUGACGAAAAAUCAUUGUGGUUUUCAUGCGUAGGUAAGAACGGUUCUUGUUAAAAGCCCGUAGCAGCCACAUAAAACUUGCGACAACAAAGUAGAGGACGUCUAACUUGUUUUUGCAGGGCAUGUUGUGAUGUGAUAUGGUCAAGACGUGAUGAGAUAUAAAUUGUUGUAUGAGAUGAUCAUGUUUUGUAAAAGUUAUCGGCAACUGGCAGGAGCCUUAUGGUUGUCGCUUUAUUGUAUGAAAUGCAAUAGCCAUGUAAUUGCUUUACUUUAUCACUAAGCGGUAGCAAUAGUCGUAGAAGCAAUAGUUGGCGAGACUACAAUGAUGCUACGAUGGAGAUCAAGGUGGCAAGCCAAUGACGAUGGAGAUCAUGACUGUGCUUUGGAGAUGGAGAUCAAAGGCACAAGAUGAUGAUGGCCAUAUCAUGUCACAUAUUUUGAUUGCAUGUGAUGUUUAUCUUUUAUGCAUCUUAUUUUGCUUAGUACGGCGGUAGCAUUAUAAGAUGAUCCCUCACUAAAUUUCAAGGUAUAAGUGUUCUCCCUGAGUAUGCACCGUUGCUACAGUUCGUCGUGCCGAGACACCACGUGAUGAUCGGGUGUGAUAAGCUCUACGUUCACAUACAACGGGUGCAAGCCAGUUUUGCACGUGCAGAAUACUCGGGUUAAACUUGACGAGCCUAGCAUAUGCAGAUAUGGCCUCGGAACACUGAUACCGAAAGGUCGAAUGUGAAUCAUAUAGUAGAUAUGAUCAACACAGUGAUGUUCACCAUUGAAAACUACUCCAUCUCACGUGAUGAUCGAACAUGGUUUAGUUGAUAUGGAUCACGUGAUCAUUUAGACGACUAGAGGGAUGUCUAUCUAAGUGGGAGUUCUUAAGUAAUAUGAUUAAUUGAACUUAAAUUUAUCAUGAACUUAGUACCUGAUAGUUUUUGCAUGUCUAUGUUGUUGUAGAUCAAUGGCACGUGCUACCGUUCCCUUGAAUUUUAAUGCGUUCCCAGAGAAAGCUAAGUUGAAAGAUGAUGGUAGCAACUACACGGACUGGGUCCGUAACUUGAGGAUUAUCCUCAUUGCUGUACAGAAGAAUUACAACCUGGAAGCACCGCUAGGUGCAAGACCCGCUGCAGGAGCAACUCCGGACGUUAUGAACGUCUGGCAGAGCAAAGCUGAUGAGUACUCGAUAGUUCAGUUUGCCAUGCUUUACGGCUUAGAAUCAGGACUUCAAAGACGUUUUGAACGUCAUGGAGCAUAUGAGAUGUUCCAGGAGUUGAAGUUAAUAAUUCAAGCAAAUGCCUGAGUUGAGAGAUAUGAAGUCUACAACAAGUUCUAUAGCUGCAAGAUGGAGGAGAAUUGUUCUGUCAAUGAACAUAUCCUCAAAAUGUCUGGGUAUCAUAACCACUUGACUCAGCUGGGAGUUAAUCUCCCUGAUGAUAGUGUCAUUGACAGAGUUCUUCAAUCACUGCCACCAAGCUAUGAAGGCUUCGUGAUGAACUAUAAUAUGCAAGGGAUGGAGAAGACUAUUCCCGAGCUCUUCGCAAUGCUAAAAGUUGUGGAGGUAGAAAUCAAGAAGGAACAUCAAGUGUUGAUGGUUAAUAAGACCACUACUUUCAAGAAAAAGGACAAGGGGAAGAAGGGGAACUUCAAGAAGAAUAGCAAGCAAGUUGCUACUCCCGGGAAGAAGCCCAAGUCUGGACCUAAGCCUAAAACUGAGUGCUUCUACUGCAAAGGGACUGGUCACUGGAAGCGGAACUGCCCCAAGUAUUUGGCGGAUAAGAAGGAUGGCAAACUGAAAGGUAUAUUUGAUAUACAUGUUAUUGAUGUGUACCUUACUGAUGCUUGUAGUAGCGCCUGGGUAUUUGAUACUGGUUCUGUUGAUCAUAUUUGCAACUCAAAACAGGGGCUACGGAUUAAACGAAGAUUGGCUAAGGACGAGGUGACGAUGCGCGUGGGAAAUGGUUCCAAAGUCAAUGUGAUCGCCGUCGGCACGCUACCUCUACAUCUACCGUCGGGAUUAGUUUUAGACCUGAAUAAUUGUUAUUUGGUGCCAGCGUUAGGCAUGAACAUUAUAUCUAGAUCUUGUUUGAUGCGGGACGGUUAUUCAUUUAAAUCAGAGAAUAAUGGUUGUUCUAUUUAUAUGAGUAAUAUCUUUUAUGGUCAUGCACCCUUGAUGAGUAGUCUAUUUCUAUUGAAUCUUGAUUGUAGUGAUACACAUAUUCAUAAUAUUGAAGCCAAAAGAUGCAAAGUUAUAAUGAUAGUGCAACUUAUUUGUGGCACUGUCAUUUAGGUCAUAUUGGUGUAAAGCGCAUGAAGAAACUCCAUGCUGAUGGGCUUUUGGAAUUGCUUGAUUAUGAAUCACUUGAUACUUGCGUACCAUGCCUCAUGGGCAAGAUAACUAAGACUCCGUUCUAUGGAACAACGGAGCGAGCAACUGACUUAUUGGAAAUAAUACAUACUGAUGUAUGCGGUCCGAUGAGUGUUGAGGCUCGCGGCGGGUAUCGUUAUUUUCUGACAUUCACAGAUGAUUUGAGCAUAUAUGAGUAUAUCUACUUAAUGAAACAUAAGUCUGAAACAUUUGAAAAGUUCAAAGAAUUUCAAAGUGCAGUGGAAAUUCAUCAUAACAAGAAAAUAAAGUUUCUACGAUCUGAUCGUGGAGGAGAAUAUUUGAGUUAUGAGUUUGGUCUUCAUUUGAAACAAUGUGGAAUAGUUUCGCAACUCACGCCACCUGGAACACCACAGUGUAAUGGUGUGUCUGAACGUCGUAACCGUACUUUAUUAGAUAUGGUGCGAUCUAUGAUGUCUCUUACUGAUUUACCGCUAUCGUUUUGGGGUUAUGCUUUAGAGACGGCUGCAUUCACGUUAAAUAGGGCACCAUCUAAAUCCGUUGAGAUGACACCAUAUGAACUGUGGUUUGGCAAGAAACCCAAGUUGUCGUUUCUUAAAGUUUGGGGCUGCGAUGCUUAUGUGAAAAAGCUUCAACCUGAUAAGCUCGAACCCAAAUUGGAGAAAUGUGACUUCAUAGGAUACCCAAAGGAGACUGUUGGGUACACCUUCUAUCACAAAUCCGAAGGCAAGAGAUUCGUUGCUAAGAAUGGAUCCUUUCUAGAGAAGGAGUUUCUCUCGAAAGAAGUGAGUGGGAGGAAAGUAGAACUUGAUGAGGUAAUUGUACCUUCUCCCGAAUUGGAAAGUAGUUCAUGACAUAAAUCAGUUCCAGUGAUUCCUACACCAAUCAGUGAGGAAGCUAAUGAUGAUGAUCAUGAAACUUCAGAUCAAGUUACUACCGAACCUCGUAGGUCAACUAGAGUACGAUCCGCACCAGAGUGGUACGAUAAUCCUGUUCUGGAAGUCAUGUUACUAGACCAUGAUGAACCUACGAACUAUGAGGAAGCGAUGAUGAGCCCAGAUUCCGUGAAAUGGCUUGAGGCCAUGAAACUGAGAUGGGAUCCAUGUAUGAGAACAAAGUGUGGACUUUGGUUGACCUGCCCGAUGAUUGGCAAGCCAUCGAGAAUAAAUGGAUCUUCAAGAAGAAGACUGACGCUGACGGUAAUGUUACUGUUUACAAAGCUCGACUUGUUGCAAAAGGUUUUCGACAAGUUCAAGGAGUUAACUACGAUGAGACCUUCUCACCCGUAGCGAUGCUUAAGUAUGUCCAAAUCAUGCUAGCAAUUGCUGCAUUUUAUGAUUAUGAAAUUCGGCAAAUGGAUGUCUAAACUGCAUUCCUUAAUGGAUAUCUUAAAGAAGAGUUGUAUAUGAUGCAACCAGAAGGUUUUUUCGAUCCUAAAGGUGCUAACAAAGUGUGCAAGCUCCAGCGAUCCAUUUAUGGACUGGCGCAGGCCUCUCGGAGUUGGAAUAUAUGCUUUGAUAGUGUGAUCAAAGCAUAUGGUUUUAUACAGACUUUUGAAGAAGCCUGUAUUUACAAGAAAGUGAGUGGGAGCUCUGUAGCAUUUCUAAUAGUAUAUGUAGAUGACAUAUUGUUUAUUGGAAAUGAUACAGAAUUUCUGGAUAGCAUAAAAGGAUACUUGAAUAAGAAUUUUUCAAUGAAAGACCUCGGUGAAGCUGCUUAUAUAUUGGGCAUCAAGGUCUAUAGAGAUAGAUCAAGACGCUUAAUUGGACUUUCACAGAGCACAUACCUUGAUAAUGUUUUGAAGAAGUUCAAAAUGGAUCAGUCAAAGAAAGGGUUCUUGCCUCUGUUACAAGGUGUGAAGUUGAGUCAGACUCAAUGCCUGACCACUACAGAAGAUAGAGAGAAAAUGAAAGUCAUUCCCUAUGCCUCAGCCACAGGUUCUAUCAUGUAUGCAAUGCUGUGUACCAGACCUGAUGUGUGCCGUGCUAUAAGUAUAGCAGGGAGGUACCAAAGUAAUCAUGGAGUGGAUCACUGGACAGCGGUCAAGAACAUCCUGAAAUACCUGAAAAGGACUAAGGAUAUGUUUAUCGUUUAUGGAGGUGACAAAGAGCUGGUCGUAAAUGGUUACAUCGAUGCAAGCUUUGACACUGAUCCGGAUGACUCUAAGUCGCAAACUGGAUACGUAUUUGUAUUGAAUGGUGCAGCUGUUAGUUGGUGCAGUUCCAAGCAAAGCGUCGUGGCCGGAUCUACGUGUGAAGCGGAGUACAUAGCUGCUUUGGAAGCAGCAAAUGAAGGAGUCUGGAUGAAGCAGUUCAUAUCCAAUCUAGGUGUAAUACCUAGUGCAUGGGGUCCAAUGAAAAUCUUUUGUGACAAUACUGGAGCGAUAGCCUUGGCGAAGUAAUCCAGAUUGCAUGAGAGAACCAAACACAUCAAGAGACGCUUCAAUUCCAUCCGCGAUCUAGUCAAGGAGGGAGACAUAGAGAUUUGCAAAAUACAUACGGAUCUGAAUGUUGCAGACCCGUUGAGUAAGCCUCUUCCAUGAGCAAAACAUGAUCAGCACCAAGACUCCAUGGGUGUUAGAAUCAUCACUACGUAAUCUAGAUUAUUGACUCUAGUGCAAGUGGGAGACUGAAGGAAAUAUGCCCUAGAGGCAAUAAUAAAGUUGUUAUUUAUAUUUCCUUAUAUCAUGAUAAAUGUUUAUUAUUCAUGCUAAAAUUGUAUUAACCGGAAACUUAGUACAUGUGUGAAUACAUAGACAAAACAGAGUGUCCCUAGUAUGCCUCUACUAGACUAGCUCGUUGAUCAAAGAUGGUUAUGUUUCCUGACCAUAGACAUGUGUUGUCAUUUGAUGAAUGGGGUCACAUCAUCAGAGAAUGAUGUGAUGGACAAGACCCGUCCGUUAGCUUAGCAUAAUGAUCAUUUAGUUUUAUUGCUAUUGCUUUCUUCAUGACUUAUACAUGUUCCUCUAACUAUGAUAUUAUGCAACUCCUGAAUACCGGAGGAACACUUUGUGUGCUAUCAAACGUCACAACGUAACUGGGUGAUUAUAAAGAUGCUCUACAGGUGUCUCCGAAGGUGUUUGCUGAGUUGGCAUAGAUCAAGAUUAUGAUUUGUCACUCCGUGUAUCGGAGAGGUAUCUCUGGGCCCUCUCGGUGAUGCACAUCACUAUAAGCCUUGCAAGCAAUGUGACUAAUGAGUUAGUUGCAGGAUGAUGCAUUAUGGAACGAGUAAAGAGACUUGCCGGUAAUGAGAUUGAACUAGGUAUGAUGAUACCGAUGAUCGAAUCUCGGGCAAGUAACAUACCGAUGACAAAGGGAGUGACAUAUGUUGUUAUGCAGUUUGACCGAUAAAGAUCUUCGUAGAAUAUGUAGGAGCCAAUAUGAGCAUCCAGGUUCCGCUAUUGGUUAUUGACCGGAGAUGUGUCUCGGUCAUGUCUACAUAGUUCUCGAACCCGUAGGGUCCGCACGCUUAACGUUCGAUGACGAUUUGUAUUAUGAGUUAUGUGUUUUGGUGACCGAAGUUUGUUCGGAGUCCCGGAUGAGAUCAUGGACAUGACGAGGAGUCUCGAAAUGGUCGAGAGGUAAAGAUUGAUAAAUUGGAAGGUUAUAUACGGACACCAGAGUGGUUCCGAAGAAGAUCGGGGAUUUUUCGGAGUAUCGGGAGGUUACCGGGACCCCCCGGGAAAGUUAUUGGGCCUAUUGGGCCAUAGUGGAGGAGAGGAGGCAGGCCACGGGAGGUGGCGCGCGCCCCCCUUGCCCCAAUCCGAAAUGGACAAGGGGAGGGGGUGCGGCCCCCUCUUUCCUUCUCUCUCUCUCUCCCUUCCCCUUUCCCCUCUCCGUUAGAUGGAAGGAGGGGGGGCGAAUCCUACUAGGAACGGAGUCCUAGUAGGACUCCCCCCUCAUGGCGCCCCCCCUUGGGACGGCCUCCUCCUCCCCCCUCCUUUAUAUACGUGGGCAUGGGGGCACCCCAAAGACACACAAUUGUUUUCUUAGUCGUGUGUGGUGCCCCCCUCCACAGUUUACCACCUCAGUCAUAUUGUCGUAGUGCUUAGGCGAAGCCCUGCGCGGAUCAAGAGCUCGAGGGAUGUCAUCAUGCUGAACGUGUGCUGAACACGGAGGUGUCAUAUGUUCGGUACUUGGAUUGGUUGGAUUGUGGAGACGUUUGACUACAUCAACCGCGUUACUAAACGCUUCCGCUUUCGGUCUACGAGGGUACGUGGACACACUCUUCCCUCUCGUUGCUACGCAUCUCCUAGAUAGAUCUUGCGUGAUCAUCAUAGGAUUUUUUUUUUGAAUUACUAUGUUCCCCAACAAGCACACAUCAUGUGAAGAAGCAAAAACUUAGACUCAACCGAUACUAACCGAUAAUUGUUGAAGAAGAAAGGUGGAAUGCCUACCGGGGCAUCCCCAAGCUUAGAUGCCUGAGACUUCUUGGAAUAUUAACUUGGGGUACCUUGGGUAUCCCCAAGCUUGAGCUUUUGUGUCUCCUUAAUUCCUCUUAUAUCACGGUUUCCCUAAAUCUCAAAAACUUGAUCCACACAAACUCAACAAGAACUCGUGAGAUAAGUUAGUAUAAAUCAAUGCAAAACCUUAUCAUUCUCUAGUGUAGCAAAUCACUAAAAUUAUUAUUUGACAUUGCAUACUAAAUGCCUCUGCAUAUUUAAUACUCCUAUUCUCAAAUAGAAUCAUUAAACAAGCAAACAUAUGCAAACAAUGCAACCAUAACAGCAAUCUGCCAAAACAGUACAGUCUGUAAAGAAUGCAAUAGGAUCCAUACUUAUUCAACUUAAAAAAUUCUGAAAAUUUAACACACUGUAGAAAAUUUAUCAGAGCUUAUUUUGCAAAAAGUUUCAACAUUUUAUCACGUUCUGACUUUUCUCGGGAAUUUUUGCAACAGCGAUAAACUUUCUGUUUUGAAACAACAACAUGUAGACUUGCAAAAUAAGCAUGGUAAUGGCUAUCCUUGACAUUUUUAUUGAAAAUAAAGAUGCAAAAAAUUAUUCCAAAUCACAGCAAGCAAAUCCUAACAAAAUAAAAUGACGCUCCAAGCAAAACACAUAUCAUGUGAUGAAUAAAAACGUAGCUCCAAGUGAGGUUACCGAUAAUGUUGGAGACGAAAGAGGGGAUGCCUUCUGGGGCAUCCCCAAGCUUAGUUGCUUGGAUCUUCCUUCAAUAUUACCUUGGGAUUCCUUGGGCAUCCCCAAGCUUAGGGUCUUGUCACUCCUUAUUCUUCUCAGAUCGACGUCUCACCCAAAAACUUGAAAACUUCAAUCACACAAAACUUAACGGGACUUUGUGAGAUAGGUUAGUAUGAUAAAGAGCAAACCAUUUCACUUUGGUACUGUCAAAUACAAGAUUCAUAAUUUUUGUCACAAAAUGCCUACUGUAGCCUAUCAUUUGCACAAUUUAUAUUGAGCAAUAUAAGCCAUAGAAAUUAAGAAACAUGCAAACUAUGCAUUGAAAACAGAAUAUGUCAAAAACAGAACAGUCUGAAGUAAUAUCUACUCCAACCAUACUUUUGUAACUCCAAAAAUUCAGAAAAAUUAGGACAACGUAGAUAAUUUGUAAUAUCACCUGUAAAAAAUUCAGAUCAAAAGCACAUUCCAGUGAAUUUUCAAAAUUCCUGGACUGAGCGCAAAAGUUUCUGUUUUUGCACAGAUUCAAGUCAACUAUCAUCCACACUAUCCCAAAGGCUUUACUUGGCACUUUAUUGAAACAAAAGCAAUAAAACAUGAUUACUACAGUAGCUUAAUCAUGUGAAUACACAAAAACAGUGGGUAAAAGUGUUGGGUUGUCUCCCAACAAGCUCUUUUCUUUCAUGCCUUUAAGCUAGGCAUGAUGAUUUCAAUAAUGCUCGCAUAAAAGAUAAGAAGUGAAACAUAAAGAGAGUAUCAUGAAGCAUAAGUUCCUCUCUCAUAAUAAUUUUCAGUAGCAUCAUGAAUAGAUUCAUCAAUAUAACCAUCACAUAAAGCAUUCUUUUCAUGAUCCACAAGCAUAGAAAUUUUAUUACUAUCCACAUAAGAAAAUUUCUUCUCAUUCACAAUGGUGGGAGUAUCGUUUGAAACUUGAAUACUAUAAAUUGUUUCCACAUUAAAAGAGUAAUGUUCAGGAAAAGGGUAAUCAUAACUAUGACAAGUUUUAUAAAUAUAAUCAUCACUAAUUUUUAUAGCAUAAGUAUCAUCACAAUAAUCAUCAUAAGUAGCAACUUUGUUCUCAUCAUAGAUAGGAGGCAUGCAACCAUCAUUGCAAAUUUGAUCAUUCAAAGUAGGGGGACUAAAAAGAUCAUCUUCAUUAAGCAUGUCAUCCCCAAGCUUGGGACAAACACUAAUUGCAGCAAAUAAAUUCUCAAACAUGUCAUUCUCAUCAAACAUAGCAUCCCCAAGCUUGUGACUUGGCAUAUCAUAAGCAUAAUCACUCUCAUCAUUAAUAGUAUGAAUAGCACCAACGGUAUAACAGUUGCUAUCAUCAUAAUUUCCCAAGUUGGUGCCAAAAAUAAUUCCAAGAUUAUAAGAAGUGUCAUUAUCUUCCCAAUCAUGAUCAUCACAACAAGCAAUAGGCAUAACAAAAUCAUCAUCAAUAGUGCUUUCGGACAUUGUGCCAUAAGACAUAGAAGCAAUAUCAUCAUCAAGUGCAUCAUCUUUCACAAUUAUUUUUGAUUCAUUUUCAUGAGGCACAACAAUAAUAGGAUCAACAUUAUUUGGGAGAGAUACCUUUUUACCUCUAUUCUUUCUUCUUUUCUUCUUCUUCACCACAUCAUGUGUUGGUUUAAUUAAUUUUUUUCAAGCUUCUUAUUGAUGAGAUUGGUUGAAUAGGGAGCUCCUCCUCGUCACCUAUUUCAUCGUGAGAGACAAUAGGAGGGAAAGUGAAAAUCUUUACCCUUUCAUAUUCUAUUGGUUUUCCCAUCUUUCUAUAGUUAGCAAUAUAAGCAUUCUCAUUGCAAUUUACCAUGCAAAACAUAUAGAUAUUCUUUACAUUAGUUUUAAUGUCGUCCGUGAGAAUGGAUAUUUCAAACCAACUAUUUUUACGUUUCAAUUCUUCACUCCCCAAAAAUAGACAAAGCUCAUUAUAAAGUUCAAGGGUGAUCAAGUUAUUGCAAUAUUUGGACACGAUUCGAUCAUGAAAAAGCAUGCAUUGGAAAUUAAGGUGACCAACUUUAUUGCAAAGAUCACAAGUAAUAGGACAAAGAGAACAUAAUUUUGUAGCAAAUUCAUCUAUCACUUUGAGCAAACAAUUGGUUUCAUCAUGUUUAUGCUUCUUACAAAAUCUAUCUUCCCUAUAAGGCACGUCUUCACAAACUUUAUGCACUCCACAAAAAUUGACAUGCUUAUAAAAACAUUUUUGUCAUGAAUUGUGCAAUCAUCAUUAGCAUUUUGGAUAUUCAAGGAAUUCAUACUAACAACAUUGCAAUCAGGCUCAUCAUUCAAAUAUUUUGUGCCAAACAUUUUAUUGACUUCUUCUUCUAACAAUUGAGCACAAUUUUCCGAUCCAUCAUUUUCAAGAAAUAUAUUAUAAACAAGACCAAUAAUAUGAUGCAACCUCAAUUCCAUUUUUUAUGUAAUUUUCUUUUAUAAACCAAACUAGUGAUAAAACAAGAAACUAAAAGAUUCAAUUGCAAGAUCUAAAGAUAUACCGUCAUGCACUCACCUCCCCGGCAACGGCGCCAGAAAAGAGCUUGAUGUCUACUACGCGACUUUAUUCAUGUAGACUCGUGUUGGGCCUCCAAGCGCAGAGGUUUGUAGGACAGUAGCAAUUUUCCCUCAAGUGGAUGACCUAAGGUUUAUCAAUCCGUGGGAGGCGUAGGUGAAGGUGGUCUCUCUCAAACAACCCCGCAACCAAAUACAAUAAAUCUCUUGUGUCCCCAAAACACCAAAUACAAUGGCAAAUUGUAUAGGUCCACUAGUUCGGCGAAGAGAUGGUGAUAAAAGUGUAAUAUUGAUGGUAGAAAUAUAUUUUUAUAAUCUGAAUAAAUAAAAACAGCAAGGUAGAAAUUGAUAAAACAGAGCAAAAACGGUAUUGCAGUGCUUGAAAAUGAGGCCUAGGGUCCGUACUUUCGCUAGUGCAAUCUCCCAACAAUGCUAAUAUAAUUGGAUCAUAUAACCAUCCCUAAACGUGCGAUGAAGAAUCACUCCAAAUUUCCUAUCUAGCGGAGAACAUAAGAAGAAAUUAUUUGUAGGGUACGAAACCACCUAGAAGCUAUUUUUUCUGAUCGAUCUAUCCAAGAGUUCGUACCAAAAUAACACCAAGUAAUUUCAUAUUCAUAAUACUCAAUUCAACACAAAGAACCUCAAAGAGUGCUCCAAGAUUUCUACCGGAGAAACAAAGACAAGAAUGUGCAUCAACCCCUAUGCAAAGAUUACCCCAAUGUCACCUCGGGAAUCCGCGAGUUGAGUGCCAAAACAUACAUCAAGUGAAUCAAUAUGAUACCCCAUUGUCACCACGAGUAUUCAUUGCAAGACAUAUAUCAAGUGCUCUCGAAUCCAUAAAAUUAUUCAAUCCGAUAAAACGAAAUCUCAAAGGGAAAACUCAAUUCAUCACAAGAUAGAGAGGGGAAAACACCAUAUGAUCUGACUAUAUUAACAAAGCCCGCGAUACAUCAAGAUCAUGACAUCUCAAGAACACGAGAGAGAGAAAGAGAGAGAUUAAACACAUAGCUACUGGUACAAACCCUCAGCCCCGAGGGUGGACUACUCCCUCCUCAUCAUGGUGGCCACCGGGAUGAUGAAGAUGGCCACCGGUGAUGAUUUCCCCCUCCGGCGGAGUGCCGGGACGGGGUCUAGAUUGGUUUUCGGUGGCUACAGAGGCUUGUAGCGGAGGAACUUCUCAUCUAGGGUUACCCCAAGGGUUUUUGGAAUAUUUGGUGAUUUAUAGGGCAAAGAGGGGGUGCGGGAGGCCACCGAGGUGGGCACAACCCACAUGGGCGCUCCUGGGCCCCCAGGCNNNNNNNNNNNNNNNNNNNNNNNNNNNNNNNNNNNNNNNNNNNNNNNNNNNNNNNNNNNNNNNNNNNNNNNNNNNNNNNNNNNNNNNNNNNNNNNNNNNNNNNNNNNNNNNNNNNNNNNNNNNNNNNNNNNNNNNNNNNNNNNNNNNNNNNNNNNNNNNNNNNNNNNNNNNNNNNNNNNNGAGUGCUUCUCUGACCCACUGGAUGUCUUCUGGUCCAUAAAAAUCCACAAAAAGUUUCGUGGUGUUUGGACUCCAUUUGGUAUUGAUUUCCCGCGAUGUAAAAAGCAAGCAAAAAACAGCAACUGGCACUGGGCACUGGGUCAAUAGGUUAGUCCCAAAAAAUGAUAUAAAGUUGAUAUAAAAUGAUUGUAAAACAACCAAGAAUGAUAAUAUAACAACAUGAAUACUUCAUAAAUUAUAGAUACGUUGGAGACGUAUCAAUAAGAAAAUAGCUUAUUGAUGAGAAUUAUAGAGAAAGGUGUUUACAAGAGCCUUUCCGUAAGUAAGCAAUUUGAGGAAAUUGUGCGCAACCAAGGAAGGCACCGGAAGAAUCAAGGUGUUGGUUUGAACGAAAGUUCAAUGCCAAUGGAGUUGAGUAGGAAGAAGAUCAAUACCCAAAUACGAAGUUUGUUCCUCAACAAGAGAAGUAUGACCCCACUUCUUUCAAAGGAACACAAGCUCAAGAUGAUCUUCCACCACAAGACCACAAGCUAAAAGGCAAGGACAAGCUUCAAGAAGAGAUUGAUUCAUUUGAAGAAGCUCCUAAGGCCAUGGUCAUGUGGGUUCCCAAGACUACAUCAAGUUCUACUUCAUCAAGUAUGACUACCACUCCAAGGAUUCCCAUCAAGUUGAUGUGGAUCCCAAAGAAGAAGAACUAGAGAGUUCUUGAGGGUGACUCUGCCAACAUACUUCACUCAUAUUCAUUUUGGCAAGGGCAAGUGCAAUCAAUUUCCAUAUCUUGCACUAGUUCAAGGAGUCACAAACCCUCUUGUUGGUAAUACAAGGGACAAGGUAACCUAAUGCUUUCAUGGACAUCAUCACAUUUGAGUUUCACUCUAUGUCUAUGGAUAUUCUUGCAUGUUCCUUGUGGGACUAACCCAUGUAGGUAUUGAAAGUGCAACUCACUCCAAUGGAUUGCUCCAAAUGAUCUACAUCAACAUUGAGCAUCCACAUCUUCAAUAACUACAUGAAGUUAUCAUCGACAAAACCCAAGGUUAGUUCAUCCCUCUAAGGGGGAACAUCACAUCUAGGGGGAGCUUUGCUCUAAAAAAUUGAGCUAAAGCAACUCUAAUGAUGUGAACACAACAAUGCUUAUGUAAAAGUCGUAACCCCACUUGUGCUUAAACGAUGAGUAUGACCUAUGAUCAAAUGUUCUCAUUUGACUCCUAAGUCAAUAUACUCAUAUAUAGAUGACCUAGGCAUCGCCAAUUGCUUGAUAGAUGCUAGAAUGUAUGUGCAUGCCUUUCCACAUGUUUUAUUUGGUAUAUUGUUGUGUGAGCAUGUUGGUUGCAUAAUUUUCUCCAUUCGAGAACAUCCAUUUGUUGCUUUGGUUGUUUGGUUUUUCUUUUUGCCAAAUGGAUGGACAAGAAUGCCUAAGUACUUCCUCUAGCUAUCUAUGAUUUUUCUCGUCUCAAACUCUUUUCAUGCUACAUCACAAAGUUUGAACAAGUCGAAUUCGGACCCUCCGGGUGAGGAGCACUCGGAGCCACCGAUCCGUCAAGGGCUUAACCUCCAAAACCUCUUAAUGCCAUUCGAUCAGACCAACUCACUCCUGCUCGGUCUCACCGAAAUCAUUAAGUUGAUCUAGGUUUUAUCUCGGUGCAACCAAUUAGAAAAAUUCGGUCACCCCGAGUUGCAGCAACUGCUAGCAGUUUUGCAUCUCGGUGCACCGAGUCGUUCCACUCGGUCACACCGAUAGCGUCUGGGUAUAUAUACCGCGGGUUGAAAUUUUGGAAACUCCUUCAAACACUCGACCGCGUCUCCCAGCACUGCCGCCCCCUUGGUUUUCGGAUCGUCGCCAGUGACCUUAUACCGCUGGUCUCCGCCGCCGUCAACGGAAUCCUCACCGUCGUUGCCGUCGUAGCAAGUCUGUCGCCAAGUUAUGGUACGGAUUUGACCCUUUGUGCUUUCCAUUACUCCGAUUCUAGCACAAAGUAUAAAGCCUAUGUUCUUCCAACGUAUGAAAUCAAUUCAUCCACCAAACAAUUCCUUAGAAUAGAUUUGAUGCAAAAACUUAGGGUUAGGUUUCCGCCGAACCCAUCUCGGACCGAUCUGACAAUCUCGGUCACACCGAUUGGCCCUGGCCAUUGCACAAGUACAACUCGGUCUGACCGAAGUGUACUGAUCGGUGAGACCGAAAUCACUUUCUCUGUGAAACCCUAGCAUCAUGGAGUCACCGAACUGUGUCUUGGUCUAACCGAAAUCACAUGUUUAGAUUCUGAUGUUGCUUCGGUGUUACCAAGUUUGUCAAAUCGGUAGCUCCAAAAUGCCUUCUGUAGAAAACAAAAGUUAAGUUUUUGUCUCAAUAUUUUUGCAAAUCAAGUUGCACUUUGUGAUGCUCAUCUACUCUAUCUACACCCAACUAUUCACAGGGUCAGUUUCAGCAAUGUCAGAGGGCAGUGAUAGUCAUAACAGAUCUGAAGAGCAGCUCAACCUCAGUGAGGGCACUAGUCCCUCUGGUAGCUAUGAUGAGGGGAGUAGGAGCACUCCCAGAAAUUUGCCUAAGGUAGCUACCAGGCAGAGGAAGAAGAGAACAUCUGAAUCUGAGGAUGAAGAUUUUGUUGUUGAGGAGGAGGUGACCUCGAAGAAGAAGGUGCUCAAGCCUCAAGAAAGAGUAUGUUGCUGCUGCAACUAAGCCUAGAAUGCAGAAAAAGGCUCCUGCCAAAAGAGCUCCAAUGUCAAAGGCCAGGGCCUCAACUCAAGAAACCAUGGAAUUUACUCUUGAACCAAGAGAGGAAGAGGUUGCAGGUAGAAAGAAGAGGAAGGAAAGGUCAGAAAGACUGUUGCCAGAGUCAUUGGUAAACCUUCUAUGAUGAGAGAUUCUGAUGAAGAAGAUGAGGAGGAGGAAGAGACUGUUGCACCUCCUGCAAAGACUCAGAAGCUUAUGGGGGAUGCCAUAAGGACUGCGGCUGCUCCAUCUAAGCCUAAGUCUGCCCCCAAGCCUUCAGUUCAAGCUCCCAAGCCAUCUGCUCCAAAGAGAUCAACAAGGAAUAUUUCUGCCGCUGAAAAGAACAAGGCCCCAGUGCCUGAAGUUCAAGAAGAUGAUGAGCCACUAGUGCUCAGAAAACUAAAGCCCAAGAUCCCAGAUCAUAGUGACGAUCAUCCUGUGGCAGAGAACAUGAAGUUAAGAAAGGAUGUCAGUCUAAUACUGUGGAGACAGACGGAUCCCUAUGCCACCAGGAGAAGAACUGAUGUGGACUAUCACUUUCACACCAAGGAACAGCAGGAUUUCUAUGAGACUGUCCUAUUGGACAAGAAGUCCAUUGUUUGUGACAUGAAAUGGGUGGACUGGAAGUACAUUGAUGACUAUGAAUAUUACUUCCCAGGUGUGCAUGAGAGCUUCAAAUUGAAUAGUGUUGACACUUUUGUUGGUCAGAAGUUGACAAAGUAGAAUGAUGAGAUGAUAAUUCAAUUCUACUCCACAGCUCACUUCUACCCCGAUGGAAAGAUAAUCUGGAUGACUGAAGGAACAAAAUAUCAAUCUACUAUCUCAGAAUGGGCCAAGCUGAUCAAUGCCCUAGAGGAAGAUGAAGAUGAUAUUGAUGUGUAUGCUAAGCCUAGGAAGGAUCACAACUCCAUGGCUAAUAUGUACAAGCCAAUUCCUGAUAAAGCCUUGGAGACUCACAAGGUUGGAUCUAUCUACUAUCUGCUCUCUGGCUUGACCACAAUGAACACUAUAUUGAGGCACACUCUACUGCCCAAGUCAGGAGAUCAUAGGAUGAUUCAUGGUCGCUCCAUCAACUUGCUUCACUUAUUUGAUGUGCCACAGAAAUUCAAGGUGAUGAGUUUGAUUGUAGAAACUGUGAAGAGAACAGCUGCAGAUCAGAAGAUAUCUUGUGGAUAUGCCCCUCACAUUCAGAUGUUGAUCAACUCCAAGAUGGGAACAAGGACAUAUCUACUAGACAGUGAGCAUCUUCACCUGAGGCCAGACUUUGAGGACAAUGAGGUUGUCAUGGAUGCAUCCCAUCCUACUUGUGCAGAAGCCCAGGAGAAGAUAGAGAAGGAAAAGGCUACAAAAGCAGCAAAGGCAUCAAGUGCACCAAAUGCCUCCACGGUGCUACUCAAGACCGAGCAAGAUCAACUCAGUUAUCUGCUUGAGGCUACAGUGAGAAUUGAGAAGGUCUUGGCCACCCUGACUCAAAACCAGGAAAGUCUUGAGAGGAUCAUUGAGACAAAAUUCCAUGACCUAGAUGUCAAGGUCACUGAGAUACAGACAAUUAUGGAGAAGCUCCAAGAGGAUGCUGAGGACAGGGAAGAUAGACCAACUACAGAUACUAUUCAGAGAGUGCCAAGGGCACAAAGGUCAUCAGCUGUGCCAGUUGUCAGAGACUCCAGGACAGCCACUUCAGCACCUGCAGCAACUGCCAUGGUUGUACCUCCAGUGUCAACCCCUCCAGCUCCACAGACUUCUGCCGAAGCAUUUGCAGAUGCCCUCCUCUCCAUGCCAUCUACGCACACCGGAGCGACAAGCCAGAAGACCCCUUCAUGAGCUCCCGGAGAUCGUGCCUAGAGUGUCAGAUAGCACUAUAUGUUUUCAAACUUUUUGGUAACUCGUUGCCAAAGGGGGAGAAAGUGUAUAGAUCAUAGGCUUCGAGAGAGAGAGAGUGUGUCUUGCUUUCAUUUGCUUCUCUUGCUACGUUGAUCAUUUGGUUGUUUGACUCCUAUGCUACAAUUUGUGUUAUGCUCGUGAGAUACUUAUGUGAUCAUGUGUUUGAUCAUAUGAUUCUUAAUGUGUGCUUGCAUGGUUAUUAUAUAUGAUCAAUCACUUGUACCCUUGGUGAUAAGUGCAUGUUAUUUAACUCAUAUCAUUUUAUGCGCUCCACCAAGAUGUAUGUGACAUGGAAGAGUGACCCAUGAUCCUAAUCGAUUGUGCAUUUGCAUUCAAAAGCAUAUUUUAAAUAAUGCACAAAUUUAGGGGGAGCUCUUGCUUAUCACAUACUUCUCAAAGCGACGAUGUAUUUCAUUCAUAUUAUCAUUUGUCGAAGCUUUGAUCUAUAUGUUGUCAUCAAUACCAAAAUGGGGGAUAUUGAAAGUGCAACUAAUCCCCGAGUGGUUUUGGUAAUUCAUAACAACAUAUAGCUCAUUGAACUAAUAUCCAUUCAAGUUUAAUAUUUCAGAAAGUUCAAUGAUUGGCAUUGGCAUGGACUAGAGAUGUGGACCCCUCAAAAUUCUAAGGACACAUGUUGGCAAAAACUCAAGACUCUUCAUUUAUAUUUUAGUGAUCCAAGAUCACAUUGAGUCCAUAGGAAAGCCAAUACUAUUAAAAGGGGAUGAGGUGUUGCUUAAUGGUCUACUUGCUCAAACUGCUUAGUGCUAUUGCUCCAAAACCCUCAACCACUUUCUCUUCCAAAUAUGUCCAAAACUCAAAGUCAAACUUGGCCCCACCGAAAUGAUCCAUCCGGCGCCACCGAGUGCAGUUGACAUAGCCACUGCCAGAAACUCUAGCAAUUCGGUUACACUGAUACGGAUCUCGGUCUCACCGAGAUGGCCGUGCAAGCUCUCUGUUGCCUUUUGUAACAUUUCGGUCUCACCGAAAUGAGCGAUCUCUCUCACCGAGUUUGCUUGACCAACUCUCUUUGCUCUUUGCUGAAAUUGGUCUCACCGAGUUCAAGCAAUCGGCGCCACUGAGAUGAGGUUUUUCCCUAGCCCUAGCACAUUGGUCCCACCGAGUUGUUCCAGUCAGUCCCAUCGAGAUUCCUAAUGUUCACAUUAUGAACUGAAUCGGCCUCACCGAGUUCUCCUAUUCUGUCUGACCGAGUUGGGUCAAAUGUGUGUAAUGGUUAAAUAUUGUGUGGAGGCUAUAUAUACCCCUCCACCCCCAUAUCCAUUUGUGAGAGAGCCAUUAGAAUGUGCCUACACUUCCACUACUCACUUUCGAGAGAACCACCUACUCAUGUGUUGAGACCAAGAUAUUCCAAUCCUACCACAAGAAUCUUAAUCUCUAGCCUUCCCCAAGUUGCUUUCCACUCAAAUCUUCUUUCCACCAUAGCCAAAUAUGUGAGAGAGAGUUGAGUGUUGGGGAGACUAUCAUUUGAAGCACAAGAGCAAGGAGUUCAUCAUCAACACACCAUUUAUUACCUUUUGGAGAGUGGUGUCUCCUAGAUUGGUUAGGUGUCACUUGGGAGCCUCCGACAAGAUUGUGGAGUUGAACCAAGAAGUUUGUAAGGGCAAGGAGAUUGCCUACUUCGUAAAGAUCUACCCGAGUGAGGCAAGUCCUUUGUGGGCGAUGGCCAUGGUGGGAUAGACAAGGUUGCUUCAUUGUGGACCCUUUGUGGGUGGAGCCCUCCGUGGACUCACGCAACCGUUACCCUUCGUGGGUUGAAGUCUCCAUUAAUGUGGGUGUACGAUAGCACCACCUAUCGGAACCACGCCAAAAAUCUCUGUGUCUACAUUGUGUUUGCCUUCUCCAAACCCUUUCCUUUACCUUCACAUGCAAUGUUUUACUUUUCGCUGCUACACUCUUAGAAUUGCAUGUGUAGGUUGAUUGCUUGACUUGUACUAGUUCCUAAAAUCUGCCAAUAAUUAAAAUUGGGAAAAGGUUAGAUUUUUAUUUGGUCAAGUAGUCUAAUCACCCCCCCCCUCUAGACCUACUUUCGAUCCUACACUUACCUUCGUCGAGUUCCCAAUCUUCAGAGUUGCGUUUAAUUCUUUCCAAUAAAUCCCAUUUGAAUUCAAUAGUAUUCUUCAUAAAAGAACCAAUACAAAAAGUAUCGAGCAUGGAUUGAUCAUUACGAGAAAGCCGAGCAUAGAAAAUUUGAAUAAUAAUUUCUCUUGAGAGCUCAUGAUUGGGGCAUGAAUAUAACAUUGACUUAAGCCUCCCCCAAGCUUGAGCGAUAUAUUCUCCUUCACGGGGCCAAAAAUUAUAUAUAUAAUUCCGAUCAUGAUGAACCAGAUGCAUAGGAUAAAACUUCUAAUUUCAAUCGGUUGUAGUUCCAAGCUCCAAUAUUAUCACAUAGCCUAUACCAAUGCCAAUGCCUUUCUCUUCAAAGAUAAAGGGAAGACCUUCUUCUUGACAUCAUCCUCUAGCAAACCUGCAAGCUUAAAUAAUCCACAAACUUCAUCCACAUAGAUUAGAUGCAUAUCCGGAUGUAGUGUUCCAUCUCCUGCAUAAGGAUUAGCUAGUAGUUUCUCUAUCAUACCCGAAGGAAUUUGAUAAUAAAUAUUUUCAGUAGGUGCGGUAGGUUGAGGAGAAACUCUUUGCUCUUCCGGUCGAGGUGAAGAUACCCCGAACAAGCCCCUCAAAGGAUUAUUUUCCAUAGUGACAAGUGACAGUAAAUUUCAGCACGUAUUAUAAAUGUUUCCUUACCAAAUUCCACUCACCAAAGGCGCUUCACUCCCCGGCAAUGGCGCCAGAAAUGAGUCUUGAUGACCCACAAGUAUAGGGGAUCUAUAGUAGUCCUUUUUAUAAGUAAGAAUAUCGAACCCAAUGAGGAGUAGAAGGAAAUGACAAGCGGUUUUCAGCAAGGUAUUUUCUGCAAGCACUGAAAUUAUCGAUAACAGAUAGUUUUGUGAUAAGAUAAUUCGUAAUGGGUAACAAGUGUAACAAAGGUGUAUCAAGGUGGCCCAAUCCAUUUUGCAGAAAAGGAUAAGCCUGGACAAACUCUUAUAUAAAGCAAAGCGCUCCCAAGGACACAUGGGAAUUAUUGUCAAGUUAGUUUUCAUCAUGCUCAUAUGAUUCACGUUCGUUACUUUGAUAAUUUGAUAUGUGGGUGGACCGAUGCUUGGGUGUUGUCCUUACUUGGACAAGCCUCCCUCUUAUGAUUAACCCAUCUCGCAAGCAUCCGCAACUACAAAAAAAGAAUUAAGAUAAAGCUAACCAUAGCAUGAAACAUGUGGAUCCAAAUCAACCCCUUACGAAGCAACGCAUAAAUCAACCCCUUGUGCUAAAGAUACAGAACAAAAUCGUGUUCGUGAAUGUACAGCCGACAGAUGAAUCAAUCUCCUUUCAAGUUUCAACCCAGCAACCUUCGCGUACGUUCAUGUGUGUAUCAAGGACGCGUGGAUCUAUUGGCCUGCGCACCACACAUCCCUUCACUAAUUCCGUCAAUGUCAUUCCUAACAAGGUAAGUAUGAUUCCCUAAUCCCUUGUAUUUUUCUGAGCAACUUUCAUAUAUAAAUUAAUUUCAUCUGACUUAUCGAUUAUUUUAUAUGAUUUUCAAAGAUUUAAAUAUUUUAUGAAAUUAUUAUAUUUAAAUUAAUUUGAAAAAUAGUUUUAUUGCGUCAGCAGUACGUCAGCAUGAUCUCAGCAGUCAAUCGAGCUGGUCCAGGUCAAACCUGACCGCUGGGUCCCACAUGUCAAUGACAGAAGGGAUUAACAAAGUUAAUUUUUAACUAAUUAGGUUAAUUAGCCACUAGGGCCGAGAUGUCAGUGACUAAUUAAAUUAACUAAUUAAUUUAAUUAGUUAAAUUAGUUAAAUUAGGUGGUGGCCCACUAGUCAGUGACUAGAGUUGCCAGGUCAACAUGUUGACUCGGGUCAACAUGGUCAACGGGCCCCCUAGGACCCAUUGGCAGUGACCAGGGUGGGACCUAGGCCAGGCCACGUCGGCGGUGGCUUCGGCGACCAAAUCUGCGGCGGAGCGGCUCGGGACUCGUUGGAAACGGGCUAUAGGGGCGGUUUGGGACGUGGCCGGGUGCAUUCGAACGCGGGUCGCGCGUCGAACAGGGGCGGUGGCGCGAGCUGAAGUGGCCGGGAACUGCGCCGGCGAUGAGCGAGGCGACGGCGAGCUUCGGGCGAACGCGGCAAGGGCGAUGUGAGGCACGGCAGGGGCUGUGUGUUGGCGCUACGGGCUCCUACGGCGAUGCUGAGCACGAUCAAGUGCUCGGUCAACCUCGGCGAUGACCAUAACGACGACGACGAGCGGCACGGCUGAGACGAUCUACGGCCACAGCGACAACUAUGGUUGCGGGUGAGGAGAGGGACAGGGAAGAGGUGGAGGAGGAGCGGGAGCUCACCGGGCCCUACAGGUGUGCUAGCGUGGGCUCGGGGAAGGCUUGCCGGAGCCGGAUUGGGCAACGGAGUCCGGCGGGGCAAACACUACAAAAAAAUGGGAUAAUUAGAUUUAUGCCCCUAGUUGUGUCCCACUCGUCUGUUUUACCCCUAAUUCCCAAAAGUCACCAGUUCUGUCCAAGUCACUUUGCUCCUCUUAUGCUUUUGCCCUUUGACCAUUUGACCGUCAGUUUGAAAACUUCAUAACUAAUUCAUACUUAAUCAGAAAAAUGCAAAUAAGAUACCAAAAUAUUCAGAAAAACAUCACCUAUAUGUCAGUGUCAUUUGCAUUCAUGAAAAAAAGUGUUGGAAAGUGCACAUCCGAGUUUUAGCUCUUUUGAUACCACCAUGAAUAGUGAACUCUAAAAAAUUCAAAAAAAUUCAAAAAAAAUACGGUGGCGAAGAACAACAAAUGUUCUAAGUGCUUGCCAAGUUUCAUUAGGGAACGACAUUUGUGGAAGUCAUGGCAAAAAAUAAUCUAUUUUGGAGUGCUGAUUGUUUUUUUUUGCUGCGGCACCAACGAAUGUUAUUCCGUGAUGAAACUUGGCAGGCAAUUAACACAUUUAUCAUUCUUUGCCACCAAUGUUUUUUUAAUUUUUUUGAACUUUUUUAGAUUUUACUAUUCAUGGUGGUAGCAUAAGAGCUAAAACUCGUAUGGGCACUUUCCAACACUUUUUUCAUGAAUGCAAAUGACACUGACAUAUAGGUGAUGUUUUUCUGAACAUUUUGGUAUCUUAUUUGCAUUUUUGUGAUUUAGUAUGAAUUAGUUAUGGAGUUUUCAAACUGAUGGUCAAACGGUCAAAGGGCAAAAGCAUAAUAGGAGCAAAGUGACUUGAGAGAACCAGUGACUUUUGGGAAUUAGGGGUAAAACAGACGAGUGGGACACAACUAGGGGCAUAAAUCUAAUUAUCCCAAAAAAAAUACACUUCCGUGAUGAUACGUUUUUGUCACAGUAGGUCGCAUUUUUUGUCAUGCAUGUACAUCCAUGACGAUUUUAUGACAGAAUCAAGAUAGUCAUACCUGUGCUGUCGUAGAAGUGUUCCAUGACAUUACCAAAAUUAUCAUCACGGAAGUGUCCACUUCCAUGAUGAUAAAUCGCGCGUCACAGAAGUGCUUUCGUCAAGGGUGACCGACACGUGGCAUCCACCGUAACGGAACGUCGUUAAGCUAUCGGGUCGGGUUUUGGAUCCGAUAACCCGUUAACAGCCCCGACUAAUGGGAAAUUUCCACGUGUAAAAUUCUUAUUGGCCGGACGAAACACGUGUCAGCUCGUCAGUGGGUCAGAUAGGCGCCUAUGAUAUGUCGACACGUGCCACGGCCCACCACUAGCCCAUUUAGCUUACAAAGCUGGCCCGUUUGACUUGGUCAAAAGUUAACGGGCUGGCCCAUGAAAAGCCUGUUAACGGUCUCUUCGCAAAUAGCCCAUUUUACGGCCCAUUAACUCACGGCCCGUUAGGCCCUAAAGGAAAUCGGCCCAACAACGUCAUGUGGGCCGUCGAAUAUAACACCAGCCCAUUUCACUUUUGGCCCAUGUAUGGCCCACGACAUCUUUCGGCCCAUAUGAGGCCUUCAUAUCUUUCGGCCCUUUACAGGCCCACGGUGACUCUAGCCCAUACUGAAAAGUAACUUUCUUUAUAACCGUUAAUGGCCCGUGAUUUACAUGGGCCGUUUCCAGCCCAUGUUAGCUUUCGGCCUAUUGACGGCCCAUAUGUUCUUGGGCUCCUUUUCGGCCCUCGAUUACUUCCGGCCCGUUACUGGCCUGUUCCCCUAAUGGGCCAAAUUCGGCCCAUGGCAAGAGUCGGCCCGUUACUGGCAUGUUCCCCUAAUGGGCCAAAUUCGGCCCAUGGCAAGAGUCGGCCCGUUACUGGCUUGUUACCCUAAUGGGCCAAAUUCAGCCCAUGGCAAGAGUCGGCCCGUUUCUGGCCUGUUAACCCAUUGCGCCGUUUCCAGCCUGUCCUAUAUUCUGGCCCAUUAACGACCCGUUAUGCCUGUGACAGAAUUAAGCCUUUGUUGUCCUACGGCAUGUUAACGGCAUGUUACCGUGCUGGGCCGAUACCAAUUACGGCCGAUUACGACCCAUGUAGACCCAUUUAUCCGACGGCCCGAGGCCCACCGAUUACAGGCCCAUUUAUCGACGGUCGGUAGGAGACCCAUGGAUCCUACGGCCCGUAUAUGGCCCAUGGUAGUUGCGGCCACUAGCAAACCAGGGGAAAAGAAGACUAGGAAAUAAAUAAGGCCAAAACUAACGCUAGGCUAUUAAGGCGAUUGCAUAGAUUACAUCCACUCGGCAUCAAAGAUCGCCACCAGUGCAAAUAUAGGGAACACCCUACACUAUACAAAAAUGGCUUGCUGUUUUCUUCAGCUGGUGGCUGCACGUUAAGAAUAAAUUUUGUAUCGCACCAAAACAAACUACAACUAUAUAACAAAAGGAAGGUAUGCAUAAAACUUAACAGUCUAGCAGAUAAAUGAACCACCAGAAGUUCAGAAGCUCGGUUCAUUUGACCUGACUGUUACGUUUUCAUGUUGUAUUGUCCGAUGGAGCACCAUAACCCUCGCCUUCAUUUCCCCUAGGCUCCUGAACAACAUAGCAAAUGUCUGAUAGUCUGGUUUCAAAACCAUGCAUAUCUUGACGACAUUGAGCAAUGUUUCUCCUUGUUUCACAAAGGGUCUCUGUUAGGGAAUGGACUUGUGUCUGGAGCGCAGAUACAACAUUGCUUUGAGGUUGCAUAUCUUGAUCAUGAGGCAGUUUGGACGAUAUUGCCUUAACAACCAACCCAGUAUUAUGCAGGAAUGUGCUUUUGGCACUGUUAGUGGACAGGUACUGACCCACUGCAGCAAGAGCUGGCAUUGCGGUUAUAGUUGCCUCGCCACCUUCAGAAGGUGGCGGUUCCACCAUUUUUUCCAUAGCUCGCUGAAAAGUUGAGGUUUUACAUUAGUAGUACCAGAAUAGAAGAUAUUGAGGAGGCAGCAAAACCAAACAAAAUAACUUUGGUCUAUAUACAGAACUUAUUCUUGUGAACCCAUGUAAAAUAUUGGUUGUAUUUUAUUGCAAAGUACAUAAUAAAACCAGGUUCCAAACAUAUGACCAUGUACCAUCGCUAAUGUAUUGUCUAUUUCUUCACAUUGUAUUGAGGGCUAAGGAUAAAGAGACAAAGUUUAUAAUACGGUAAGCAUAGUAUGACAUCAUUCAUAUCACAAAACAACUGAGAACAGACAAACAGGCAAUUGUAACGUUGUGUGGGCAAGUCCAGCACGGAACUAGAUUACGGGUCAAGAUCAAAGGAACAUCACUCCUCUCUUUUAAACCUUGUAAGGUCCAAUGAUACGCUAAGACAAUUGUGUAUAAAAUUGAAAAGAGUAAUAGACAUUGGCUGCAAACCAUGCAGUUCAAGGCACAAGUCAGAGUAAGUAGUAGUUAAAAGGCAUGAGGAUUAAGGACUUACAACAGCGGCUUUGACUGGUGUAGUCAUGCCCUUCUUCUUGCUGGUGUGACAAUCCUUGAAGAUUUCCACAGCAUUUGGUUCAGGUACUUUUUGGUCCUUGCGGGCUUUCCUCUGCAUUUCGAACAAGUCAAUAUAGAUCUGAUAAUAUGGUACAGCGAAAAAGUGAAACAGCAACUAAUUACAAGAGCCUCGCAGUGUGCAAUAUAGCUACGAGAUCCUGUCGUCUGUUGGAAUUUCACUUUUGUACGGUUGGCCUUGUUCUUUGAACAGUUCACCUACAACAAGAUAGAUUUGUGUGGCACAUGCGUAAAUAGGACUUCAACAUGUGAGCUGAUCACAUAUAUAUAAUGUACCUGAUACUUCGGAUCAGACCAGUGUUUAACAAGGCCCCUCCAGUCUUCAUCCGAUAUAUUUUCCACUGGAGAUGUUUGGGAAAGUUCACUAUUAGCCUUGCCUUCAAAGUGAGUUUUCCUCAAGUUAUACCGAUACUGUCGCAGAGCAGACUUGAAAACAUGGGUGCAAGCUUGUCUGGUUGCAUCAUCUUGGCUAUCCAACUUGAACCUCAUCUGUUGAAAAUUAUGGGAGUCUCAUUAUCAGCAACCUAGAAAGUAUGGGAUAGAGCAAGAUGAUAUUACUAGUUUCCAUACAUAACCAUACUUACAGAUAAAUAGUCGAGGAAGGUGUUGAACUGGGUUUCGUCUUCGUCAUUCCUGUACUGAAUCCAUGUUGGGAGGAUACGUACAUGACACCUAACAGCAACCGCUGCCUCUGAUACUAACUUGGCUGACUCUGUAGCAUCACGUGGCCUUUUGAAACCUGCCUCAAAACGGAUCUCCAUUCUUCCUCCUCUAGACAUAGUUAACCUAUCGAGCAUUAUCCCUGAUGUUUGUUUCCUCUUGCGCCUAGGUGCUAGUCCAACAACGAACAUAGGAAGUGUUAGUGUACAUCAAACUGUGAGACUACAUAUAAAGAAGCAUGCAACUGUAACUUGACUCCAGCAACUACCUUCUUGUUGUUGAAGCUCACAAGGUUCAUCUGAUAUUGCCAACUCGUCUUGUGUCAAGAGUGCUUGGGAAGUAGUGUUAGGUGGCAAGGGAGCUUGGGAACGUGCUGCUAGCUCAGUUGACGCACGAGUAAGUCGUGCAGCUGGUAGUACUGUGGUAGGUGUUGCAAGAACUAGGGAUGUCUCUGCUUGUUUGGUGGCAGCUAUUUGUUUCUGUUUGGCUUUUUUUGCAACUCGUGUAGCAUGGGAUGCCGUGUUUGUAGAAUUUUCCGCUGGACUUUGACCUUCUAUUGCACCAUCAGUACCAGCAGAAUCUGCAGGAUUCAUCCGCUUCUCAUUCCCUGUCAUUAUGUGUUUCUUCCUCUUUCUCUGUGCCAUGUUAAGUCAAGCUGACAAGAAAAACGAAUAACAAUUUAGUUCUUCAGAACAAAUUGAUGCGUGAUGCAGAUGAACUGAACUUUGAUGUUAGACAACCACAUGAUAGGAGGAUGUAAUAUGUAUGAAAAACAGGACGGAAGAGAUAACCAGAACUAUGAUGUGUAAACUAAGAAGAAGACAUUUCACCAAAUUAGAAGCAAUGCAAUGGAAGGUAGACACCAUAUGAAAGAUGCUACAAAUAUCGCUCUGCCAAGUUAACAGUGUCUCAUCAUAAAUGGUGUUUAAACAAAUGUGAAGCAGUACAAGAAAUAAAUCAUAUGCAAGAUGCAAACAACAUCACACUACCAUGUUAGAGGUCUCUCGUCAUUAGUGCCAUUGCAUAUUCACAGCAUUGCAUAUUCACAGCUUAUGAUGUGUAAACUAAGGAGAAGGCAUUUCAACAAAUUAGAAGCAAUGAAAGCUAGACACCAUAUGAAAGAUGCAACGAAUAUCACUCUACCAAGUUAAAAUUGUCUCGUCAUAAGUGCCAUUUCAACAAAUUAGUAGUACAAGCUAGAAAAGAAUGUGAGAUGUAACCUAUAUCACACUCCGAAGUCAAACGUGUCUUAUGAUAGGUUAUUGUUGCAGGUUACACAACAGUAGUAAUUUGAUGUAAGAACAUGGUGUGAUAGACAGAUAUUGUAUGUUCUAGAAACAGGAACACGUGUCUUAUUCAAGUAUAAUGUGUAAAGUAAGCAGAUGGAAUUCAACAAAAUUAGAAGCAAUACAAGCUAGACAUCACACAUAACAUGCAACCACAUAUAACAGUGUCAAGUUAGAGGGAGCACCGGUGAUGCUGCACUAGUGGAGACGUGCUCAUCAUAAACACAGCUUUGUUGAGUGUCUAUGCAUGUGUUGUCUUGGAAAUCAUCUUGGGGGUGUGGAGGAGUAGAAACUAUGAGGCCCUCCGUUCGGAAGGAGCACCUUUAUCCGCUGCCUUGCUAACUUCCUUCCGCUUUAUUGAUUUUGAAUUGUCAAGUAAAACCGACAAGAAAAAGCAAUAAAAUUCUCUCUUCAGAACUCAUUCAUGCAUGAUACUGACAAUCACUACUUUGAUGUAAGGCAAACACAUGAUACCAGGAUGGAAUAUGUACGAAAAACAAGACGGUAUGGCAUGUUCACAACUGUUUGUGUAAACUAAGCAGAAACCAUUCCAGCAAAUAAGAAGCAAUGCAAGCUAGACACCGCAUGAAAGAUGCAACCAAUAUGACUCUGCCAAGUUAAAAGCGUCCCAUCAUAAAUGGAAUUUCAACAAAUUAGAAGCAGCGCAUGCUAUAAAUCAUAUGAAAGAUGCAACUAAUAUCGCACUGCAUAUACUAAAGGUGUCUCGUCAUGUUGAUUGAUGCGGGAUACAAAAAAACAAUAGUUUUAUGUAAGGACAUGCUUAAUAGACAGAUGUACUAUGUACUAAAUACAGGAAGGCAUGUCACAUUAACAGGUAUAAUGUAUAAGCUAAGCAGACUAGCACAUGCAGUUUAACCAGAUUGGAAGAAUUACAAUCUAGACACCAUAUGCAACAUGCAACCACAUAUCACGCUGCCAAGUUAGAGCAAGCACCUGCGAUGCUAGUGUAGGGGAAAUGCUGUAAUCAACUACAGAGCUACGUUCACUAUCUUCAUCUAGCAUUUCUAUUUCUUGAGAAUCAUGUCGGGAGGCUGACGCUGCAUUCUUUAAAUGAGGAGUAGUCCCCUUGCCUGCCUGCCUCGUCAUAAGUGAUUGAUGAGGGAUACACAAGAACAUUAGUUUGAUGUAAGAACAUGGUUAAUACACAGAUGUACUAGUAUGUACCAAAAACAGAAAGGCAUGUCAUAUUCAAAGGUAUAAUGUGUAAGCUAAGCAGAUGCAAUUUAACCAAAUUGGAAGCAAUACAAGCUAGACAUCCGGCUGGAGUGGUGAGCAUGAUCAUCUAGGACCUGAGAGCCUGGUGGGAGGCGGGCUGCUUCACCACCAUCGCAGCUUUUUAGUUGGCUUCCAGGUGAUGCCUAUCUUUGCUGGGCUUGUCACUGGCUCGGCCAGUGCCCUGACUAGCUAUUUGUCUUCUGGUGCUCACGGGAUGGUGGUUCAUGUAAAAAAAUUAUCUUUCCUUAUCUUACCGACUUCAGCCUUUCGAAUACAAGCUAGACACCAUAUGGAACAUGCAACCACACAUGACACCGCGAAGUUAAAGCAAGCACCUGGGAUGGUGGUUCAUUGCGAGCGAGGUCAUCAACUCCAGAGCUACAUUUACCGUCUCCAUCCGCUGACACUGCACCCUUUAUAGCGCUGUAACGUGUCUUGCCUACCCGCAUACGAAGCUGGAGCGACUUCUCUCUUUUCUUUUUGGCUUCUCUCAUGGCAGCAGAGUCUGAAAUACCCUUGCAUAAAAACACAAUAGUGAGAGUAAGGGUGAAGUGUGUGCACAACUAGUGCACUGUAAAAGUAGCAGAUAGCAGGUGGCUGAAAAAUAAAUGACAGGAGACAUAUGAUAGCUCUACAACAUUGCAUGGCAAACAAAAUUAGAUUCUACUCCGUAUGAUUUUGUAAUAUAUGAGCACAGGAAAUGCAGGUACUCCUCCAGCACACCACCACAUGUGGUCAUAUCUAAGAUAACAGUCGACUGAAAAUAAAUAGGUCAGUCGAUUUUUUUUAAUGAACCGUCCGAUCUAUAAGGAACGGGUAGAUGGCCUUCGUCUACCUUCCGCCAGUCACUGUUGACGAUCUUUCUCGAACCGCCAGCGACCACCGGCCCAGACCCCUGCCUCCGCCGCCCCGCCCUCCCAUCGACCUCACACCACCAUCGUGCUUGGGAGCGCCCCCAGGCCAUCCCUUUAAUCCCGGCCGACCUCCAGAUCGGGCGCUAGUAGCUCUAGGCCGCACACGCCCCUAAGAUAAACACCAAGGCUCUGCUUCCCCGGCGUAAUAGGCGUACUAGCGCCUGUUACGCCGGGGAAUGCUUCCAUUAAUUGGGAAUCAACUGGCCAAAAUUGAAAUUCAGGGGGGCGACGGACCUCUAGCUAAGGUGAAAUAGUAUAUGAGGAGAAACCUUGUGCAUCACGAGUUACUAGGAACAUCUAGUAUCAAGAAGAAGCAGUCAACUAGUGUCUUCUGUGGGAUGAAUACCGUGCAAGCAGAGACGUUGCACGAAUAAGGGAAGAGGAGUACCUUUUUCGGUUGCCGGUGUGGUCACCUCCACAUGUCGUGCCGAUCUUCUUCUUUUUACCGGGAAAACCGAUGUUCUGAAGGGUGCAGGCUUGGACGAACCCAUGGCCAAAUUGUUGACUGUGUUGCCGUGGCCGUAUGUCAGCGGAGGGGAAGCAGAUCCGAGGCGGCGAAGGACGGCGUAGCAGGAACAGCUCCGGUGCGGUGGAGGGUGGCGAAGUUGGAGCGGUAGCGGUGAGGCGCAGGACGGCGUGGUUGAACUGGCUCAGGUAUGGACGGCUCGGCCUCGGCUUCAACUACUAGCCGUGGAGGGCGUUGCGGUUGAGGUUGCGGUUGAGGUUGCGGUGGACGACGACGUCGGGGUAUCGGCUCCGGCGUGAUGGAGGAGGGCGGCGGUUGAUGGGUGGGAUGGGGUGGCGGACGGAGGACGCCGGGGUUUCGCGGCUGGUGGAGAGGUAGUUUUGGCGCCCACGGAGUACGAAUGGGGAAUCGGACGGGUGGGGGAACCAUGUUUCGGUCUGGGAUGCGCUUGUUUUUGGCUUUUUUGAACAAAAGAUGGGACGCGCUUGUUUGAAAUUUGGGGAAAGUACAAACUUUUCCCCCCUCUUAAAUUUCGGACCUACUGCGGGUCGGGGGUAGGAUGGUAAUCCCAGGUGUCCCAAAUAGUGGGCGGGAGCGAUUUCGGCCGCGCGCAUGUGUGCUUAGGCGGCCAUUGUGUAUGAAUGGCGUCUAGAUGAAGCUACAAACCUACCCUGGUUUAGACCUCUGGACGUCGGGCCGGUAGGUCUCACGGGUCGGAGUUAUUAGAAAAGUAAUUUCCUUGUACUACCAAACAUUGGUCUCACGCGGUUUCGGGCGAGUAGAGGCUCUUUUGGCGCUUUGUUCGAAAUUUUUAAACACAAGCAUUCAUGUUUAGAGUACUCUUGAACUAUGAGGAUUGACCUAAAUAGACAACGUUAUAUUUGACCUUGUAUGUUUGAAAACCUCAUUAAAUUAUCCGCUUCAUUUUGAAAUUUUGACACUUGAAAAUCCUAUAACUACGAUUAUUUUGGAAUGGAGGAGCUAAAUUUGAAUCUAUUUUGUACACGACUACAUAUGCUAUUAUGUACAAAAUCAGAGCAAAGAUUGGUGCCCCCAUAAUUUAGGUAUGGUUUACAAAUGCCAUGAUAUCAAAUUCAAAUAAUUGAAUGGACUUCAUGUUGAAUUCGAUUUUUUAAACCACCUUAAGUUGAAUUCAAAUGUAUGCUAGUUCAUAGGUAGCUAUUUAUAAUGUCCAUUGUGUAACUUUCGUAUGUAUAAUGUGCUUUACACACACAACAUGAACUAUACUCACGUUUAUAUUCGAUUGCUAAAGCGAUGCAUUGUCUGGAGUUCAAAAUACUAACUAUGUGGAUCAAUUGUGUCGAAUAAUAACAUAGACAUGCUGAAAUUCGAUAGAAUCUAGAUGUCUGAUGGAUCAAUGACCGCUCCUUACGCGAAUUGCAAAUAUCAUGAUCCCAUCCUAAUACUUGGAUACAAUUUAUAUCUUUAAUCAAUGUGUAGAGCAGUCUUUUACGUGUAGUUUCACUCUCCAUCGGUGGUCUCUCACACAUGCUCACACACUCUCUCCCGAGGUGUCUUUCUCGCACACAUGCUCUAGAUAUAACCCUCCCUCCCUCUCGUAACCAUUUACAAUUGUUUUCACUAACCUUUAUCACAAGCACUCUUCCUCUCGCAAACAUACACACGCACAAUCCUCAUCGACCCUUUCUAUAUACAUGGACCUGCCUACGUGUCUCAUCUACGCACAUUAUCUUUACGCCUGUCUCUCACGCAUUGUCUCACACCUCUCUUCCUAAUCGACGAGUAUGAUUCUAGCAGAGCAUUCUGUAGGAUGCCCCUUAAAGUUAGGUUGGAUGAAUAGUAAUAUCAGAGAUAAAGGGGUUACCUUAGUCCGAGAACCUAGGGUUACAAAUCCUAGCCGGCUUUGUCAGUGGACACAGAGUCCUUCACAAUUCUGCUAUCUUUGUCUUGUACGACUAGUCAUCCAUGGGUCUUCCUAAAUGCGUCACGGGCCGACCAAUGUGGCGCAGGACGAAACCGAACGAAGGGCCUCACCUCGACCCACCGGACCUCACGCGGUGACACACCCUCUGCCCCCACGUCUCAUUAUCUUCUCACACCCACACAUACCAACACAAACACCACACACACAGAAAAUUUCUCCUGGUGCCUCUAUUCCCUCNNNNNNNNNNNNNNNNNNNNNNNNNNNNNNNNNNNNNNNNNNNNNNNNNNNNNNNNNNNNNNNNNNNNNNNNNNNNNNNNNNNNGUAAUACACACACAUACCUCUCUAGGCCCCGCCAAAUGCAUCAACUACACAUUCACACAUGUUACAUCACGUACCCCAUUGAUCUAAAAAGCCCUCUCUUCACGUUUAUUUCGCAUACAACAUUCCUUUUGAAUAAAGUGUGGCAAAAAAAUUAUUUUAGAGUUUCUACAUUUAUACAACAUUACAAAGUUAUAUGGAGGAGUACGAACGCUAAUUUGCAUUGCAUGGUGCCCACAAUGAUAUUUAUUCCGCACUGUGAAUUUGUAUAUUUUUAUAAUAUAUACAAAGUUAGUCAUAAUAAAGAGAAACGAAGAGCAUCUCUCUCCAUCGCAUACCCCCCUGUACGCCCCUUUCACGUAUGCACACAAAACUAUCUCCAGGUCCUCUAAAAGUAAGCCCCCAGAAAAUUCACGGAUGUUUCAUCUUUCUCUCGCGAUAUAUGCAAUGACGAUCAUUGUAUUUGAAGCGAAAGCACGAUACGUACAUUGGACUUCAAAAUCCACUCAUUACGGUCACCAUUUACGUUUAGUGGUUAUUAAUAGUCACGGGCUCACCGUACAACUCUGUAUUUGCUCAUGACAUGACUAGCUGACCAGUUAAACGCUCCACGUGGCACCUCUAGUGUUGCAUCACAUUAUCUCACUACCAUCGUGCCCACCUGUCGACUUGUAUCUACUCUACAUCUACACUCUUAUAAAAUACAUGAUGGUGUGCCUGCCAUCCUGCAAUAUAGGCCGUCCAAUUUAUAUCUGACGGAUAGGAAAGACACUAUGGCAAUUUUGCAAAAAGGUACCCACACACCUCUGCACAUUUGCAAAUAAGGCCUUCCCUUGUUCAUCCUUUUCUCUCACAAGAUAAACAAGUCAUACAAAUGCAUCUUGAUGUUACGUGCAACGCACGGGCAUCUUGCUAGUAAGAAUGAAAACAAACGACGAAAAAAUAUUUGGACGGUGGUUCGAAGUCAUGACCGCGGGCACAGCGGACAAAGGUGGCCUUGUAUUGGUAUGCUGAGCCGUCUGUUUUAACACACGGGAGCUGGUGUGGUGAUUAUACACACACGCACGCAUGCACACGAACUGCAUCCACGCAACACUCACACAAACACAUGCACCCACGCACGCACGCAACACUCACAUGUACACACGCAGCCACGCAUGCACGCAACACUCACACGCACGCACGCAACACUCACAUGCACACACGCACGCAUGCAUGCACACACCAGUACACCACACGACCAACACACACUCUCACGCUCAAGUGCUCAACCUACACGUGCAUGCGCACACAUCAGGCCCUGACAGACACAUACACAACCAGGUGAUUCCCGCGCACGGGUUGGAGCCUUGUCGCGCCUGCGUAAAUUUGUGUUUAUCUGACCUUUUGCCUAUGCGAACUGACAGGUGGGACCCACAAGGAACGUGGUCAAUUUAACUAGUCAACAUGGCGCCACGCAGACUAUUUGGCCGGUCAACAGAGUGCAAUCCGAUGCUGAACUGUGAGCAAGUGACCGUAUAAUCACCGCAAAACGUAUAUAGUGACUGUAAUCAGCUUAUUCUAAAGUUCGGUGACCGUAUUACGCUUUUCUCUCUGUAGGCCCUCCAAAACUACAUCUCUACACGUUCUCGCAUGUUACAUCUAACAACUAUGCAAUACAGCACUACUACUACACUCUAACACAAUAAAUCAUAUGUGUUUUUAGUUUUACUAGAUAUCAUAUUGUUACUUAUAAUUAUUCAGUUUGCAUACAUUAAAAUUUCCUUUGAAAUGUAUGGCCAGUAUCAUCUACCGCGCGGGGAAAAUCCCGCCCUUUCCUGUUUAAUCGGGUUUGUAUCGAUGGAUCGUGCGAAACAGCAAAACUAUAGUACUAUACAGUACAAGUGACGGUUCACUGGGUCGUCAUGUCAUCUACUCCUCCAUCGUAAGAGUGGAGCGCUCGCUUUCAUAAAUCUUCUAGUCCCUUUCACCGACAUGUGGGACAUCAAGCUACCGGGUCCACGUGCCAUACCGGAAUACAGUGCAGAGCAGCCGGGGUGAAGCACCCCAGUCAUGGCGCCGGCGUAGUAAUGAGCAAUGAGGCGUCAAAUCACAAAGCUGCACCUUUCCCGCAGUUAAGUUGGAGGGACGAAGCAACCAUCAUUUCACUCGUUGAUGAAUCCGCUUCUCCCUCAUCUUCUUCAACUUAACCACGUGUUGCUUCUGCCGUUGUUCUGCCUCAUGUGGGACGCGGAUCGGCUUGGUAAAGCACUGACACGUGGGACCGCAUGUUAGCAAACCGCCAGGACAACGUCCUCCAAAAAUAAGAAGCCUAAUCCUAGACUUACAAAGGGCUACGUAGCUGCUACGUAUACUUUCCAUCUAAUCUAUAUAUGCCCCCCUGAUUUUCAGGUGGGGUGGGCCUAAUCCUCUCCUUUAAUCCAAUCAAAUAGUCCCACAUCACAUCAGUUCGUAACUUUACGUAAACCAUUACGUGGAUGUAGCAUUGCUCAAAUAAGAAACCUCCCCCGCCAUCCGCGCGGAAAAAUCACCUCCUUUUUACUAAUCUUGAUUCUAUAAUUUUUUAGAUCAAUAUAAUUGAGAUUUGUAUAGAUAGCACACAGGAGCAAAUCCAAGUGGUACGGUUAAGGGCAUCCACAAUGUGUAGCCAAAUGUGAAAAUAGCUUUUGGCAUCGUGGGAACCAUUGUGGACGGUGUUGCCAAAGCCAAAAAGAUGGAAAAGAAGCUCCCUGAUUGAUUGAUUGAUUGAUUGAAGGAAUAGAAAAAUGUAACGUCUCUCCUCUUUCUCCCAUGCUUGGACGCAUGUAGUACAGUAUAGAGCACAGAGUCUACUCCCCUGUCCCUUCUAUCACAAAUCACAAAGCAGUGAGGCGUCAAAUCACAAAAGCACGGGCGAAGCAACCAUCAUUUCACUCUUCGCUGACUCCGCUUCUCCAUCGUCUUCUUCGAGAAACCAUCUCACCGCACUAGUACUCCUAGUAGUACUAGUAAAGGACUUCCUAGAUGCAAAUAAGGUGGUUGUCUCGGCUUGCAAGCGGCACUUACGAAUGACUUACCGUGGUCUCCCUCAAUGGUGUUCUCCGUCGAACGCACUUCGCCAAACCACCCAAAAAAAAGAUAUCGUCGACGUCACCGCAAUGGGGAAGGAAGUCAAAUAUAGUUACUACCUCUAUUUUUUUGUACACAAGGCCAGUAUAUCAAAAUUACAAUUUGCAAAGGGCCACUAACACUAAUCGAGGCAAAAUUGAUGGGGUUAGCAACCAAGGACAUUAAUAUCCCCUGCAUGCAUGCGGAAGUGAGAAGGUUGGUUUGCAUGGCGCUGCAUUAAUCAAGCAAUGAGGAGUGAGAUGGUUAGCUCUUUGGUCUUUGGAGAAAAAAAUACGCAUUAAUUGACACAUGAAACGAGGAUUUGUAUCGAUUAAAUCCCAUGAAGGAAAACCCCUCCUUUCUUUUUUAACACUAGUACUCCUAGUACGUACGUACUUAUCCUGUUUGGGUCUAGGCCUUGCAUUGCCAAACUUCUCCACACAUUUUUGCCAAGCUUGCCUAAAGUUUUCAAAAUGAGAAGGAGGUACACUUGCGCACAGCUGUCGCGGUCGCACCGCACCCUCACACGGUCGCUCCUGCACGCCGCGGUCGCACCGCACCCUCACACAGUCGCUCCUGCACGCCGCAAACCCAACCAAGGGAACGCACCCUCACUGACACGUGUUGUCGCAUGUGAACAAACCAAAUUCAGCCAUCCUAUCGCUGACACAUAAUUUUCGUUCAUAGAGUAUGUUUAUCCAACCGCAUGUUGGGGAGUAUCCGUACGGCCCGUGCGGUGGUCUGUUGGGGAAGAAGAAGAGGUGAGGAAGAAGGAAAGAAGGGUUAGGAGACGUAGGAUAUUCAUCCAACUGCCUGAAAUGGUAGACUGACCCAAGGCAGGCGACUUGCAUAACAAAUAUAUGUUUUUACACAGCAAAAGAUCCAUAAAAACAACAACAUAAAGAAAAACUAUCACUGCUCGCGGAAAGAGACGGCCUCGCCGUCUUUCGCUGCCUGCGUGAACCAGCCGUCGCUGCCGACGUGUGUCUCUGCACCGUGGUUGUCCUCGGCCUCCAGCUACUCGUUCAAGCGGAGCGUGCGGGCGCUCUGCACGGACGAGAGCACAGCCUGGUUCAAGUCGAGGACGUCCGGUUCCGCCUGCAGGAGGGCCUCGAUGGUAGCGGCAUCCGCGCGCUCCGCGUCGAGUCGAGCCUCCGCCGCCCGGUUCAAGUCUAGGACGUCCGGUUUCGCCUGCAGGAGGGCGUCGAUGAGAGCGGCAUCCGCGCGCUCUGCGUCGAGUCGAACCUCUGCCGCCCGGUUCAAGUCCAGGACGUCCGGUUCCGCCUGCAGGAGGGCCUCGAUGGCAGCGGCAUCCGCACGCUCCGCCUCAAGUUGAGCCUCCGCCGCCCGGUUCACAUCCACGACAUCCGGUUCCGCCUGCAGGAGAGCCUCGAUGGUAGCGGCAUGCGCACGCUCCACGUCGAGUUGAGCCUCUGCCUCCCGGUCCUCCUUUAGUAUCGCCAUGUUGAACCGCUGGUCCGCCUGCACCAUGGGGGACUCGGACGCCGGCACAAAGUCGACGUCCAUCGUCUCAUACCCAUCGGGGGCAUUCUGCGCCGCGACCUUCGCCAUGAACAUUGGAUCGGCUUCCUCCUCCUCGUACCUUGGCUCCAAAGAACUCGGGGAUUGGCCCGCCGCAAAGCGAGCUUGGGAACGGAGGUCUGUGGCGCCGACCGCCGCCGCGAUUUCUGCGCGGCGCUCCGGCGUCAGCAUCUUGUAGUAAGUGAUCUUGCGGCGCACCAUGGCUUUCCGGCGAACUAGGGAACGCUUGAUGCGGGCUAGGGGAUCGAAAGGUGGGGGAAUGGGCUGGAGAUUUGGUGUGGUUUUAGGGCAGUGGCUGACGUAGGCCGAGCAGUGAAGGUUCUGGUGUGAAUAGUGGUUCCGGUGACGACCGGUCAAUCGGUUUUGACUGUACAUCGCUCUUGUCGCGUUCGCGUUGCAGCCCGGCACGCUGGACCCUCCACGUCGCUCACCGAAUGGAACGCGCUUUGUCUUGCGUUUUCGCUCGCUUGUGGGACCGCAGUUGAGAGCAAACCGACGUCCCUCCCCCUCCCCCGCCCGCGUCAUUUAUUAUACCACCACUCCCUCCAUUUUAUGCGGAGUAAAUAAAAACAGAGGGAGUAUACUACGGAUGAGGAUCCCCUGGCGUGGCCGAACCCAUUGAGUAACUGACAUGUGGGGCCUAGCAAGCAUGGGGUCCGCCAGUAAGUGACUGAAAGGGAGGGUAAGGCAGGGAUACCUACGUCAGAGGAUGCACUUCCACUAUACUACUUUGACCAAAUGUUAGAGUAAUAAUAUAUGACAUGCAACUUACACAAAGCGUACAGGGUCUAAUGCGUUUUUCGAGGCUAAAUUUGACCAAAUGUUAGAGUAAUAAUAUAUGACAUGCAACUUACACAAAGCAUACGGUCAAAUUCGUAUGUGAAAGGAGUUUCCAAUGAUAUAAUUUUCACAUUAUACAUCUCAUGUACUAUUAAUCUUGUCAAUAAUCAAAUUGGAAACCAUCUCGAGUACAAAUCUAGGAGUACGUACGAAUCUAACAAUAUUGAUUGGGCGUUGUUGAAUGUUGAUACCUUUUUGAUCAAAGUAGAGAUACUUUGACUACACAUAAAACUUAUAUGUAAACUAGAAAGGAUAGGGGGAGUAUAUUGUACGUUCAAAAACGAAACGAACAUUGAAUACCCUUUAUAUAUGAUUUGCGGAUGCUAUGAUCACCGGUUCAAAAUUUUGAAUCCGCCUUAGGUAUCACGUGCCCCCACUCGUUCCCUCUCGAUUUCAUCUCGGGGUCCGGAGAUCUAUUGAAAGAGGACUAGGGUGGGUACAUGUGAAUGAUACUCGGCGGAAUGUUCAAAUGAGGCAUGCGGGAGGAUGGACUCGACUGGAGGGCGACAUGAUCGAUGGAGAAGAGGGUUGGAGAGGAAUGAGAAAUAAGAAAACGCCACAUGAUUAUACUUGAACGGCUCAAAUAAACAAUAAGUUGUCUCGCUUGGCCUACAUAGUGAAAGGCCUAAUGCGCAACUCGGAGCACUGACGCUCGAAUAUGGCCGGGAAAACAGGGAAACCGACAUGUGGGGCACACCCGUCGGGACGACGUAGCGCAGACUUGUCCAAUGGAGGAGCUAGCCCACGACCUCCUCGCCACCGACAACCGUUCAUGUGGGUCGUUGGGGCCAACAAUGGGGCGCAGCUCCAGCACCGCCUCUGGACACGGCAACCGCGGUGAGCGACACGCUCAUAUCGUCGCUAGACACGGUCGGUUUCAGUGUGCCGAGGGUGGCGUUAGUGUUGUGGCACGACCAACGGUAUGUUUGGUUUGUGCCCAAGGUUGCCCCAUCAAAGCAUUGGGUAGCCAAAAUUUUGGUUGAGGUAUUGGUUGCCCAUGAUUUGGCCGACAUUGGCAAGAAAAAUGAACUAGAGUUGGCUAGAGUUCAUUGGCAUGCCAAAGAAAUGGCAACCAUCCAAACAAAGACCAAUCUUUGGGUCAUGACCAAAAUUUUGGUUGAGGUAUUGGUUGCCCAUGAUUUGGCCGACAUUGGCAAGAAAAAUGAACUAGAGUUGGCUAGAGUUCAUUGGCAUGCCAAAAAAUGGCAACCAUCCAAACAAAGACCAAUCUUUGGGUCAUGACCAAAAUUUUGGUAAGGUCCACUUUGGCCACAAUCCAAACACACCCCAACACCCGGCUCGUCGAGGAUGCACGGGGCGCCGCGACGCGUCCGCGGAGUGGUGUAGCGCGGCCAACUGCAUCCUCUGGACCUGAGACCAUGCCGGGUCGUCUUGCUUUUUCAAUGACAUGCGGGGAUCGCAUGUGAGCAAAGGGCAUCUCCAACGUUGCCACGACCGCAGCUAACUACCCUGGCACACCAAAACCCUCGUCCCUCGCGCCGUCGCGCAGUGCGUUCCUAGCCGGCGCCAGCUACCUGCAUUCAUGCCGUCCGUUCGUAUGUCGUCGUUAAGAGGCUCGGUGCCCGAGGAACCAACUCCGGCGACUUAAUGACGCACCCGGACGCCUGGCCUCACCGGAAUGCGCUACUUAAAGCGGCAACGCCCAGCUAACCUCCACACCAUAGCGCAUCGUCCUCCUACCUGGCACCACAUCCGCCAUGACCGCAAGUGCGAACGCUCUGCGGGAGAGCUUGUCUUCGGGGAUGAAGCUCGAGGUCGCCGCCCUCGCUCAAGUCGCCUCUCGCGACGCAAUAGCGGCGUAGGCGGACGCGGACGCGACCGCACAAGCGGUGGCCACGCUGGCGGCCGACGACGGGAGAACUGUCAGCCACGCGUCCUACUUGCCACCGUCCAACGUCCGGCACCGCCGAGGUCGGGGACUCCUCCGAGGAUGAGUAGGGCAUGGGAGGCGGCAGGGCAUGGUGUGCCAACUGGCCGGUCCGUAUCCCGUGUUCUACUCUUCCUCGCCGGAGACCGCACCUUCACUUCACGGGUCUUGAAACCCGCCCCCGUACAUAGAGAUCGCAGAUGGAGGACGUGGGUCGCCGCCAUAGAAUAGGUUUAGGGUCGGGUUUCUUUUAUUUUUCUGUCCUAUAAAAGUUCGAAAUGUAAUGAAAAUCUGCCGUGUUUGCAUUAAUCUCGGCCGGUGUAUAUUUCACAAUAAUAUACAUAUUGUAGGAGUACUAGCAAGAUGCCUGUGUGUUGCACGGAAGAUCAAGAUCUUGUGGGAGAAAAGGAUGAACGAGGGAAAGCCUUAUCUGCAAAUGUGGAGAGGAGUGCGGGUAAAUUGUCAUAGUUUCCUUCCUAUCCGUUAGAUAUAGAUCGGACGGCCUAUAUUGCAGGAUGACAGGCACACCAUCAUCACCAACUCUGCUUUUUAUCGAACCGAGACAAAUCUAACAUGCGAAGUAAAAUAAACACAUAGGGUCUAUACAUACACAAAUUAUCUUAGGCACUCCAAUAGUACGUCCACUACACAUUCACGCAUUUCACAUCUUUCUACAUCUACGGGAACCUACGAAAGGGUUAACGUAAAUAGCCUCUCUCUCUCCUCCCCUGAUUUUCAUGGUGGUGGGCCCCUCCCUCCCCCCAAUCUACAAUCAACAGCUCACAUGUUUCACAUUACGUUAAUUACGUAACUAGGAUUACGUAGGUGUAGCAUUACUCGUCCUAAAAAAACCAACUAAGCCAACCUCCCAGCAUAUCGCGUGGGAAAAGACCCGGCCGCGCCGUUUUAGUCGGGAUUACCGGAUUACUAGUAGUAGUAUCCAUGGAUCGCGCGAAGCAACAAUUUUUUUUUUGAGGGGGCGAAGCACCUAGUUUAAAAGGAAAAAAGGCGGAACACUCACAGCACUCCUGUCGCGGUCGCAUUGCACCCCACACACGUUCGGUCCUGCACACGGCUCACGCAAACGGAACGCGCUUUGGCUUGCCUCUUCACUGACACGUGGGACUGCACUUGGAGAAACCGACCAUGCGCCAAACUCCCCCCGCCCACCGCGCGAAAAUCCUCCCCCCCCCCACACCCAAAAAUUCCCCCCAAAUCCGAUUCAACCGCCCUUCGGCCAACUAGCNNNNNNNNNNNNNNNNNNNNNNNNNNNNNNNNNNNNNNNNNNNNNNNNNNNNNNNNNNNNNNNNNNNNNNNNNNNNNNNNNNNNNNNNNNNNNNNNNNNNNNNNNNNNNNNNNNNNNNNNNNNNNNNNNNNNNNNNNNNNNNNNNNNNNNNNNNNNNNNNNNNNNNNNNNNNNNNNNNNNNNNNNNNNNNNNNNNNNNNNNNNNNNNNNNNNNNNNNNNNNNNNNNNNNNNNNNNNNNNNNNNNNNNNNNNNNNNNNNNNNNNNNNNNNNNNNNNNNNNNNNNNNNNNNNNNNNNNNNNNNNNGUCGACGCCGCGGUUCGGCGAUCCUCUCGCUCCCACAGUACGCUCUCGUAGACUGUCGUCCUCUAGCCGCGCCGCCACCUCUGGCUACCUUCUUGUGGAGGCGCACGGCGGUCAGCGCCGCCACCGCUAGCGACGUUCGUGUGGAGACGCACGGCGGUCAGCUUCUCCCAUGGUACGCGCAUUCUAGACUGAGGCCCCGUUCAUGUUGGUGUAGCGCUGAAUGUUAGCUGAUAGACGCUGUUAAUCUCACUGUUUGCCGAAGUAGUUUACUGUCAAUAUGCUCUGCUUAAGAAGCUUCCUUGCCCUGUUCUGCACUCAAUCUGCUUAGCUGAGAUGGCAUGCCAAGGCCGAUUAGUUGCUAAAAUAUCCUGCCAUAUAUUUAUUGUGACGUAGAUUGCCAUGGUCUAGUAGCCAAUCUGUUAGGUGAAAUAGCUCUACACCGUUUUAUACUCGAUCUUUGUUGCUGCGAUGGCCUUCGAUAGUUCGAUGGUUGUGUGCUCGGCCUCAUUGACUGCUGAAACAGCCUGCCAUAAUUUGGCACUCAAAUCUGUUUGCUAAAUUAGCUUUACAUAUAUUUCGUUACUUAGAUCUGCUCGUCCAAAUAUCUUGCCAUAGCUUUAGACAUCGACCUAGGUAUUUUUUUCUGGACUUCAUAAAAAAGCAUAUAUGUUUUUCCUGUAAUAUCUAGUAGAAGAACUAAUUUGUAUGUCUAACAGAUGGACAGGACUUGGAUAACUUCUGCUCGAAGAUUCUCCGCUACAUAUGUCGAGGGGGUUGAAAACUUCAUGAACUUUAUCAGAGCUGAGUACAGUGGUCCGAAAUCAGAUGUGCUCUACCCGUGUAGCAGUUGUAUGAAUUCAGUUACAAGACCCCAGUCAACUGUGCAAAAUCAUCUACACUUUUAUGGGAUGUCGGUCACAUAUAGGUGGGUUCAUCAUGGUGAAGCUGUGAACGUCAAUGUUAUUGACUACGUGGAAGCAGCAGAUCACCAUCUUGAUCUGCCUGAUGCUCAGGUGGAAGAGGAGGAGGAGGUGGUGGUGGCGGAGCCAGUGAGUUUGACCAACAUUGAAACAAUGCUACGAAAUGCUCAUGCAUUCCGUGAACUUUCACCAGCAGAAGAAAAACGGUGGGCCCGCAUGUUGGAACAAUGCAACGUUGCUGUGACCCCAGGAAAUAAGUUGUCAGUAUUCUCAGCUAUGGUCACCUUUCUUCAGGUGAAGACAUCUGAGCGGAUGCCCAACAAAUCAUUCGAUGCGAUGUUGGCUGCUUUCCGCAAAUCUUUCCCAGAUGCGUCUGAGCUGCCACACACCUACAGUAAAAUGAAGAAUUUCCUUCGUGCAGUUGGAAUUGGAUAUGAUAUGAUCCAUGUUUGUAAGAAUAAUUCUGUUCUGUUCCGAAAGGAUUAUGCCAACUUAAGUGAAUGCCCGAAAUGCAAAUCAUCAAGAUGGAAAGAUGGCGAUGCUGUGAAGAGGAUUCCUCAUAAUGUUCUGAGACAUUUUCCAAUUACACCAAGAUUGCAGAGGUUGUUUCAUGAUGCUGAAACAAGAGAGGAUGUACUGUGGCAUUCUAGGAACCAGGAGUAUAGAGAUCAGAAUGUAAUGAGCCAUCCAUCUCAUGGUAGUGAGUGGAAAAGCUUCAAUGGUAAACACAAAGAGUUUGCUGCUGACCCGAGAAACAUUAGACUUGGCUUAGCUUCAAAUGGAUUUAACCCAUUUGGCCACCAGAGCGCCACAUAUAGCAUGUGGCUAGUGCUUGUUAUCCCUUACAACAUGCCUCCAAAUGUCUGCACCAAAGAAUCAAACUACAUGAUGGCCUUGCUCAUCCCAGGUCCAAAAAGUCCUGGAAAGGAUUUUGAUUUGUUCAUGGAGCCUCUUGUGGAGGAACUUCAACAACUAUGGAAGGGUGUUCUCACUCGAGACCUAUAUAGCAGCCCACCAGCUGAUUUCUUUCUGCGUGCUGUUAUAAUUUGGUGCAUCCAUGAUUAUCCGGCUUUGGGCACUAUGUCAGGGUGAACGACACAUGGUUACAAUGCAUGUGUUCGCUGUGACAGGAAUCUGCUGUCAUACGCAAUACUUAGCAAGAUCUGUUACAUUGGACACCGCCGCUUCCUUGCCAAGGACAAGCCGCAUCCUAGAAAAUACCGAAGACAUGUGUUCAAUGCAAAGCAUGAAAACCGUGAUGCGCCAAAGAGGCUCACCGCCGAUGAGUUGCAAGUGGAAUUAGAGAAGGUCAGGCAUAUUACACCAGGAAACCAUCCUGGUAAUGGUAGCGGGAAAAGGAAGCGUGGCAGGGUAGAAGAGAGAUUAUUGUUUACCUGCAGGUCCACUUUGUGGGACUUGGAGUAUUGGAAAGAUUUGGAUCUGCGGCAUAAUCUUGAUGUGAUGCACAUCGAGAAAAAUAUAUGUGACAGCAUUAUCGGCACACUUCUUAAUAUUGAAGGCAAGACGAAAGAUACGUUAAAAUCUAGGAUUGAUUUGACACACCUGGGUAUCAGAAAGGAUUUGCAGGUGUAAGAUGAAGGUAAACCACGGGAUAUGGCACCAGCUGUGUACGUCUUGGACAAGGUAAAAAGAAAAGAAUUCUGCGAGGUCCUGUCACGUGUGAGAUUCCCACAUGGAUUUGCUUCCAACCCUGAAAGGAGAGUCAGUGCAGAUGGAAACGAGGUACAAGGGUUGAAAACUCAUGACUGCCACGUCCUACUUCAAAGAGUUUUACCUGUUAUCCUUAGAGGAUUGGGCCGCCCUGACUUAUGCAGAGUAGUUGCAGAGUUGGGACAAUUCUUCAGGGAACUCUGCAGUAGGAAUAUCAGGAUAGAUGCUUUGGAGCGUCUUAGAGACAAGGUACCAACUAUCCUAUGCGACCUUGAGAAGAAAUAUCCUCCAGCCUUCUUUGAUUUGAUGGUGCAUUUGGCUGUUCAUCUACCUGAUGAGGCACUACUUAGAGGUCCAGUACAGUAUGGCUGGAUGUACCCUAUUGAAAGGCGGCUAGGCACUUUCAAGGGCUAUGUUAGGAACAGAGCUAGACCCGAGGGUUCCAUUGCAGAGGCCUACAUUGCUACAGAAGCGUUGACAUUCUGCUCAAAAUACAUUGAAAUAGCUAAUCAGCUUAGCAAAGAGGUGGCUGAAGACAAUCCCAGGCUCAAUGUUUUCGAUUAUUCUGUUCGAGUUACAGGGAAGAGUCGACAAGAGGAAACCUAAAGAUUUGGACAAAAUGGUUUGGUAUGUGUUGAAUAACUGUCCUGAGAUACUACCUUAUAUCAAGUAAGUGCAGUACUGCAGCUUAUACAUCGUAAUCUACUAAACUUGCAGCACAUUCUUAUAUAUUUAGAUGUUUGACGCGAUCACUAUGUUGUGCUGCAUCUACAAAGAGGAGUUACUGCCGCAAAAUCCAAGAAACAUUGACAAACUGGUUAUGGCAGGAUUUGCGAAAUGGUUCAAGAACCAUGUAAGCUUUUGAAGUGCACUAUUAGUUUUUUUAAUAUAUUGAGUACAUAAGAUGAUCAGCUUGUCUAUUUUCUAACCAUAGGUUAAGAAGAUGCGGGAGGAUGGGAAGGCAGUUGAUGAUGCCCUUUACUCACUAGCAAUGGGUCCUGAUACUCGGGUAAGACAUUAUGAAUCUUGCGUUGUUGGAGAUGUGCGCUACAACACCCUUUCAUGAGACGAAGGCAGGAAGACACAAAACAGUGCCAUCAUGAGCACGGAUACGUAUGACAAAGAGACAACUAAAAUGUAUGCUAACAUAACAGACAUUGUUCAGUUGCAGUAUAUCUCCAGUUUCGAGGAUCAUCGGUGUGUGGUUCUGUUGUGCUGUCGUUGGUAUAACCUGUUUUCCAGGAUCGCAAAACCCAGAGCUGAUGAUUAUUUCAAAUCCAUCAAUGUCAAGGCGGCGUACCAGACCAACAAGCCUUUUAUUUUGGCAAAUCAAGCAACACAGAUAUUUUUCUUGGAAGACACAUUUGCACGUAGCAAUGACUAGAGAGUAUUGCAAAGGUUUGAGCAGAGGAAUUCGUUUAAUGAAGUUGCACAACAAGAUGAUGCUUACACUGCUCCUGAUGUACAAGAUAACACAGAUGUUCCUAACUUUGAGAACCAUCACGUCAAUGACGCCGGCGAAAAGAUUGCCUGUCAUGCUGUGGACAUACAAGAGUUGAUCAAGAAGAAGCCAACGUUCGAGGACGUAGAGGACGAAGAAGAAGAUGACACCGUGGGGAAUUACGAUUCAGACUGAUACACAUGGUGAAGAUGUUGACGCUGCUGCUGCGGAUGAUGAUUACAUUGCUUUUGUCGUAUUUGCCUGUCAGAAGACAUUUUUUAUCUACUAUGUGAAAUUGUGUUUGCUAUGACAACUGAAACCUGAUGAACAUGUUGUUUAGUAUUUUGCUGUGAGAACAUCACUUGUUAUGUAUGCUGAUUUGUGUUUGGUGAUUGUAUGACAACUAAAACAUGAUGACAUUGUUGUUUAGUUGUACUCAUAUUUGGCUGUGAAACUUGAAUUUGAUGACAUAGUUUGCUGUUGGACUGCAAUUUGCUCGACGUCUUCGAAUGAGAACAAAGCUGACCCGACAGGGCCUCUGUUAUUUAUUUAUUUAUUUAUAUGAGCAAAAGGGGAUACCCCCUGAUUUCCGUUAAUAGAAAUCAUUAGAUGUUCACAACACUACGCCCAGCCUGCUACACAGGUUUCAUUCAUUACUAGUUUCAGCAAAGUGCUCAUGUCGUAGCCACUGAAUACAUCACGAGUGCUACAUACACUGCAAAUAAAGAGACAAUCAUCCUACAGAGCACAUCAAUUUUGCCCAUUAUCUUCACAAGCUCUUUCAUCUCCUCAUUGCUGUCAAGGCCGUUCAGCAGCUGUUGCUUGGGCAUGAUCAAAGGAACUGCAUCUUUAACCUUCUGCUCUGCAUCUUCCUCUUCUGCCAUUCCUUCAGUUACUUGUCCAACACCCCAACCUGCUGGUAUUGGGAUUCCUCGGCUUACCAAAUAAUCAGCGUAGUUGCAUUCCCCCACAUCAGCAACUUCCCAGAAAUACAAAUCACACGAAUCUUCCCUUUUCUGCACGAAUCAAAUUGGAAGAUCAUCAACCAAACUAUUAAAAAAAUCAGCAACUGAAAGCAGCAGAACAACACUUGAACAUAUUAUUAUCCCAUGGUUCGGGCAUUUGUAGAAGACUCGGCUAGGGUUGCGGAUUGUGGUUGAGACGCGACGGAUGACUCUGCGUGAUUUGCAGCAGUGGCACCACACCAAUGGCAGCGGGUUGCGAUGAGCAAUCGGCUGCGGUGCGCGUGCCGGCGGGGGUGUGAUGAGACCAACAGGCGAUGGUACGGGUGGCGACUUGGCGCAUAUCUGGUUGUUGCCUGCUGAAGAGCAGGUGGACGAGCAGCCAGCGGACAUGGUUGCUGCGGCCAGAGCUUCUGAUGCUAGGCAGAGUAAGUAGAGAAGAGGAGAAGCGAACAUUGGAUAUGUCAGUUUCAUUACUUGCAGAGUAGCAUAGCACCAUAUAUAGUCAUAGUCUAGGUUUGGAUUCGAACCAGCUACAGGAGCACGUCUUUCUUUUUUCUAAAACUCGGCAACGCCUCUUUACUGGUACACUAGCUUGUUCUGUACGCCUUCCCAAGUCUUUGAUUUUCUUUCCCUUUUUUGCGAGGAAGGAAGGAGGACAAAAUUGAGAGUUCCUGGGACUCGAACCCAAGACCUCUCGGUUGAAAACCAAGGGUGCUAGUCACUUAUGUGGCGAACGUUCCCUGUGAGGAGGACGGCAAACGAACGCAUUUUCCUCGCAGUUUUCUUCCUAUAUAUAAAAAAGUAUGCUACUUGGUGUCCGCUUAGUCAACAAACGAUUGUGCCAACCUUGACCGUUGGAUUGACAUUCAACGUCUGUCGCGUUUCUUCAGUCUCUUCUUCCUCGAGCCGCCAAAGCCAAACCAGCGCCGGCGGGACCGCCUGCUCCUGCCUCCCACGGUUGGCUGUGAUCUUCCCCGGCUCCUGUUCAUUCCCGUCCGAGGCCUCACCAUCGUCCUCCACCUUGGUUCACUCGCCGCGGCGCCGCCCUCCGGUGUUGUCAACAUGGUCAAUAACCGAGAGGAAUAAGGAGAUGACUGUACAUGGUGAGGAUGACAGUAGGGACCCAGCAGCGCGCGCGGUAAUUUUGUUUUUUCGGGACGGAGAAGGGUAUCAACUGGGUUGUGCGCGACCCGUGGCCCGUCUAGCCCAGGCUUUUAUUUCAUAUAUUUAGCACAUGACCAGCCUAGUUUGUUUUUUUCCUUUCUGAAAAUGGCUAGCCAGCUAUUUUGUUUUUUGCAGAAUAACCAAUGUAGGCCUACUUGCUUUUCUAUGCCCUGCUGGGCCGGAAAUCUUUCAAGACGAGGAGGGAUGCAUUUUGCCCAGAAAAUGGGCUAUAAGUAAUAAGAAAUGGGCUAUAAGUAAUAAUAAAUGGGCUGUAAAAUGAAAAAAUACAGCAAACAGGUAAUUAGUUCCAAAAUACUGUUUUCUUUCGGAUUUUGAUAUUUUAAAUUUCAUUGUUUUUGUGCGGGUAAAAUUUCAUUGAAUUUAAACUAAGGUAUAUUUAGAUUUAAAAUUAAUUUGAAUCUGGCUAGAAAUUUUGGGCUGUAUGUUGUUUGGGACAUAUUUGGAGGCUGACUUGUGGGUCUACUAGGUUGACGUGUACUUUGGCUUUGUCAACUUAGUCCACAAAUGAUUCUAGCAGAACUGACCGUUGGAUGUUAAUCCAACAGCCGUGUUGCUUCUUCAAUAUCUGAUCUUCUUGCUCCAGCCGCCCAAACCAGCUCCGGUGGGACUGCCUGCUCCCGCCUCCCGUGGCCGGCUGUGCUGCCGCACAGGCCGCACCGCCCCACCCUACUUCAUUGCUGGCUAGGCCAUUCCUCUACUCACCCACACCUCAUGUUAUUUUCCGACGACGGCAGCCGGACCAGUAAACCCUCGUACUCCCCACCGCGUGGGCAACCAUUGCCGAGUCUUCCCCGGCUCCGUGUCGUUCCCUUCCUAGGCCUCGUCGUCGUCCACCGCCAUGGUGCUCUCGGCGUGGCCUGGUCAACGUGGUCAACGAACGACAUCCAUCGGCCGUGGACUGUACGCGCAAAAUAAUGAUUCCUCCACCUGACAGCUGGGACCCACCGGAAGGGCCUUCGUAUUUUGUGAAAAAACGUUCCCCCCGCUGACAUGUCGGACCCACCAGCUAUAUCUUCGCACGCAAGGAAGUGCCUCCUUAUUACCCACAAAAAAAUGAAUACCCCCUGCUAGCUGGGACCCACCAUAGUGGGAGGAUGACUUGUGGGCCAACUAAGUUGACGGGGACGGAGGGCUUUGUCAACUUAGUCAAUAUGAACGAUUCUAGCUCCAGUGACUGUACGAUGUCCAUCCAACGGCCAUAGUGCUUCUUCAACCUCUGGUCUUCUUGCUCUAGCCGCCCAAAGCAGCGCCGGUCGUGCCGCAUGCUCCUGCCUCCCGUGGCCGGCUGUGUUGCCGCGGAGGCCUCACCGCCCCCUACUAUUCCCACCGCUGGCCAGGCCCUGCGGCGACGGCAGCCUCACACCGCAGUCGAACCAGUGAACCCUCGUACUCCUCUCCGCGCGGGCUUCCACUGCCGCGUCUUCCCCGGCUCUGCGUCGUCCCCUUCCUAGGCCUCACCGUCGUCCACCGCCAUGGUGCUCUCGGUGCGGCCUGGUCAACGUGGUCAAGGAACGACUUCCAUCGGACGUGGACUGUACGUGGAGAGGCUGACAGCUGGGCGGCCGCAGCAAGGAAGUGCCUCCUUAUUACGUGGAAAAUAAUGAUUCCUCCACCUGACAGCUGGGACCCACUGGACGGGCCACUGUAUUUCGCGGAAAAAACGUUUCCCCCUGACUGUUGGGACCCACCAGCUUCAUCUUCGCACGCAAGGAAGUGCGUCCGGGCAAAAAAAACGAUUCGCCCCCUGACUGCUGGGACCCACCAGCUACACCUUCACACGCAAGGAAGUGCGUCCGGGCAAAAAAAACGAUUCGCCCCCCUGACUGCUGGGNNNNNNNNNNNNNNNNNNNNNNNNNNNNNNNNNNNNNNNNNNNNNNNNNNNNNNNNNNNNNNNNNNNNNNNNNNNNNNNNNNNNNNNNNNNNNNNNNNNNNNNNNNNNNNNNNNNNNNNNNNNNNNNNNNNNNNNNNNNNNNNNNNNNNNNNNNNNNNNNNNNNNNNNNNNNNNNNNNNNNNNNNNNNNNNNNNNNNNNNNNNNNNNNNNNNNNNNNNNNNNNNNNNNNNNNNNNNNNNNNNNAAGGAAGUGCGUCCGGGCAAAAAAAAAGAUUCGCCCCCCUGACUGCUGGGACCCACCAGCUACAUCUUCGCAGGCAAGGAAGUGCCUGACAGUCGGGACCCACCUAGUCGAAGCGUACGUAGCGUUGUCAUUCUGGUCGCGAACGUGUACGUACAUACUGGUCGAUGUAGAGGCGUGCACGUGUCGUAGUAGAGGCGCACACGUGUCGUAGUAGAGGCGCGCACAUAGCAUGUACACGUACGUACAGCGGCCAGGGUGCAAGAAAGAAAAUACGGCCACGUAUGUGUACAUACGGGCGGGGUCUCGAACGCCUACUCGCGCAUACGUACGGCCAGGGCUCGUGUACAUGGCUGGGUCGGAACGGAGAAACAGCGUCGUCGUCGUGUUCAUGGGGAGGCAACGGAAUGCGUCGUGUUCAUGGGGAGGCAACGGAAUGCGUCGUGUUCAUGGGGAGGCAACGGAAUGCGUCAUGUUCAUUGGGAGGCAACGGAACGCGUGGGAGCCAACCGGCUGGGUCGGAACGAAAUGCGUGGUCGUGUUCAUCGGGAGGGCUUGGACGGAACAUGCGAUGGAAACGAGGCCUGGCGUACCGCAAAACAGAGGAAACGGACCUCCUACGUUCGGAACAGGGUCCUGUUGAUCGGGAGGGGUGUGGCGUACCGCAAAACGGAGGAAACGGACCUCCUACGAUCGAAACGGGGGUCCUGUUGAUCGGGAGGGGUGUGGCGUACCGNNNNNNNNNNNNNNNNNNNNNNNNNNNNNNNNNNNNNNNNNNNNNNNNNNNNNNNNNNNNNNNNNNNNNNNNNNNNNNNNNNNNNNNNNNNNNNNNNNNNNNNNNNNNNNNNNNNNNNNNNNNNNNNNNNNNNNNNNNNNNNNNNNNNNNNNNNNNNNNNNNNNNNNNNNNNNNNNNNNNNNNNNNNNNNNNNNNNNNNNNNNNNNNNNNNNNNNNNNNNNNNNNNNNNNNNNNNNNNNNNNNNNNNNNNNNNNNNNNNNNNNNNNNNNNNNNNNNNNNNNNNNNNNNNNNNNNNNNNNNNNNNNNNNNNNNNNNNNNNNNNNNNNNNNNNNNNNNNNNNNNNNNNNNNNNNNNNNNNNNNNNNNNNNNNNNNNNNNNNNNNNNNNNNNNNNNNNNNNNNNNNNNNNNNNNNNNNNNNNNNNNNNNNNNNNNNNNNNNNNNNNNNNNNNNNNNNNNNNNNNNNNNNNNNNNNNNNNNNNNNNNNNNNNNNNNNNNNNNNNNNNNNNNNNNNNNNNNNNNNNNNNNNNNNNNNNNNNNNNNNNNNNNNNNNNNNNNNNNNNNNNNNNNNNNNNNNNNNNNNNNNNNNNNNNNNNNNNNNNNNNNNNNNNNNNNNNNNNNNNNNNNNNNNNNNNNNNNNNNNNNNNNNNNNNNNNNNNNNNNNNNNNNNNNNNNNNNNNNNNNNNNNNNNNNNNNNNNNNNNNNNNNNNNNNNNNNNNNNNNNNNNNNNNNNNNNNNNNNNNNNNNNNNNNNNNNNNNNNNNNNNNNNNNNNNNNNNNNNNNNNNNNNNNNNNNNNNNNNNNNNNNNNNNNNNNNNNNNNNNNNNNNNNNNNNNNNNNNNNNNNNNNNNNNNNNNNNNNNNNNNNNNNNNNNNNNNNNNNNNNNNNNNNNNNNNNNNNNNNNNNNNNNNNNNNNNNNNNNNNNNNNNNNNNNNNNNNNNNNNNNNNNNNNNNNNNNNNNNNNNNNNNNNNNNNNNNNNNNNNNNNNNNNNNNNNNNNNNNNNNNNNNNNNNNNNNNNNNNNNNNNNNNNNNNNNNNNNNNNNNNNNNNNNNNNNNNNNNNNNNNNNNNNNNNNNAGGCAGCAUCGAUCGGCUUCAGUUAGCAGCAGUAGCGAAGGAAUCGCUCGAUCGGGUUCAGUUAACAGCCAUCGAUCGAUCGCUCGGGUUCAGUAACGCGUAGCCUGCAGUGCAAUCGCUCGGGUUCAGUUAGAGCCAACGCCUCGCACACACGCGCGUACGUGUACGAGAGAAACGCGCAUCGCUCGGCCCCCGACCUCCCACCGUAACCGGGAACUCCCCGAAAUUUUCCUCCCCCUCGCUUCUACCACGGUUUUUUCCAUCAUGGACGGCCCAAAGAAUGUCAUGCAGCUGCGUCUCCGGCCCGCCCAGGACGAAAAUCCCAUUUUCUGUCAUGAUUUUUUGUCAUAGAAGUAGGAGCCCACCACAUCUAUGAUGAUACCGGGUUUUGUCACAAUUAUCGUCAUAGAAGUGUCAUAUGUAUGACAGAAAAAAAUUCGUUCGGCCCAAAAUGUCACGGAUGUGUCUUUUUUUGUAGUGAAAGGAGGAAGAAGACGGCGCGGGCGGUGUCGAUGUAACUCUCGAGCCUCGAUCCAGCGGCGAGGAGGAAGAAGCGGUCGGCGACGCGUCCCUUGUGCACGGUCCCGAGGCAUGGGGAGGGCGAUAGCCACGGCUUCUACGGCGGUGAGGCCAUGGCUGCACUCGGGUGCUUGCUGGGGGAGGAGAUCUGGGGCGAGAGGGGAGGAGUGGGGGUGAGCGAGUGGACAAGUGGGGAGGGGAGCCCGAGGAGCCGCGGAGCUGGCGAUCUUAUCCCCCCUGCGGUGGGGCGGCGAGGCGGUCGGGUGGCGACCGACGGGCACGCUCGGUCGUGUGAGCAGUAGGAAGGAGGGAGACGACCGCAGCAGCUGGUCUAGGUCGGCCUGGGCCUAUCCCUGUGGCCUAAGGCCAACUCCACCGCGCGACCCCAAACGGACGUCCGUUUUGUCCGGAUUCUGUCCGUUUGGGUAGGGCAAUGGGGUCGUGUCCGGGCGUGUCCUGGGAUGCGGUGGCCGUGCGCCCAGCGCGCGGCCGCAUCCGUUUGCCCUGUCCUGUCCGUCGGGGCCAAAAAUGCCCAUAUUUUAAUCAAAACUAGUUUGCACGUCCAAAUACUUGUCUGAAAAUUAAAAUAGUUUUACAACCCAAUUGAAAUUGUCUUUAAUAAAAUAGUUUUACAACCAAAUCAAAAUGGUCUUGACUGAACAUAAAAUGAACCAAUACAUCUAUUGGUUGCCAAUGUGAUCCCACACGUGCUCAACCAAGUCAUUUUGAAGAUACAAAUGAGUGUGCCAAUCAUGCAGCUCACGGUGGAAUUGGACAAAUUGUUCAAAUGUGGCCGGGUCUUGGUGCAGGGGCUCAAUAUUUUCACCUUGAUAAUCAAAUCCUUGGUCGAAGAUACUCUCAUCACGCUCGUCCUCGACGAUCAUGUUGUGCAUGAUCACACAAGCAGUCAUCACCUCCCAAAGCUUCCUUUCAUCCCAUGACAGUGCAGGGUUUCAAACGAUACCCCACCGGGAUUGAAGCACACCAAAAGCACGUUCCACAUCCUUUCUAGCACUCUCUUGCAUUUGGGCAAAUCUCUUUCUCUUCUCACCUUGGGGUUUCGAGAUUGUCUUCACAAAAGUUGACCACUGAGGAUAUAUACCAUCAGCUAGAUAGUAUCCCUUGUUGUACUGGUGGCCGUUGAUCUCAAAGUUGACAGGUGGGGAGUGGCCUUCUGCAAGCCUUGCGAAGACUGGAGAAUGCCGCAGCACGUUGAUAUCGUUGUGAGAACCUGCCAUGCCGAAGAAAGAAUGCCAUAUCCAAAGAUCCUACGAAGCCACCGCUUCUAAUAUGACAAUGCACGCCGACAUGCCCCUUGUACUGUCCUUGCCAAGCAAAUGGACAGUUCUUCCACUCCUAGUGCAUACAAUCUAUGCUGCCAAGCAUGCCUGGAAAGCCUCUAGCUGCGUUGGUCGCCAACAAUCUCUCUGUAUCAGCGGCAGUUGGCUGCCUCAAGUACUCUGGGCCAAACACCUCGAUCACAGCCUGGCAGAACUUGUACAUUGACAUCAGACAUGUUGUCUCACUCAUGCGCACAUACUCAUCAACCAGAUCGCCUGGAAUUCCAUAUGCAAGCAUGCGGAUGGCCGCGGUGCAUUUCUGGUAAGAGGAGAAUCCAAGCUUGCCAAGGGCAUCCGUCUUGCACUCGAAGUAUGGGACAUGAGCAACCACUCCCUCUCGGAUACGAUUGAACACAUGCCUUGCCAUACGAAAACAGCGACGGAAUUUAUCCGGCUUGAAGAGCGGGGUGUUCGCAAAGUAAUCGGCAUAGAGCAGGGUGUGGCCUCUCUCCCUGUUGCGGUUCAGGUUGGGAGCACGGCCAGGGAGUGACCCCCUAUACCGAGGAAGCUGCCGUUGAAUGUGGUCGUGAACGACCAGUGCAGCCACCACAAGAUCUUCAUCAUCCGACGACGAAUCGUCCGAUGAACAAAGGAAGUGAUGGAAGAAAAACUCGUCUCCACUGUCCAUACCUUUGUGGGCAAAAUGUCGAACACCUUGCGGUCGUGGUGGCGAAGAGGCCGCGAUGAUCACCUCGACGCAGCAGGGGUGGUUGUCGGCUGGCUACUGUCCGCUCUGGAGCUCUUGUCGGAAGUUGUCGUGGUACGUCGCCGGUGGUCGUGUCCCCUCUGCCACCGGCAAAGAUGGCGAUGGCCAAACCUCCUCCGUUCGACGGCCAAAACUACGGCGAAAGCGCGGGCGUGGUGGCGGCCAUGUCGAGACGUGGUUUGGUAUGGACGGCCGGGGGCUGCGCGGUGAGGAGGCGGCUGGAGAAUAGCGGCGGCGCCGGCGGCGGGGCGGGGCGGGGAGAGAGGGUGGAAGCGUUGGGAGCGGAGGGACUGCUAGUGUCCCCGACAGGCGAGCCAUGGGGGGGACAAGGGCGUGCGUCGAGGCCGUCCGCGCGCGUCCGUUUCACCCCAAACCGAGCGCAAGUUUGGGCCGGGGAUGGGUCGAAAAUGGACGGAAUCCAGACAUUUGUCUGUUUGAGGCCGCGUGUUGGGCCGCGCUAUUCGUCCGUUUUACCCCAAACGGACGCACCCGGACAAGAUGGGGUCACGCGGUGGAGUUGGCCUAAGGCCUAGGGGCAUGAGGGUUUCUUUCUUUUUCUUCUUUUUUUCAUUUUCUAUUUUUCUUUUAUUUGUUUCCGAUUCCUUUUAUUUUCAAAAGUAAUUUAGUUUUAUAAAAUAUAAAACUUGCUCCUUAACUAGUGUUGUAAAUUAAGCCACUGCCACAAAAAGUUUGGCAUUAAAAUAAAAUAGAUUGGAAUUUUUAUAAUUUAAAAAGCAAUUAAAAUAUUGUUUUGGCCCCUGUUUUAAUUUUUUUAGGGCAUUAAACCAUUUUAUAAAAUGUUGGUUUCUCCACCAUAAUUAUCUAUGGAUUAUUUGCCAUCACAUGAACUUUUUAGUUUUCAUAUUUGUGAAUUUAUUUGAUUCACUUAUAAUUUGAAUUUGAUUUCAAAGUGGAAUUUAAAAUGAGAUAUGGGUCAAAAGAUGAUCAAGCACUGUUUAGCAAAAUGACUUAGUUUAACCAGAGAGGGUUACUGUAGCUUAUUACAUAGGGGUGUUACACAACACUUAUAUGUGAAGUUAAUAACAAACUUUAAUACCGAUAUUUCUACUAACCAAUGAUCAUGAACUAAUAUUCUUUCCUAUUACGACAUCAAUACAAUUAAACCAUAUGUUUAAUAUUUAGUGGUUUGCAUGAAAGUUUUUAUUAUAUCCCCCUUGAAUCCCUAUCCUUCUCAGACUAGUCUUAUAACCCGUACAUAUUGCCAAUUGCUAACUAAUACUCUCAAAAAUAUUUAAGUGAAGCAUGAGAGUGCAAUCAUUUCUAUAGAAUAUAAUCAUCGACGUGCUCUAAAAGAUAUAAGUGAAGCACUAGAGCAACUGCCUAGCUCAAAAGAUAUAAGUGAAGCACAUAGAGUAUUCUAACAAAUCACGAUAAGUGUGUGUCCCUCUCAAAAGGUGUGUCCUGCAAACAAUGAUUGUGUCAAACUAAAAGAAAACCAAAGCAAAACUAUGAUACAAGACGCUCCAAGAAAAACUCAUAUCAUGUGAUGAAUAAAAAUGUAGCUCCAAGUAACAUACCAAUAGAUUGUAGAUGAAAGAGGGGAUGCCAUCCAGGGCAUCCCCAAGCUUAGAUCUUGGGUCUUCCUUGAAUAUUAACUUGGGGUGCCUUGGGCAUCCCCAAGCUUAGGGUCUUUCCGCUCCUUAUUCCUUCAUCCAUCAUGAUCUCACCCAAAACGUGAAAAGUUCAGCACACAAAACUCAACAGAAACCUCGUGAGAUCCGUUAGUAUAAUAGACAAAUCAUAAACUUUACAUACUGUUAUGAACCCAUUAAUAUUUUAUUCAUGUAUAAUAUAUAUCGUAUUCUAAAUUUUCUCCAUGACGUAUACCCCCCGAUAUAAUCCAUAGCAUCAUUAAAACAAGCGCAUUAUUCAAUAAAAAAACAUAAUAUGUCUAAAACAGAACAGUUUGUAAUGACCUGAACAAAAACUAUACUUAUGUAACUCCAAAAAAUCUGAAAAUUAGGACAACGCGGGAAAUUUGUAUAUCAACCAUGUGUAAAAAAUUCAGAAUUUUAUCACGCUCCAGUGAAUUAUAGUAACUCCAGCACUGGACGCAAAAGUUUUUGUUUUUUCACAGAAUCAAGUCAACUAUCAACCAAAUCAUCCCAAAGGCUUUACUUGGCACAAACACUAAAUUAAACAUAGAAAUACAAUUAUAACAGUAGCAAUAAUUGUGUCGGCACACCAAAACAGAAAGUAAAAGCAAAAUUUUAAGAUAACUAUUGGGUUGCCUCCCAACAAGCGUUAUUGUUUUACGCCCCUAGCUAGGUGUAAGGCAAUGUUUCAAGUAUUCUCAUCCUUAGUUUCCAAAUCCUUUUAAUCAAGUCUUCCAAGACUUGUCUCAUUAAUUCCCUACUCUCAUGUUCUACUUUUCUAGUAGAACUUAAAUAGUUGAAGCGACUUUGUUCGGUAAUUUUAAGGUUCAUUACUUCAAACUUCGAAUCAUCACCAUAGAGAUCUUCAUACAAAACAUGCACUUCAUCAUCAAUAGGAUCUCUAGACAUACUUUCAAACCACUCUUCAUUAAACCCUUCACAAAUCCCCUUAGUGAUCCAUUCAAAUUUAUCACAAGUAUUGUGGUACAAGGUUUCAGUUAACUUAGCAUAGGGAACUCUCCUUCUAAUAUUUUCACCGUAAGCAAAAUAGUCAUUAGAUUCCAGCCUACGUAUGGUUUCCUUAUCAUGGAAGAUCUCUUCUAUAGGAGGAUGCUCGAAAUCAAUUUUAUCUAAGGCAAAUAUAUCCCUAGCUUCUCUAAUUAUAUAACCAAAUUCACGCAUAAGGGUAAUGGUGGCGUUCUUUUUAGCCUUGGGUUUAUGGAUGUUGGGGAGUUCAAAGAAUAUAUUUUGUAAAGAGGGAUGGAAAUGCAGAGCUUUUCUUUCCAAUUUAACCACAAGCAUAGCAAUAGCAUCCACAUAGCAAUUUGUUUUGUCAAGAAUAGAUCCUUUAAUUAUUGGUAUGACUCUCGUGCAAGUAAAGAAUUCUUGAAUGAUAUUCUUCCCAAUAAUAUUCCCACUACCCACAUGAUAAGUUUUAGUUUCAAAAAUUGUAGGAGAUUUAUUUUCCGAAGGAUCAUGCUUAAGAUCAAACAACUUAGGCUUAUCCUUAAGAGUAUCACUAGUGCUACCUUGAAUAGCAUUUUCAACAAUAACUUUCUCAAAUUCAGAGGUGAUAGCAACUUCAAGCAAAGCAAGCAAACAAGCAAAGUAACAAAGCAAAAUAUUUUUGUGUUUUUGUUCUUUAGAGAAGUGGAGGGAGAUGAAAAAGAGAGGCAGAUAAAAAGUAGAGCAAGUAGAUGAUAGUUUGUAUGUAGGAACCUGACAAGAAUUGGAUGAUGUCUCCCCAGCAACGACGCUAGAAAUUCUUCCUGCUACUUGUAAACUGCGUUGGGAUUUUCCCGGAAGAGGAGGGGUGAAUCAGUACAGUAGAGAUAAGUAUUUUCCUGAGUGAGAACCAAGGUUAUAGAACCAAUAGGAGAACCAAUAAAACACCCUUCUCCAGCACUUACACACAUCAAAGUAAAUACUUGCACCCAACGCGGGCAAGAGGGUUGUUAAUCCCCUUGAACUCGUUACUUGCAAGGAUUAAUUCUAAUAGUGAUAGAUAGCUAGAUAGGUAGAUAAAAAUAAAAGUAAAUAAAUUGCAACAAGGUAAUUUUGGUUUUUAUAAUAUGAUAAAAGUAGACCUGGGGGCCAUAGUUUUCACUAGAGGCUUCUCUCUCGAAACAAUAGCAUAUGGUGAGUAAAUAAAUUACUGUUGUGCAAUUGAUAGAAAAGCACAUAUGUAUGAUGAUAUGCAUGGCAAUGAUCACACAUAUAGGCAUCACAUCCGUGACAAGUAGACCAACUCCUGCCUUCAUCUACUACUAUUACUCCACCAAGCGACCGCUAUCCAGCAUGCAUCUAUGGUGUUAAGUUCAUGACAAACAGAGUAACACUUUAAGCAAGAUGAUAUGAUGUAGACAAAGUAAACUCAAGCAAUAUGAAUGAACCCUAUAGUUUUAUCCUUAAUGGAAACAAAUACAAUACAUGCCUCGCUACCCCUUCUGUCACGAGGUGAGGACACCACAAGAUUGAACCCAUUACAAAGCACCUCCCCCACUGAAGAUAAAUCAAUCUAGUUGGCCAACACAAAUGGAUAGAUCGAAGAGAAAUACAAAGCUAUCAUAAUCAUGCAUAAUAAAGUUAACAAAAGACUCAGUUACUUUCAAUGAAUAAUCUGAUCACCAACAAUUCAUCCGAUCCCAACAAACACACCGCAAAAGAAGAUUGCAUCGGAUAGAGCUCCAAGAAGAUCGAGGAGAACAUUGUAUUAAAGAUCAAAGAGAGAGAAGAAGCCAUCUAGAUACUAGCUAUGGACCCGUAGGUUUGUAGUAAACUAGUCAUGCAUCAUCGAAAGGCAGCAAGGAUGGCGUAGAAGCCCUCCGUGAUCGAUUGUCCCUCCGGCAGAGUACCGAAAAAGGCCUCCAGAUGGGAUUGCGGAAGAACAGAAGCUUACGGUGGCGGAAAAAGUGUUUCGGUGCCUUUCUGGGGGUUUCCAAAUAUUUGAGAAUUUAUAGAAGUGGAAUUAGGUCAGACGGAGCCACAUGGGGCCCACAAGGUAAUAGGGCGCGCCCUACCCCCUAGGUGUGCCAUGUUGCCUUGUUGUCUCCUUGCUUCGCGUCUGGUCUCCUUCCGAAGCUUCUAGGGCCUCUUUUGUCUAGAAAAAAAAUCAUCAAAAAGUUUCGUAGCCUUUGGACUCCGUUUGGUACUAAUUUUCUGGAAAACUAAAGACAAGCUGAAAAAAGCAACUAGCACUAGGCACUUGGUUAAUAGGUUAGUUCUCAAAAAUGAUAUAGAUAGCAUGAAAUGCAGAUAAAGUAUCCGAGAUUGAUAAUAUAAUAGCAUGAAACAAUCAAAAAAAUAUACAUUGGAGACGUAUUAGUGUUUUCUCUGAAUUUCUUUUCUUCGAGUUGUCGUAAGGAGAAGACCAUGAUGAAAUUGAUGAAUGGAUCUCAUAUGCAUUAAUGCUGAUCUAACAAAGAGCCAACAUUACCUUGUCUUCUCCUUUGAAUAAAAUGUUUGCAGAUUCCAGCUUAGUCCACAACACACUUGCACUAUUAUUACUUUCACAUCAUUCGGUCGUGCAAGUGAAUGGAAAUAAUGACGAUGAUUUGAUGAAGUGAUUGCGGUGAAGGAAAGCUGGUAUGAACUCUUCUUGUCUUUUUGUAAAUAUGUUUAACUCAGUCAAUCUUGAUUCAGUAUAUUAUGAGUAAACAUGAUUGUGAUGACAAUUAGAGAUUAUAGUUUUUCAUGCCAUGCUUAAAUAUCUAGGAGUGGAUAAUGAUUUAUCUUGAGUGUCAAUAUGCAUUAAAAUGGUCGUGAUGUAGUAUGUUAGUAUGGUAUCCUCCUCUGAACAAUUCGAGUGGCUUGACUUGGCACAUGUUCACACAUGUAGUUGAUUCAAAACCAACGCAACCUUCAUGAUAUUUAUGUUCAGGGUAUUUAUAACCUACUCAUGCUCAUAUUCAAUGUUAAUUAUUAUCAAUGCAUGAUUAUGACCGUUGUCGCUCUCUAGUUGGUCGCUUCUCAAUCUAUUUGCUAGCCUUCGCUUGUACUAAGCGGGAAUACUACAUGUGCAUCCAAAUCCUUAAACCCAAAGUUGUUCCAAAUGAGUCAACCAUAUCUACCUAUUUGCGGUAUUACUUUGUCGUUCUAAGUAAAUUGCAUGUGCCACCUCUAAUCAUUCAAAUAAACAUUUGUUUUGUGUGCCUGUACCGCUCAUGGAGCGAUGGGGCGGUCAAUAUCUUCCAUGCUAAGUGGGUUACUAUCAUGAUGGGUGUUUAUUCACUUGUCAUUGCACGAGAGAGGCUGGUAAUUGGGAUGCCCGGUCCUGUAACUGAAAAUAAAGAAAAAUAUAAUAAAACAAACACCCCCGAAAAGUUGUAUUGUUUCGAGGGCACCCGAGGAUUCGGCUAUCCAUGGCUUGUGCUUAUACGGUUGAGGGGGAGUAAACUUUACCCUUACGCAUGGGAACAGCUGAUAAUGUGUUUAGCAUGGAAGAUAUUGAAAUCCUUUGUUAUGACGUUGACAAGAAAAGCACACCUCUCAAAAUGUAUUCAUCUCUGUUUUAAGCUUCGAGCUCUGGCACCUCUACAAAUCUCCGCUUCCCUCUACGAAGGGCUUUUCCAUUUACUUCCAUGUUAUUUACUUUUAUUGUUGAGUCAUCACCUUCUCAUUCAGGCACCAACUUUGAGAGUGUUAUUGUCAUUCUUAGUUUAACAUGCAUUGAGUAGUUAAUGUUGGAUGUGACCAUGACUGGGUCUCUUCUAUCAUGAAUUACAAUGUUUAGUCGCUGCUUGAACUUCAGAGGUGUUGUGCAUUUAUGUUUUGCGGUCUCAGAAAGGGCUAGCGAGAUACCAUGUUAUCAUAUUAUAUCAUGAUUAUAUUUUAUUAUCGCUCGCUAGUUGGUUAUGUUAUUGUCAUGAGUAAAUGUGAGACCUAAAUGUUAUCAUUCACAUGGUUAGUUCAUAAUCUUUGCAAAAAACUUGAACGCUGGUUAAGUAUAUAUACAACAACGAGAACAAAAGAGUUUGUAAAAGUUUUUCGUUAUCACUUUUAGUUUUUCAACUGAAUUGCUUGAGCACAAGCAAUGAGUUAAGCUUGAGGGAGUUGAUACGUCCCAAAUGUAUCUACUUUUCCAAACAGUUUUGCUCUUGUUUUGGACUCUAAUUUGCAUGAUUUGAAUGAAACUAACCCGGACUGAUGCAGUUUUUAGUAGAACUACCAUGGUGUUAUUUUUGUGCAGAAAUAAAAGUUCUCGGAUUGGGCUGAAAAUUUACGGAGAUUAAUUUCAAAAUAUAUAAAAAAAAUAUUAGUGAAGAGAACUACUAGAGGGGGACACCACAGAGCCAUAAGCUCAGGGGCAUGCCCUAUGAGCUCAUGGGUACCAUAGGCCUCCGUCACCCCUAACUCCAACUCCAUAAGUACCGUCUCGCAGAGAAAAAAUCAAAGAGAAGGAACCAUCACAUUUUACGAUAUGGAGCCGCCGCUACCUCCUGCUCUUCAUCGGGAGGGUUGAUCUGGAGUCCGUUCGGAGCUCUAGAGGGUGGAAUUCAUCACCGUCGUCAUCAUCAACCCUUCUCCAUCAAUAAUUCCAUGAUGUUCACCACCGGGAGUGAGUAAUCCCUUGAUCUGGAGUCCGUUCGGAACUCCGGAGGGUGGAAUUUGUCGUCGUCAUCAUCAACCCUUCUCCAUUAACAAUUCCAUGAUUCUCACCAUCGGGAGUGAGUAAUUUAUUCGUAGGCUUGCUGGACGAUGAUGGGGUUGGAUGAGAUUUGUCAUGUAAUCGAGUCAAUUUGUUAGGGCUUGAUCCCUGGUAUCCACUAUGUUAUGAGAUUGAUAUUGCUAUGACUUUGCUAUGCUUAAUGCUUUUCACUAGUCCCAAGUGCAAAGAUUUCAUAUCUGAACCCUCUAUGUUUUCAUGAAUAUAUUUGAGUUCUUGAUCCUAUCUGCUAGUUAUAUGCACUUGUUAUUGUUCUGAUCCGUAGACCCCAAAGUGACAAUAGUUGGGAUACUAUCCGGGGAUGACUGUAAUUCGAGGAGUUCAUGUAUUCACCAUGUGUUAAUGCUUUAUUCUGGUUCUCUAUUAAAAGGAGGCUUUAAUAUCCCUUAGUUUCCUUAUGGACCCCACUGCCACGGGAGGGUAGGACAAAAGAUGUCAUGCAAGUUCUUAUUAUAAGCACGUAUGACUAUAUACGGAAUACAUGCCUACAUUGAAUUGAUGAAUUGGAGCUAUUGUGUAUCACACUAGGUUGUGACUGUUAUAUGAUGAAUGUCCUCCAACACAAAUAUCCAUCGCUGAUCCAAUGCCUGCACUUUUCUCAUAUUGAUCUUUGCUAAGUUACUGAUGUUGUUGUUACAAUCAUCACACACUGUUAUCGUUCCUGUUACUAUUACUACUGUUACUGCUACUACCAAAACUAUCAAACUACUGUGCUACUAAACCCUUUGCUUCAGAAAUAUUAUUUCCCAUGUGUGGUUGAAUUGACAACUCAAUUGCUAAUGCUCAUCUUUGGCUCCCUUGUGUCGAAUCAACAAAUUUGGGUUAAAUACUACCCUUGAAGACUGUCUCAAUCCCCUAUACUUGUGGGUUAUCGUACGUGUGGGCUUGACAUUCAGUCCUCGCAACAUUUCCCCUUUUCCUCUUCUUCAUAACAUUGGAUGGGUUUUGCACAUCCUACAACUCCUCCUUGUCUGUGAGUGGUUUUCCAUCCACCUCUCCCUCCCUCCCUCUCCCUCCCUUCCUCUCCCUCCCUCUCUCUCUCUCAUGUCUUAUCCAAAAACCAUGCCUCCGUGCAUAAACGUUGUGGUGCUCACGACGUUUUUCAUACUGCCAAACUUCAUUCCUGGAUUACGAGGCUUAGGCAUGGAAUACACUUCCAUGUUGUCGUAUCCUUGAUUAGAGUUGAUCGUACCUGAUUCUGGAGUUGCCAGUUCACUACCUGUUGGCUCCCCAAAGCUCCCAUGCUAGCAUUUGGUUUUGUACAAGGCAAGCUACGGAGUAUGCUCAUCGUACGAGCACCUACAAUGCAACAUGGAAACAUACUAUCAGUUUUUCUGGUGUGGUAAACUCCAUUCAAGAUGCCAGGUAACUUUCAUAUUGUUUAAACGGUAGUUUAGUCACAUAUUAGUCUCGUGAUUCACAAAGAUUGAUAACUGAUACACUAUGAACACGGUAGUUUAUACACACGUUGUCUGGUAAGAACCUUACAUAUAGACUGGUAAAAUAUCAUAUUCUUUUUUGUUAUCUUGGUAGUUUACACACCAGAAGGCUGAUAAUUUCUAACCAGAAAUAACGGUAAACAACAUAGUUGUGAUCAUGGUAGUUUAUACACAUGAAGGUUGGUAAGUGCACAUAGAUUUUUUACUUGCGAUAGGGAUGUUGGGGCUGGCAGAACUAUGCUCGUCGUACGUGCAUUCUCAUCCUAGUGGUUCAUUCUUGCACCACUCAGUAUGCCAGCUGCAUUACCUUUAAGGUUAGACGCCAUUGUAGCACCUGCUUAUUUUUUAUGUCCGCGUGUUAGUAUCAUCAUACACAAUUUGUUUCAUCGUCAACAGAAAGGAAAAUUAUACAUGUUCACUGAUUUUUUAUACUUUUUCGGUUCAUGUUCUUUUUUUUGCACGGGGAUCAGAGGGCAGCUCUUCAUUCAAAUAGCAUGAGUUUUCCUUCAUGUCAACAACACAUUUUUUACACUGCUAGGGAACUAUUCAGUGUAGCAUGAGCUUCUUCAACAUCAUAUUUUACAUCAAUUUUUUCAAACAAAAGAAACCAGUUUUUGGUGGUAUUUUUUCUAUGGUAAGUUUGAUACACAUGAGCUGAUAACUUAUUCAUAAACAGAAUGACAACGUUCUUAUUCUUUUUUCUGUAAAGUUUGACUCGAUAUCAUACCAAUCUUAAAACGAAAACCAUAAUGUAGUUUUGCCUUUCUCUUCUUGUUUUAUCAGUUUGUUCUUGUAACAAAAUGACACAAGGGGGUUUGCUAAGUUUUGUAGAGAAACCAGGUGAUUUUGGGAUUAAAAAGGAUACAUUUUUUCUAUCUGAUUGUUCGCACGGUAACAUUCCUGAUUAUGGUCUGAUAAGCUUAUUGUCACAAAAGGAACUAGGGAGCUUGCUAUUUUUGAAUGCAAUGGGGAUGGUAAAUAUCCUAAAAAGGUUACAUCUUUUUCCCAAUUCACCAUGGUAACAACACUGAUUUUGGGCUUGUGAGCUCAUACAAACUUGGUGAUAAUCUAUUGUAAGGUAAUUUUUCAGAUAAGUAAGGUGAAUUCGAAACUUACAAGAGGAUCUAUUGUUCCUUGUGGAUCUCGGCCCCAAUCCCUGGUAAUUUUUUUUUGAUUCGGUGUUGAUAAUUGAGGAUGAAAGGAGGCAAGGCGAUGGGCCCUGAUUGUAUCCCCUUUGAGGUGUGUAGAGGCCUUAGAGACAUAGUGAUAGUAGGCUAACCAAGCUUUUCAACCAGAUUUUUCGGGCAAACAAAAUGCCAGAAGAAUGAAGACGGAGUAUAUUAGUACCAAUCAAUUUUCAAUAACAAGCGGGGUGUUCGGAGUUGUACUUAUUACUAUGGAAUUAAGCUAAUGAGACAUACAAUAAAGCUAAGGAAGAGAGUCAUUGAGCACUGCUUAAGAAGCAUGACAAAAAAUUAGUUUGGUUUCAUGAUAGGCAGGUUGACCAUGGAAGUCAUUUUCAUGGUACAACAAUUUAUGGAGAGAUGCGGGGAGUAAAAGAACCUGCAUAUGGUGUUCAUUGACUUGGAGAAGGACUACCGCGAAAUGUCAUGUGGUGGACCUUGGAGAAACACAAAGACCCAGCAAAGUACAUUACCCUCAUCAAGGACAUUACGAUAAUAUUGUGACAAGCGUUCGAACAAGUGAUGGCGACGAUUAAAAUAGGACUGCACCAAGGGUCAACUUUGACCCCUUAUCUUUUUGCUUUGAUGAUGGAUGAGGUCACAAAGGAUAUACAAGGAGAUAUCUCAUAAUGUAUGCUCUUUGCGGAUGAUGUGGUGCUAGUCGAUGAUAGUCGGACGGGGGUCGAUAGGAAGCUAGAACUAUGGAGACAACCCUUAUAAUUGAAAGGUUUUAGACUUAGUAGAACUAAAACCGAGUACAUGAGGUACAGUUUCAGUACUACUAGGCAUGUGGUGCCUUAUAAGGACACCUUUCGAUAUUUAGGGUCAAUAUUGUAGAAUGAUGGGGAUAUCGAUGAAAAUGUGAACCAUCGAAUCAAAGCCGGAUGGUUAAAGACACGCCAAGCUUCUGGCAUUCUCUGUGACAACAGAGUACCACAAAAACUAAAAGGUCUUCUGGCAUUAUCUGUGACAACACAAUGCCACAAAAAACUAAAAGGUAAAUUCUACAGGGAGGACAGCGAUUCAACCCACAAUGUUGCAUGACGCUGAGUGUUGGUCGACUAGAAAGCAACAUGUUUAACACUUAGGUGUGGUGUAAAGAUAUGCAUGUUGAGAUGGAUGUGUGGCCACAUAAAGAAGGACCGAAUUCAAAAUGAUGAUAUACCAGAUAGAGUUGAAGUUGGGAUAACACCGAUUGAAGAAAAGCUUGUCCAAUGGCGACUGAGAUGGUUUGGACAGCAACACAUACGAAAUACAGUGCAAAUGAAUCCUAUGAAAAAAUUCCUAUGGUUUACAAAUUACAAUCCUACAAAUCAAACAACCCAUAUAAAAAAACAACCCAUAUAGAAAAAAUUCCUAAGGAUUAGAAUCCUCCGAAGUUCCUCCAAGAAUCCUUUGAAUCAAAGGUAAAUUAUUGGAUUGAAGUUGUGGGGCUGGGUGUAUUUAAGCUUUGGGUAUGGCCUGCUUUUCGCAAGUCAACUUCUGACAGGUUUAACUUUUCACUGAUGGCGUCGCUGUCAUACUGAAUAAAGAACGGUAAUAUAAAUAGCCCAGACAGACAAAUUUUCAAACAAUAGCAGGUCAAGACGGAGCAAAAUUCAAGUCUUUCAGAAAAUUGGGCAGACCUAACUUCAAAUGCAAAAUGGCUGUCAAGGAUGAAGAAAAAUGGUACAAUCUACAGUCCAGUCAUUCUGAAUCCAUGUCUGAAUUCUUUUACAUUACUUCCUCCGUAUCUAAAUAUAAGAUGAUUUUGCAAUUCAAUUUGAUAACUGAAUUUUCAAUUUGGUUAAGAUCAAAUAAGGCAUUUUUCUUCAUGAUAACUGAAUUCAAUGUAUCUAGUGAUGAAAUAAUCCAGCGGCAAUCAACUGCCCUAAGCAACAAGACAGCAAAGCAAAUGCAGCGACUAACAAUACAUAAGAAUCGCUCAAAACAUCAAUGACAAAACUCAACAUAUGAUAUUCUAGCUGCCAUAAUAACAUUGAUUGAUUCCGCAAGGUACUCAUUAAACCAGUAAAAAAUAGUCUCACAAUGGAACCACUAAAGCAUGACAAAAGUUUCUUCUUCAGCACGAGUAGAACAAGUGAAGAUAUCACAUCCAUUCUCUCAACUGCAUCAGGAAGCAUCUAGAUAGGAGAAACUACUUCAGCAGCCUCACAUAACAACCUGCCCAAAGCCAAGCCUGCAUGAUUAAACAUAAAGCUGUUACAAUGGAUUUGUACGCAGUUUAAGAACAGAAUGUUAAAUUCAUAGCAAAGAAUACAAUGUGA
Molecule: long non-coding RNA, 94233 nt
Filed under: Triticum aestivum (bread wheat)
Lineage: Eukaryota; Viridiplantae; Streptophyta; Magnoliopsida; Poales; Poaceae
Description: long non-coding RNA (TAES_LNC013524)
Source: RNAcentral